This 90283-nucleotide long non-coding RNA is filed under the name Triticum aestivum (bread wheat). RNAcentral describes it as "long non-coding RNA (TAES_LNC008891)". The record is from RNAcentral. Lineage: Eukaryota; Viridiplantae; Streptophyta; Magnoliopsida; Poales; Poaceae.
UUUUUUUUUGUAGUGGUGUCAUGCACCAGAUUAGAGUGCGGAAUGGAAGGGGCAUCACCCCAGACGUAGCGCCAGUAAUUCAUGGCUAUAGUGAGUAGUCAUAUCACAAGUCUUUCUAGCAGUAACGCGCCGUCAAAUCGCAUAGCCCGACCUUUCCAGCAGUAAGUUUGAGUCUGCCACUCCCUCACCCUCCUCGCCUCUCUGUCAAACCGCCUACUCGAAAACUGUCGUGCGUACUGCCCAGGAAAAGCCCCGCCUUCAACUUUUAACUACGCAAAAAUAGUUCGAGCUUGUUCGUUCUAUAUAAAUACUUACUAUAUAUUUAUUCACCCGUGGAUGAAUGGAGGGCCUGGGACCACAAGUGAACAAUACUAGUACUACUAGUAGUAAGUAGGAGUCGUACAAUUAGUCACCUUAUAGAGAGUUUCUUUUCUUUAAUGACACGUACACAAAUUGAAACCCUUGUUGUGGAGAGAAAAAGAUAAUCACUCCACUAUAUAUGUACGCAGGGGCCUGAGCGCUUGAUUUACUAGGGUUGCUCUCUUCAUUCUCUCAUCCUCUCCAGAUCUAAACAAGACAGCUGGUGGCAACAUUUUCUCUCUGCUCACCGCUGGUCACAGAUCCGGCCGGAUCCCUUCGGCUGGUGUGUGUAGAGGACUAAAAGGUGCAUCGUUCGCGCUGUCAACGCUGCCGAGGGAGGAAACCCAUAGCUGCCGGUGGGGCCUGAUCAUCUGCCUGUGCCAUUCUCUCUGACACAGUGCCAGCUCGGGAGGUCCUCCGACCCUUCUUCCUCCCUGCCGUAUUGUGCGCAGAUCAGACCUGCCGCCGCUGACAUCCCGACCAACCUCAGGUACAAGUUCUUCGAAAGCGGCCUUGCUCUACUGCCCCAGCUCCCAACGUGAUUGCAUGUGCAUCUUUUUCUACUUUAAUGAGAUCUUCCAAAUCCAGCUAAAUUUUUAGUAUUAUUAGAGGUAAAGCUACUUCAUGCAUUCGAAUCUAGGACUUGGUUCAAACAACGAAGAAAGGGGGGAAAUCGUAGCAUGAAUCUAGGACUUUAUUCAAAGAGGAAAUAACAGGGGGAAAGUAGUAGAGACUGGAUACCCAACCGGUCUCUAGGUUGAAAAGGGAAAUAAUGGGAAAACUUAAUACAAACUGGAUAAGGAAUAGAUCUAUUAUUUGUUGAAAAAAGGAUAGAAAGUGGCGGCUGGUGGACAAGUCAACAGAGUAUAUCUAGGAUUAGAUUUGCUGCCCUCACAUGGUAAAAGGUCUCCAGGAUUAGAUUUGCUGCCCUCACAUAGUAAAAGGUCUCCAGGAUUUGAUUUGCUUCCCUCACAUAGGAAAAGUUCUCCAGGAUUAGAUUUGCUGCCCUCACAUAGGAAAAGUUCUCCAGGAUUAGAUAUGAUGCCCUCACAGAGCAUGAAAAAACUCGGCAUCACCACUUUAUGCCUCCUUGUAGGUACAUUAUGCUGAUGCAUCCACUGUCGCAUGUCCUUAUACCAAUGUUUUUCUAUUGUUAAUGUAAGGGCAUAUGUGAAAUGAAGCGAUCACACUGUUACAUUAAGGACUUGUCUAACCAGUGUUAUUGUUAAUCUAAUGCCUCCAGUGAUAUGAUGCAAUUAAACUAUGUUAACAAAUUGUACUCCUUCUAUUUUCCCAGUAUGACAAGUAAGUUGCUUCUUUACGCUGCCGAGUGAUCUGGUGUCCCCACUGUCCCAUGCCCUUAAACCAACUCUUUAGCUACUGUUGAUUUACUGUAUCUAGUAAACAAGCAAUGCCACCAUUAAAGUAAUCCCAUAUUUGAGGAAUGUCAUAGUUGAUCGUAUUGCUUCCGGUAACAUGAAGCAUUGCUAAUGUUUUAUAAUUUCUAUUGUCCUUGCGUGAUUGCCAUGAACAUAAUUAAUAUGCUUCCUUUCAUUUUGUGUAUGUUUCAUAUAUUCUUAUUGACCAGCAACCGUUUACUUUCUAUCUUUUUGUGCAGAUAGGGAUAUCCAUUUCACCUAUUGCUAUUAUGACCUUUUGGUGAACUGCACAAAACACUUUCUUUUGGAAUGAGUGUCUUGUGCAGUUCAACUAAAAUGUCACGUGAGCAACAUCUCUCAAUUUUGGUGGAAUUGCACAAAAUGGUGAUUAGAGUUUCCAAAAUCUCUAUCAAAUUCUACUGGUAAUCUCAUGCAACAUUUUAUUAGCUUUUGCAAGAUGAGCCGUCGCUGUCACCACAAUGGCACUUUAUUUUAGUGGCAUUGCACAAAAGGAUAAGCAAAUUAUUGUUGCACCUUACCUCAGCAGGACAACCAACCUCAAUGUUGCUGAAGUUUAGUGCAACUACUAAAGAAGAACCUGCCAGCUCAUGAGAGCAAGUACUUCUUGCUAGCUGAAUGAUGCAAUCUUUGCGUCAUUUCAGGUGAACUGCAGAAAAAGGUGCAUGAAUUGAAUCAUGGAUCUGCAGGUUGACCUCAUCCGAGUGGAGUUGCAGGUUUACCACAUCGAGUCAUGGCGGUAUAGGGCCCCUCACACCGGUUGCUUCAACUAGUGCCACUAUUAUAGUAAUCAUGCUCUUUCUUAUCUAUGCAAAUAGGAAUACUCUACUACAUACGUUGUGAUGGUCAAGAGCAUUCGCCAAGUUCUUGGGUUGUAUGACAUGACUAGCCAAGAUGGAUUUAAUCCCGAUAUUCACUUUAUCAAAAGGCUCUAAUGGGUUGAUUCUGAAUCUUGCAAGCUAGGAAUCAAUGAGAUGUGUAGGCAUCUUUGUUGUACUUAUUAUUUGAAUCUUAUUUGUUGGUUCUGAAUCUUGGAAGUUGGGAAUCAAUGAGAUGUGUAGGCAUCUUUGUUGUACUUAUUAUUUGAAUCUUAUUUGUUGGUUCUGAAUCUUGCAAGCUAGGAAACACGGCAUGAUGAUGCAGAGGACAGCAACCAUAACAAACUGUUCAAACUUGGUAGUAUUUUCUGUGUGAAAGUGCGGCAAAUGUGCUGAUCAUGUGCGUCCUUAGAAUAAUAAUUCUAAUUGUUGUGCAUGUUGAUCCUGUGGCACUGAUAGAACGAGCCAAUGCAUUGCUUGUUUUAAGAAUAAAUUUUAAUUAAAGCUAAUUAAAUUUAAGUAAAGUGACCACUAACACUUGUUAUUACAGUACCAAUACAGACACACUCGUGAACCAACGUAUGUGGCCGGAAUAGGUUUCUUAAUGGAGGCGUUUGAAUGCGCCGAGGGUGCAUAUUCUGUCAGGCGUGCAGCGGGCGAAGGAGGGGUAGUAACUGUUGUCGCCAAUACACACUUAGUUUACUGUUGAAUCGAGUUCCCCAAGAGCUAAAAAACGAACUGUUGUUGCCGCCUACUCACGCGUUCACUUGAAGAGACUCCAAUGGAAAUCGAAGGGGUGAGCCUGCUGGAUAUGGAAUUUAGCAAGGAGUUCACCUUUGAGUUCUCCGUUCAGUCCCAUGGCAGCACCAAGUUGAAUGUGAUGUACACCAAUGAUCCGGACUCGGUGAAGCUCUGCCUCGCCGAGUUCAAGCAGUACCUACAGGAUGAGAAAGCACAAGGUCGCAGGACUAGACCUUGUGCCCAUCCAUUCAUCUCCUAACAGGGACCAGCGGAUCGCGGUCGCCCAGGUAUGCAUGUGAGACGAGGUUCUCGUCUACCACUGCUGUAGGGCCAUCCGAGGUUCUGGAGGAUUCGCUCGUUUCAUCGGCAGCGCCGACUACACCUUCGGUACGGUGGAGAGAAGGAAGAACGCGACAAUUCAGCCAUCUGGUGCAAUAAGCUUGUCGACAUCCAGAAGCAAUACAAGAUCAUUGGCAAUGGGUAGGAGAAGGACUCCAUGGUUGACCUCGCUAAGACCAUCAUGAACCCCUGCUACGCCAACAUGAAAGAAGACAAUGAUACCAAGGAGCUCCACCGGCCACACUGCAUCCGAACAAGUCAACCCUCGUACUCCCCUCCGCCUGCGUCUUCCCCCGCUCCGGUUCGUUCGGUCCAUGGUCUCGAUGUCGUCCUCCGCCUUGGUGCUCUCACCGCGGCGCCGCCGUCUAUCAUUCCCAACAUGGUCAGCAAAACAAGAGGAAUCGGGAGACAACUGUUCGUCGAGAGGCUGACAGUCCCGAGCCCAUCAGGUCCAUGGCCUAGGUUUUGUUGUUUAACAUGGCAGCCCACAACAUGUUUCAACGUUUUUUGGAUCAAGCGGCCUCUGGGCCUCCCAACCUAGCUUGUCUAUAACAUCAGUAGCCCAAGUUAUCUUUGUUUUUUCAAUACGACGCACAACUCAGUUCUAUUUUUCUAUAAGAAUGCAAAACGGAACCUAUAUUUUCCCUUCAAUAAUAGUAUAUAUAUAUAUACAUCUUAUUUUAUCACAUAUAUAUAUAAUAUAUAAACAACAUAAGGUUCCGUUAAACCUGUCGUUCGUCCAACCAUUUUAUAGACCUUCCCACUUCCUUUAUUUUUUGUUUUCAUUAAUCCUAUAUCUGAAUUUUCUUCCACUUUCUUUUUCGAUGUAAACUGAAUUUUCUCUUAGUACUUUUCCCUAGAACCAACUCAAUUGUCCCACGUCUAGCCUAAAAUAUAAUAAUACCCCACGUCCUAUUAACUCAUCAAAUUAAAAUGAUAUUUUAUUUCGUAAAUUGAAAGUUCUUACAAAAUAAUAAUAAUAAUUGUUUAUAUAUAACUUGGAAAGCUAACUCCUAGUGAUUGCGUACAUAAGCUUGCAAAGAUUUUACUGACCAAUGCAGUAAUAGACGUGCAAUCAUGUGUUUAUGUUUUUAUAACAUUUCUCCAUCCAGCCCAACAUGAUAUUUUCACCCAGCCCAGCAAGUCCGCGGAUUUCGAGAAAAAUGCAAAUGGGCUUUAAAUUCUAAUAUAUAUAUAUAUAUAUAUAUAUAUAUAUAUAUAUAUAUAUAUAUAUAUAUAUAUAUAAACGGGUUGCAUAGAUGCUACAUCAUUGUUUCAUCCAGCCCACCAAAUGGACUGGCUGACAUGUGGGCCAGUAGGUCAAAGCCUAAGCAACGCGUUGGAUUUACAUCUAACGGUCGGCAUUCUUCUUCAAUCUCUCGUCUUCUUCCCCCAGCGCUGCCGGGAUCGCCUGCUCCAGCCUCCGGCGUCCGACGGUGUUGUUUUGCACGCCUCACAGUGAAAAGCUACCCCGCCGACGGCCAGGCCAUCCCUCCACUCCACACCCGCUGUUAUUCUCUGCCGAGUGUAGGCCCACCCCACACCUGAACCAGUCAAGUUUCCCACUCCUCUGCGUCUUUGAAUCCACUAACGCGGCUUCCCCAUCUCCGGGUCAUUCUAGUCUGGGGCCUCACCGUCGUCCACUGCCUCGCUGCGCUCGGCGCGGCAUGGUCAACAAACGAGAAUCCUCGGAAGAGGACUGUACGUGAGAGCUUGACGGCUAGGACCCAUGAGGUCCAUGGUCGCACGCAAGGAAAGUUCAUCCUUAUUAAGUUGUUUCCUCCCCCUGACAGCUGGGACCUGAGGGAGUCCUGGAUAAGGGGGUAUUCAGACAGCUGGACUAUAUGCUUUGGCUGGACUGUUGGACUAUGAAGAUACAAGAUUGAAGACUUCGUCAUGUGUCCAGAUGGGACUCUCCUUUGCGUGGAAGGCAAGCUUGGCGAUUCGGAUGUUAGAUCUCCUUCUUUGUAACCGACUCUGUGUAAUCCUAGCCCCCUCCGGUGUCUAUAUAAACCGGAGGGUUUAGUCCGUAGGAUAACAACAAUCAUAAUCAUAGGCUAGCUUCUAGGGUUUAGCCUCUAUGAUCUUGUGGUAGAUCAACUCUUGUAAUACUCAUAUCAUCAAGAUCAAUCAAGUAGGAAGUAGGGUAUUACCUCCAUCGAGAGGGCCCGAACCUGGGUAAACAUCGUGUCCCCAGCCUCCAGUUACCAUUAGCCUUAGACGCACAGUUCGGGACCCCCUACCCGAGAUCCGCCAGUUUUGACACCGACAGGACCCACCGGCUAUAUCUUCGCAUGGAAGGAAGUGCCUCCUUGUUAUGCGAAAAAACUAUUCCUCCCAAUGACAGCUCGGACCCGGCAGAUUUGGUAGCUAACUUGUGGGCCUACUAAGCAGACGUGUACGCAGGGCUUUGUCAACUUAAGCAACAAAUGAUUCUAGCAGCCGGACCGUUGGAUGUUAAUCCAACAGUCGUGCUCCUUCUUCAACCUCUGUUCUUGCUCCUGUCUCCCGUGGGUGGCAGUGCUACCGCACACCCAAACAAGUCAAGUUUCCCACUCCUCUCCAUCUGUGAUUCCAUUGUCCCAUCUUCCCCAUCUCCGGGUCAUUCCAGUUUGGGGCCUCUCCGUCAUCCACCGGCCUUGGUGCGCUCGGCAUGGUGUGGUCAACAUGGUCAACAAACGAGAGUCAUCGGAAGCCUCACACCGCAGACGAACCAGUGAGCCCUCGUACUCCUCUCCAUGCGGGCUUCCACUGCCGCGUCUUCCCCGGAUCCGUGUUGUACCCUUCCUAGGCCUCACUGUCGUCCACCGCCCUGGUGCUCUCGGCGCGGCAUGGUCAGUGUGGUCAAGGAAUGACUUCCAUCGGAAGAGUACUGUACAUAGAGAGGCUGAUAGCUGGGUCCACGGCAGCCGCAAGGAAGUGCCUCCUUAUUACGCGCAAAAUAAUUAUUCCUCCACCUGACAGCAGGGACCCACCGGACGGGCCACCGUAUUUCAUGAAAAAAACAUUUCCGCCUGACUGCUGGGACCCACCAGCUACAUCUUCGCACGCAAGGAAGUGCGUCCAUAUUAUGGGCAAAAAAUGAUUCGCCCCCUGACUGCUAGGACCCACCAGCUACAUCUUCGCACUCAAGGAAGUGCCUGACAAUCGGGACCCACCUCGUCGAAGCAUACGUAGUGUUGACAUUCUAGUUGCGAACGUGUACGUACAUAGUGGUCGAUGUAGACGCGCACGUGUCGUAGUAGAGGUGCACACGUAGCAUGUACAUGUACGUACAGCGGCCAGGGUGCAAGAAAGUAAAUACGGCCACGUACGGGGUCUCGAACGCCUACUCGCACAUACGUAUGGCCAGGGCUCAUGUACAUGGUUGGGUCGGAACGGAGAAACUGCGUCGUCGUCGUGUUCAUGGGGAGCCAACCGGCUGGGUCGGAACGGAAUGCGUCGUCAUGUUCAUUGGGACGGCUUGGACGGAAUAACCGAUGGAAACGAGGCCUGGCGUACCACACAACGGAGGAAACGGCCUUAUGUUCGACCGGCCAUGGUCGAAAUGGGGUCUUGUUCAUCGGGAGGGGUCUGGCGUACCGCAAAAUGGAGGAAUCGGACUUCUGCUGGACCUCCUACGGUCGAAACAGAGUCCUGUUGAUCGGGAGGGGUGUGGCGUACCACAAAACGGAGGAAACGGACUUGUGUUGGAGCGCUACGGUCGAAACGGUGGUCCUGUUCAUCGGGAGGGGUGUGGCGUACCGCAAAAUAGGACACCAUGGGAUACUGUUCGUCUCCACCAUCGACCUACUCCAGCCUCCACGGGCUACUGUUCAUCCACCGUAGACCUCCUCCAGCCUCCACAUGCGACUGUUCAUCCAGCCUCCACCGUGCGCUACUCCACCGGCUACUGUUCAACCAUCCCUCUCCACGGGGUCCUGUUCAACCACCCCUCCACGGGCUACUGUUCAUCCAGCCCUCCACCAGCUACUGUUCAACCAGCCCUCCACGGGGUCGUCCUGUUCAUCCAUCCCUCCAUGGGGUCGUGUUCAUCUAUCCCCAACCGGCUCGAUCGGGGUCCUGUUCAUCCAGAGGCAACACCAUGGGGUCCUGUUCAUCCACCCCCACUGGGAACUGUUCAUCCAAACCCCCCAGCAAUGCUCACUGUUCAUCCAGGGUCAGCAUCGAUGGGCUUCAGUUAGCAGCAGUGGCGAAGGAAUUGCUCGAUCGCUCGGGUUCAGUAACGCGUAGCCUGCAGUGCAAUCGCUCGGGUUCAGUUAGGCGAACGCCUCGCUCGGGUUCAGUUAGAGCCCAAUGCCUCGCACCCAUGCGCGUACAUGUACAAGAAACGUGCAUCGCUCGGCCCCCGACCACCCACCAUAACCGGUAACUCGCCGAUAUUUUCCUCACCCUCGCUUCUACCAUGGUUUUUUCCGUCAUGGACGGCCCAAAGAUUGUCAUGCAGCUGCGUCUCCGGCCCGCCCAGGACGAAAAGCCCAUUUUCUGUCAUGAUUUUUUGUCAUAGAAGUAGGAGCUCACCACAUCUAUGAUGAUACCGGGUUUUGUCACAAUUAUCGUCAUAGUGUCAUAAGUAUGACAGGAAAAAAAUUCGUUCGGCCCAAAGUGUCACGGGUGUGUCUUUUUUUUUGUAGUGUCAACUACUAUUCCUUCUCCGGAUAUAACAUGUCCGAGAAAUCCGACUUCCUUUAACCAAAAACUGACAUUUCCUGAACUUGGCAUACAACUAAUGUUCUCUGAGCUUCUCAAGAACCAAACGCAAAUGCUCCUUAUCCUCUUCUUGAAGGAAAUAUGCCCUAGAGGGAAUAAUAAAGUGAUGUGAAUAUUGGUGUUAAAUCACAUGGUGAUGUGAACUAGAUUAUUGACUCUAGUGCAAGUGGGAGACUGAAGGAAAUAUGCCCUAGAGGCAAUAAUAAAUUUAUUAGUCAUUUCCUUAAUUCAUGAUAAAUGUUUAUUAUUCAUGCUAGAAUUGUAUUAACCGGAAACUUAGUACAUGUGUGAAUACAUAGACAAAACUUAUAGUCCCUAGUAUGCCUCUACUUGACUAGCUCGUUAAUCAAAGAUGGUUAUGUUUCCUAACCAUAGACAUGUGUUGUCAUUUGAUGAAUGGUAUCACAUCAUUAGGAUAAUGAUGUGAUGGACAUGACCCAUCCGUUAGCUUAGCAUUAUCAUCGUGUUAGUUUCAUUGCUACUGCUUUCUUCAUGACUUAUACAAGUUCCUCAUACUAUGAGAUUAUGCAACUCCCUAAUACCGGAGGAACACUUUGUGUGCUACCAAAUGUCACAACAUAAAAGGGUGAUUAUAAAGGUUAGGAUCUGUCACUCCGUGUUUCGGAGAGGUAUCUCUGGACCCUCUCGGUAAUACUCAUCACUGUAAGCCUUGCAAGCAUUGUAACUAAUGAGCUAGUUGCGGGAUGAAGUAUUACGGAACGAGUAAAGAGACUUGCUAGUAACGAGAUUGAACUAGUUAUAAUGAUACCAAUUAUCGAAUCUCGGGCAAGUAACAUAUCGAUGACAAAGGGAACAACGUAUGUUGUUAUGCGGUUUGACCGAUAAAGAUCUUCGUAGAAUAUGUAGGAACCAAUAUGAUCAUCCAGGUUCCGCUAUUGGUUAUUGACCAGAGACGUGUCUCGGUCAUGUCUACAUAGUUCUCGAACCCGUAGGGUCUGCACACUUAACGUUUGAUGACGAUUAGUAUUAUGAGUUUAUGUGAUAUGUUGUACCGAGGAUUGUUAGGAGUCCUCGAUGUGAACACGGACAUGACGAGGAGUCUAGAAAUGGUCGAGACAUAAAGAUUGAUAUAUUGGAAGCCUAUGUUUGGACAUCGGCAUGGUUCCGGAUAAGUUCGGGCAUAUACUGGAGUACCGGGAGGUUAGCGGAACCCCUCGAGAAGUAUAUGGGCCUUAUUGGGCCAUAGUGGGAGAGAGGAGAAGGGAACCUAGGAGGGCAACCCCCCCCCCCGCCCCCAAGCCCAAUCCUAAUUGGGUAGGGGCCGGCCCCCCCUUUCCUUCCUCCUUCCUCCCUCGUCCUUCCUCUCCUAGUCCAACUAGGGAAUGGGGGGUAUCCUACUCCCGGUGGGAGUAGGACUCCUCCAGGGCGCGCCAUAGAGGGCCGGCCCUCCCCCCUCCUCCACUCCUUUAUAUACGGGGGAGGGGCACCCCAUAGACACACAAGUUGACAUUGUUUAGCUGUGUGCGGUGCCCCCCUCCACAAUUACACAUCUCGGUCAUAUCGUCAUAGUUCUUAGGCGAAGCCCUGCACCGGUAACUUCAUCAUCAUUGUCACCACGCCAUCAUGCUGAUGAAACUCUCCCUCGGCCUCACCUGGAUCAAGAGUACCAGGGACGUCUCUGAGCUGAGCGUGUGCUGAAUGCGGAGGCGUCGUAUGUUCGGUGCUUGGAUCAGUUGGAUCGUGCAUUCGACUACAUCAACCGCAUUAACUAAACGCUUCCGCUUUCGGUCUACGAGGGUACGUGGACACACUCUCCCCUCUCGUUGCUAUGCAUCACAUAGAUAGAUCUUGAGUUAUCAUAGGAAAUUUUUUGAAAUUACCGCGUUCCUCAACAGUGGCAUCCGAGCCAGGUCUAUGCGUAGAUGUUAUAUGCACGAGUAGAACACAAAGAGUUGUGGGCGAUAAUAGUCAUACUGCUUACCAGCAUGUCAUACUUUGAUUUGCGGGUAUUCUUGGAUGAAGCAGCUCAGACCAACAUUACGCAUACGCUUACGCGAGACUGGUUCUACCGACGUGCUUUGCACAUAGGUGGCUGGUGAGUGUUUGUUUCUCCAACUUUAGUUGAAUCGAGUGUGGCUACGCCCAGUCCUUGUUGAAGGUUAAAACAGCACACUUGACGAAAAAUCAUUGUGGUUUUGAUGCAUAGGUAAGAACGGUUCUUGCUAGAAGCCCGUAGCAGCCACGUAAAACUUGCAACAACAAAGUAGAGGACGUCUAACUUGUUUUUGCAGGGCUUGCUGUGAUAUGAUAUGGUCAAGCAUGAUGUGAUAUAAAUUGUUGUAUGAGAUGAUCAUGUUUUUUGACAAAGUUAUCGGCAACUGGUAGGAGCCAUAUGGUUGUCGCUUUAUUGUAUGCAAUGCAAUCGCCAUGUAAUUGUUUUACUUUAUCACUAAGCGGUAGCGAUAGUCGUAGUAACAAUAGAUGGCGAAACGACAAUGAUGCUACGAUGGAGAUCAAGGUGUCGCGCGGGUGACGUUGGAGAUCAUGACGAUGCUUCGGUGAUGGAGAUCAUGAGCACAAGAUGAUGAUGGCCAUAUCAUGUCACAUAUUUUUAUUGGAUGUGAUGUUUAUCCUUUAUGCAUCUUAUUUUGCUUAGAACGUCGGUACCAUUAUAAGAUGAUCCCUUACUAAAUUUCAAGGUACAAGUGUUCUCCCUGAGUAUGCACCGUUGCUACAGUUCGUCAUGCCGAGACACCCCAUGUUGAUCGGGUGUGAUAAGCUCUACAUUCACAUACAACGGGUGCCAGCCAAUUUUGCACAUGCAGAAUACUCGGGUUAAACUUGACGAGCCUAGCAUAUGCAGAUAUGGCCUCAGAACACUGGAGACCGAAAGGUUGAGCGUGAAUCAUAUAGUAGAUAUGAUCAACAUAGUGAUGUUCACCAUUGAAAACUACUCCAUCUCACGUGAUGAUCGGACAUGGUUUAGUUGAUUUGGAUCAUGUAAUCAUUUAGAUGACUAGAGGGAUGUCUAUCUAAGUAGGAGUUCUUAAGUAAUAUGAUUAAUUGAACUUUAACUUAUCAUUAACUUCUGGUAGUAUUUUGCAAAUUAUGUUGUAGAUCAAUAGCUCACGUUAUAGCUUCCCUAUGUUUUUUAUAUGUUCUAGAGAAAACUAAGUCGAAAGAUGAUAGUAGCAAUGAUGCGGACUUGGUUCAUGAUCUGAGGUUUAUCCUCAUUACUGCACAGAAGAAUUAUGUCCUUGAUGCACCACUAGGUGACAAACCUACUGCACGAGCAGAUGCACACGUUUGGCUAGCUCAAUAUGAUGACUACUUGAUAGUUUAGUGCACCAUGCUUUACGGCUUAGAACUGGGAGUUCAAAAACGUUUUUUGAAACGUCAUGGAGCAUAUGAGAUGUUCCAAGAGCUGAAAUUGGUAUUUCAGACUCAUGCCCGUGUCAAGAGGUAUGAGACCUCUGACAAAUACUUCGCCUAAAAUAUGGAGGAGAAUUGCUCAACUAGUGAGCAAGUGCUUAGAUUGUCUGGGUACUACAAUCGCUUGAAUCAAGUGGGAGUUAAUCUAACAGAUAAGAUAGUGAUUGACAAAGUUCUCUAGUCACCAUCACCAAGUUACUGGAACUUCGUGAUGAACUAUAGUAUGCAAGGGAUGACGCAAAUGAUUCCCGAGCUCUUCGUGAUGCUGAAAUCGACGAAGGUAGAAAUCAAGAAAGAACAUCAAGUAUUGAUGAUUGACAAGACCACUAGUUUUAAGAAAAGGGCAAAGGGAAAGAAAGGGAACUUCAAGUAGAAUUGCAAGCAAAUUGUCACACCCGUGAAGAAGCCCAAAGCUAGAUCAAAGCCUGAAACUGAGUGUUUCUACUGCAAAAGGAAAUGGUCACUGGAAGUGGAACUGCCCCAAAUAUUUGGCGGAUAAGUAGGAUGGUGAUGACCCACAAGUGUAGGGGAUCUAUCAUAGUCCUUUUGAUAAGUAAGAGUGUCGAACCAAACAAGGAGCAGAAGGAAAUGACAAGCGGAUUUCAAUAAGGUAUUCUCUGCAAGCACUGAAAUUGUAAGUAACAGAUAGUUUUGUGAUAAGAUAAUUUGUAACGGGUAACAAGCAAUGAAAGUAAAUAAGGUGCAGCAAGGUGGCCCAAUCCUUUUUGUAGCAAAGGACAAGCCUGGACAAGUUCUUAUAUGAGAAAAGCGCUCCCGAGGACACAUGGGAAUUAUCGUCAAGCUAGUUUUCAUCACGCUCAUAUGAUUCGCAUUCGUUACUUUGAUAAUUUGAUAUGUGGGUGGACCGGUGCUUGGGUACUGACCUUUCUUGGACAAGUAUCCCACUUAUGAUUAACCCCUAUUGCCAGCAUCCGCAACUACAAAAGAAGUAUUAAGGUACUAACCAUAUCAUGAAACAUGUGGAUCCAAAUCAGCCCCUUACGAAGCAACGCAUAAACUAGGGUUUAAGCUUCUGUCACUCUAGCAACCCAUCAUCUACUUAUUACUUCCCAAUGCCUUCCUCUAGGCUGAAACAAUGGUUAACUUUCAUGUAGUCGACAUUCACAUAACACCACUAGAGGAUAGACAACAUACAUCUUAUCAAAAUAUCGAACGAAUACCAAAUUCACAUGACUACUUAUAGCAAGACUUCUCCCAUGUCCUCAGGAACAAACUUACUACUCACAAAUCAUAUUCAUGUUCAUAAUAAAGGGGUAUUGAUAUGCAUUAAGGAUCUGAACAUAUGAUCUUCCACCAAAUAAACCAACUAGCAUCAACUACAAGGAGUAAUCAACACUACUAGCAACCCACAGGUACCAAUAUGAGGUUUUGGUACAAAGAUUGGAUACAAGAGAUGGACUAGGGUUUGAGAGGAGAUGGUGCUGGUGAAGAUGUUGAUGGAGAUUGACCUGGCGGACGAGCAUGACCUGGACCACGUUGACAAGCUUGAUCUUCUUGUCUCUCAUAUUUUUGAUGCAGAUCUGGAGUCCGGUCAGCUCCACAGGUACGCCCCAGGCCAGGCCCUUCUUUUCCCAGGAGGUGAUCUGCACGGGGAUGCCGGAUCGGAAUUCGGGGGCCGCCGCCCAGUUGGCGUCGCGCGGUUCGGUGAUGUAAAACCACCCCGAUUGCCACCCCUUCACGGUGUCCACGAAGGAGCCUUUGAUCCAGGUAACGUUGGGCAUCUUGCCACCAUGGCACCUCCGCACUCCGCUUGCUGGCUGCUCACUAUCUUCGGUUUCACGCUGAAGAUUUGUAGCCACAGGCCAAAGUGGGGCUUGAUGCGGAGGAAGGCCUCGCACACGACGAUAAACGCUGAGAUGUUGAGGACGAAAUUUGGGGCUAGAUCAUGAAAAUCUAGCCCAUAGUAAAACAUGAGCCCGCGGACAAAUGGGUGAAGUGAGAAUCCCAGUCCGCGGACGAAAUGAGAGAGGAACACUACUCUUUCCCGAGAUUUUGGAGUUGGAGUGAUCUUCCGCUUCGCCGUAAGCCGGUGCGUGAUGUUUGCGGCCAGGUAUUCGGACUCCCGAAGCUUGGUAAUGUACUCCUCCGUAACGGAGGAGGCCAUCCACUUGCCUCCCGCUCUGGACAUGUUGCGAAUGGUCUUACGGAGAAGGUGGGAACUUGGGCGCUGGAGCUCGACGGUGCGAGAAUGGAUGAGUAAAGGAGGAAGAAGGCGUGGGUGAAAACGGGGAAUCCUUAUCUCUUUAUAAAGGCGGUAGAAACUGUGCGCCUCCCCACUUGCCUGUCAAAAUCACUCAUUUUCCAAGCAUCAUGAUUUAUGGCACGGUUGGGUUACCCAUACCCGUAUUGAUGAGAAUCCCGUGAUGAGGGUACAUGAUCUCUACUUCGACAAGACGUGCCAAGGAAACCGCCUCGCAAUAUGUGCGGUGGCUGGUUGGGAGAAAACGGUUCGAAUAAUGAUCGGGCCAUGGUGUGAUGUCACGCUAUGUAAAGUUGUCAGCAAAUUAGAUUUGUGGAAUAUUGUUCUCUCUACGGUGGUAUGUGAACUUUGUUUUGCAGAGCCGAACACGAUUUAAGUGUUCGAAAUUUUUUCUGGAGUACUCGGAGAUGGAACCCGCCUUGCAAUGCCGAAGACAAUCUGCGUGCCGGACUCAUCGUCAUUGAAGCCUGGUUCAGGGGCUACUGAGGGAGUCCUAGAUUAGGGGGUAUCCGGACUGCCGGACUAUAUACUUUGGCUGGACUGUUGGACUAUGAAGAUACAAGAUUGAAGACUUCGUCCCGUGUCCGGAUGGGACUCUCCUUUGCGUGGAAGGCAAGCUUGGCGAUUCGGAUGUUAGAUCUCCUUCUCUGUAACCGACUCCGUGUAACCCUAGCCCCUUCCGGUGUCUAUAUAAACCGGAGGGUUUAGUCCAUAGGAAAAGAAGAACAAUCAUAAUCAUAGGCUAGCUUCUAGGGUUUAGCCUCUAUGAUCUCGUGGUAGAUCAACUCUUUUAAUACUCAUAUCAUCAAGAUCAAUCAAGCAGGAAGUAGGGUAUUACCUCCAUCGAGAGGGCGCGAACCUGGGUAAACAUCGUGUCCCUAGCCUCCUGUUACCAUUAGUCUUAGACGCACAGUUCGGGACCCCCUACCCGAGAUCCGCUGGUUUUGACACCGACAUUGUUGCUUUCAUUGAGAGUUCCUCUGUGUCGUCAUUGCAAGGCUUGAUGGCUCCUUCAAUCAUCAGCAAUAAUACGGUCCAGGGUGAGACUUUUCUCCCCGGACGGAUCUUCGUAUUCGGUGGCUUCACACUUCGGGCCAAUUUGUUUGGCCAUCUGGAGCAGAUCCAUAGCUACGCCCCCGGCCAUCAGGUCAGGUUCGGAAACCUAAUCUACACAGCCGACAUCCGUGGAGACCUGAUAUUCGAUGGAUUUGGUCGCGCGUCAGGAGCGCCGAAUGAUCACGACGAGCAUGACUUAGAUCUGCCAUCGAACAGUAUUCGGAAUAUCGCACCUGCUACCGCUCCGGACUUCAAUCUGGAGCAGGUUGUGUCAUCUGAGGACGGGUGGAUGGACCCCGCCACGGAGGCCGCACACUCAUUGGCGUUGGAGCCGAACACAGACUCCACCUCUAAGGAAAUCUAUGUCACUGGACCCCUAGACUUGUCUCUGGCCGUAGGUUCCAGACCGCGUGCAUCCGUGCCCAUCGAAUCCGAUUGGGCCCCGAUCAUGGCGUUCACCGCCGCGGAUAUCUUUCAGCACUCGCCCUUCGGUGACAUGCUAAAUUCAUUAAGGUCUCUCUCUUUUUCAGGAGACUCUUGUCCGAACUAUGUCCGGCUCAAGUGGGAAGCAGAUGAUGAAGGAAUUCGUUACCCACCCUCCACCCACUUAAUUACCACUAUCAAUGACUUAACCGACGUGCUCGACUUCGACUCUCAAGACAUCGAUGGUAUGGACGACGAUGCAGGAGAAGAACAGGAACCACCGCCCACAGGGCGCUGGACAGCCACCUCCUCAUAUGAUAUAUAUAUAUAUAUAUAUAUGGUAGACACCCCCAAAGAAAACAAUGGCGAUGAGGCAACAGAAGAUAACCACUUAGGGAAGCAAUCAAAGCAUGGGCGUCAUCGGCGCCGCUCUAAGCCCGGCCAUAGCAACACUGGCACAGGAGAGGAUAACAAUCCAGAUGGUGCCGAAGAUGAAUACAAUCCCGAUCAGCCUAAUUUCGAGCAGGCCGAACAGGAGGACGGGCAAGCUAGCCCAGACGAACAGGCGAUGGACAGAGACUUGGAGGAUGACAACUAUAUGCCUCUCUCCAAAGACAAGGUGAGACUCGGCAAUGAUGAAUUUGUCGUGCCUGAGGAUCCCGUCGAGCAGGAGCGCGUUAAGCACCGGCUUGUAGCCACUGCAAGAAGCCUAAAGAAGAAGAAGCAGCAGCUCCAGGCUGAUCAAGAUCUGCUCACAGACAGAUGGACUAAGGUCCUGGCAGCCGAGGAAUACGGACUCGAGCGCCCAACCAAAGGUUACCCAAAGCACAAGUUGCUACCUCAACUCGAGGAGGAGGCCCUAUAGCCUACACUACUAGCACAGGACGAGGCUGACCGGCCACCUCGUGGCCGAGACAAAGCGGCGUAUCAGCCCGAAUACCACCCCGCACCCCGACGCGAAUACACUACGGCCCGGACCAAUAUGCAGGACCCGCGAGACAUAUUGGAAAACAAAGCAGGACAGCCAAGAUCGAUCUAUGGAUCGCGGGGGCGCGACACAACGCGUGAUGAUGACCAUCAUGCCGGAUACACUAACAAUAAGUUCGGCCGGGCCGAUCACAACCGACCAGACUUAUUCGAACUGCGUCGUGACAUAGCCCGGCAUAGAGGCGCCGCACACCCCCUCUGCUUCAUUGAUGAAGUAAUGGAUCAUGAAUUCCCGGAGAGGUUUAAACCCGUAAACAUCGAAUGAUACGAUGGCGCAACAGACCCCGCAGUAUGGAUUGAAUAUUUCCUUCUCCACAUUCACAUGGCCUGCGGUGGCAAUCUACAUGCCAUCAAGUAUCUUCCCCUUAAGCUCAAAGGACCGGCUCGACACUGGCUGAAUAGCCUGCUAGCGAACUCCAUUGGCAGUUGGGAAAACCUGGAGGACGCAUUCCUCGAAAACUUCCAAGGCACUUAUGUGCGGCCACUGGAUGCUGAUGACUUAAGUCACAUAACCAAACAGCUCGGAGAGUCAGCCAGGAAAUUCUGGACUCGGUUCCUAACUAAAAAGAACCAAAUUGUCGACUGUCCGGAUGCCGAAGCCCUAGCGGCCUUUAAGCAUAAUAUCCGCGACAACUGGCUCACCCGACACCUUGGCCAAGAGAAGCCAAAGUCCAUGGCAGCCCUAACGACACUCAUGACCCGCUUUUGCGUGGGCGAGGACAGCUGGCUGGCUCGCAGUAGCACCACGACAAGAAAUCCCGGUACUUCGGAUACACGCGACAGCAACGGCAAGCCACGACACGACAGACAUAAGCGUCGGAACAAUGGCGACAACACGGAAGAUAUGGCAGUCAAUGCCGGAUUCAGUAGCUCCAAAUCCGGUCAGCGGAAAAAGUCAAAAGAAACAAUCUGGGAUCGUCCAGUCUGGACCGCAUACUCAACCGCUCAUGCCAAAUUCAUGGCACCCCUGAUAAGCCAACCAACCACACUAACAGAGAAUGUUGGGUGUUCAAACAGGCCGGCAAGUUGAAUGCCGAAAACAAGGACAAGGGGCUGCACAUCGAAGACGACGAGGAGCCCCGGUGGCCGAACACAGGGGGACAGAAGAAAUUUCCUCCCCAAGUGAAAACGGUAAAUAUGAUCUAUGCCACCACAUUCCCAAGCGGGAACGAAAGCGUGCACUAAGGGACGUCUAUGCGAUGGAGCUAGUCGCCCCAAAGUUCAACCCAUGGUCAUCCUGCCCGAUCACUUUUGAUCACAGGGACCACCCUACCAGUAUCCAUCAUGGCGGUUCAGCCGCAUUGGUCCUCGACCCAAUCAUUGACGGAUUCCACCUCAUGCGAGUCCUCAUGGAUGGCGGCAGCAGCCUGAACCUGCUUUAUCAGGACACAGUGCACAAAAUGGGCAUCGAUCCCUCAAGGAUCAAACCCACCAAAACCACCAUUAAAGGUGUAAUCCCAGGUGUAGAGGCCUGUUGUACGGGCUCAAUAACACUAGAAGUAGUCUUCGGAUCUCCAGAUAACUUCCGGAACGAGGAGUUAAUCUUUGAUAUCGUCCAUUUCCGUAGUGGGUAUCACGUGCUACUUGGACGAACCGCAUUUGCUCGAUUCAAUGUGGUACCACACUAUGCAUAUCUCAAGCUCAAGAUGACAGGACCUCGCGGGGUUAUAACAGUCAAUGGAAACACAGACCGCUCUCUCCGAACGGAGGAGCGCACUGCAACCCUUGCAAUAGAAGUACAAAGUAGCCUUCUUCGGCAGACCGCCAACUUGGCGAUAAAAACCCCGGACACCGAAAAGCGAGUCUGGUGUACUCUGCAACAGGAUCGUCAGGCACGCCAAGAGCUCAACUAGCAAUUCGGCCUCCGUCCUAGUCCCAUUCAGGCGGCAUUUGUGCCACGCGUCCACAAUUACGCACGCAAAAUACCAUGGGCAUAGGAGGAGGCACGACGACGAUGCGGUCCAAAGUGCGGCUCAACCGUCACGAGAUCCGCACACCCAAAUCAUCUUCUUUCUUUUCAGGACCCUACCUUCGCGCAGCCCCUACACAGAACCUGAUCAUCGGACUCAUCACGGGAAGGAAAACCAAGGAUGCAAGAGGCUUUGUGAACAAAGGGAAUACCCAGGUGGUCUCUGUUAAUGAUUGUUAUACCUGUUUUACAUACCCACACGCAGCCUGCCCUUGGAUAGGACAUGUCAAAUAGUCCUAUUUUUUCUUAUCGCAUUAAUUGUACACAUACGCUUUGACGUAUUAUUUAAAUAACAAUGGGAAACAAUAUACAGCAUCAGCUUAUUAUUAUUUUCUCCAUAUUUUCCCUUGAUUGCUUAUUUAAAUAUUUCACCCGUACACUUUUGUACGUUCUGUUCGCCAGGGGCUUUAUUGUGCCCCAUAACACGGCAAGAAAAGUCCAAACACUUUCGACAGUGCGGCACCCCGAACUUAUAGCAUUAUAUGCAUCAGCUCCGAAUCAUGUCUUGGGUCAAUAGUUGGGUUUGCCCGGCUCCCUUAUUUUGGUACCUUACGUUCCGUUAUAUCGGCUAAGGUAGCACAGGGAGAACUACUGCGAUUGUGUCCCGGUUCUUCCGGAUGAGCACCUCAGUAGAGAAAGUCGAAAACUGACUGUCAUGAUGCGGCAAGAGCUGGUCGCUGUUCGAGAGGUCUUAAAUCCUUAAAGAUUUUUUCUGCUUCAGGCGAGGAAUCGGCCUUGUCCGAUUUAGGCGUGUAUAGCGGCCCAAGUUCGGCCUUCCGAAUACUAGGAGCUUUGCCGAAAUUUAAAAUUGUAGACUUCUAUGGCUAAGUGAGAGUUAUAAAGCCGCAUAGUCUGAUUGCCUUGUUCGCUGCGCUAAAUACCUCCUUAAAGGACCAAAAAUUUGGAUAAAGAGUGUUUGGGUUUUCCACGGACACCCCAGUACUAGUUACACGGGGGCGGAAGCCGACGACUGGCCUACUUUCAGAAUUUUAUAAACGGCGCACAGAAGGUAAUAUUUUAAAUCAAAAAGCGUUAUAUAGCGCACACGAACUCGUUUUAAUAUUACACAACGACAUGAGUACAUUCACUCAAAAAUUAUAUCCUUCGCACAUUCAUUAGCCACAAGGCGGGCGCCUUUCAUAACGCCGUCAUGAUACUUCUCGGGGUGGCGAUGCGCCUUGCCCUCCGGCGGACCCUCUGUCACCAGCUUCUCUGCAUCCAUUUUGGCCCAAUGCAUCUUCGCGCGGGGCAAAGGCCUGGCGGGCACCCUCAAUAGAGACGGAUUGCUUAAUAACUUCAAGCCGUGGAUAGGCAUUUACCAUCCACUUUAUAAGGCCGAAGUAGCUGUUGGGCAGGGGCUCGCCAGGCCACAUCCGGACUAUGAGGUCCUUCAUGGCCAGUUCAGCCGCCUUGUGGAGUUCGACCAAUUGCUUCAGUUUGUCACUCAAGGGCAUUGGGUGUUCGGCUCUAGCAUACUGGGACCAAAGCAACUUCUCCAUCGAGCUCCCCUCUUCGGCACGGUAGAACUCCGUGGCAUCUGAUAUGUUGCGUGGCAGAUCUGCGAAUUCCCCUGGAGAGCUCCAAAUUAGGGUAAGUAAAAGAAAUGUCUCCUCCACAUGCUUGCUUUGCAUAAUGAAUGCCUUACCCACCACUAUAUUUUUGGCCGCCUAAAUUUCCUGGAGGGCCUUUUGGGCUUCGGCCUUGGCGUCUUUCACGCUCUGGAGGGCCUUUGCAAGCUCAGACUCUUGCGUCUUGAAGUCAUGCUCCAAGGACUCGAAUUUCUUGCCGAAGUCCUAGAGCUCUUGUUGUACCUCGCUUACCCGAGCAUCCUGUUUUUCACGCUCGGUGCGCUCCUUGGCUGCCUUGUCUUCGGCCUCGGAUAGCGCUUUCUUCAGGGCCGCCACUUCGGUCGUGGCCCCUAUUAAAAAUCAUGAUGCUUUUGUUAGCAUCGCCAAUUUUUUCCUUUAUAUGACACACGGACGGGGCAUCACUUACCUUUGUUCUCUUCGAGCUGCCUCUUCGUGAGGCUGAGCUCUUCUUCUACCUGCUUCAGGUCCCGCUUGAGUCUGGCGACCUCCACAGUACGGGCGGCAGCGCAGCAGCAACGCCUGCUUAUUCACACAGACAUUCAUUGUUAGACUCCUCCAGAUUAAAGUUGACCCUCCGUUUGGCUUUUCUUUCCGAACACCAAACAGAGUAUUAGGGGCUACUAUCUAUCAGGUGAUAUUUUCUCACACUUUUGAUUACUUGCCUCAAAGCCUAUUAGGAGGCUGGUGCAGGCUUCGGUCAAUCCGCUUUUGGCGGACCGAACCUUCUCAAUCACCGUACUCAUAAGAGUACGGUGCUCUUCAUCAAUGGAAGCGCCGCGAAGCACUUCCAGCAAAUUAUCCGAUGCCUUCGGCUGGACGGAGGUCAUCGGCACGGCUGGCUCGCCCUACUUAGUGAGGGGCUGCCUACUUGAAUCUGGAACCUUUGGAGGUUCCGGUGCAGUAACCGGCUGGGAGCCAGACUUGCUGCAGCUCCCGUCAGCAUAAUCCAUGGGGAUCUUACCCCCCCCCCCAUGUGCCCGGCGUCUGGGAUUUCGCCCUGGGGCGUCUCCAGAACAGUCGCCCCCUCUUCUGGUAUCCUUUGGGAUAACACCUCGGUGUCAUCCGUGGGCCGUGGGGAGGUAGCCGUCGGGAGUGAAUCGCUAUUCAUCUUCGAUUCACUCAAGGACCCAUCCGAAGAGGAUAACUCAAGGUGGGACCCGGCCGAACUGCAUAUGCAUGUUCGGCGUUAUAACAAACCAUGAAGCUAAGACGCAUUAAACGUACUAUAGAGUACGGAUAAUUACGAUUUCGCCAAGGGCUUGCCCCUGGGCAACCACUCCUCCUCGCUAUAGGCGGCCGUGGUGGAGUAAUCCGGAAGGGAUGUCUUUCCCUUCUUCGGUGUCCUAGCCUCCCCCUGUGGGGCGCUUUUCUCUUCUUCUCCUCCCCGGUGCGGGGAGGGGGGAUUUCUUCAUUUUUUUCCGUCUCCCUGGGAGGAAUCUGCCUCGGCGUCCAUGGACGACGAAUAUAUUACGGCCCUGCGCCAGAGACCCUUCCUGGUCCCCGUAGCCUUCUUUUCGGCCUUCUUCUCCGGCACCUUGUAAGGAGCCGGAACCAGCAUCUCCGUCAGGAGUGCGGUUGCUGGAUCUUCAGGUAGCGGAGCCGGACAGUCGAUCCGCUCCGUCAUUGCCACAUAAUCCUGUUUUGUCAGCAUGGUGACUUAAAAUCCACCCAUGAAUAUGCUGGGAAAGGUACAUCUUGUGAUAUUUAGAGGGCUUACCGGAUUGGCGAGGCGCUUUGCGCUGAGUCCGCGGUCCUCGGAAGUGGGAGGAGGUACUUCGGCUGCUCUGAACAGCACCUUCCAGACGUCUUCAUGCAUUGUGUUGAAAACCUCUCACAGCAUCUGGUGUUCGGCCGGAUCGAACUCCCACAUAUAGAAUGCCCGUCUUUGACACGGGAGGAUCCGGCGGACGAGCACGACCUGGACCAUGUUAACAAACUUGAUCUUCUUGUCUCUCAUAUUUUUGAUGCAGUUCUGGAGUAUGGUCAGCUCCGUAGGUACACCCCAGGCCAUGUCGUUCUUUUCCCAGGAGGUGAUCCGCACGGGGAUGCCGGAUCGGAAUUCAGGGGCCGCCGACCAUUUGGCGUCGCGUGCUUCGGUGAUGUAGAACCACCCCGAUUGCCACCCCUUCACAGUCUCCACGAAGGAGCCUUCAAGCCAGGUAACGUUGGGCAUCUUGCCCACCAUGGCACCUCCGCACUCCGCUUGCUGGCUGCUCACUAUCUUUGGUUUCACGUUGAAGAUUUGUAGCCACAGGCCGAAGUGGGGCUUGAUGCGGAGGAAGGCCUCGCACACGACGAUAAACGCCGAGAUGUUGAGGACGAAAUUUGGGGCUAGAUCAUGAAAAUCUAGCCCAUAGUAAAACAUGAGCCCGCGGACAAAUGGGUGAAGUGGGAAUCCCAGUCCAUGGACGAAAUGAGAGAGGAACACUACUCUUUCCCGAGAUUUUGGAGUGGGGGUGAUCUGCCCCUUCACCGGAAGCCGGUGCGUGAUGUUUGCGGCCAGGUAUCCGCCCUCCCGAAGCUUGGUAAUGUCCUCCUCCGUAACAGAGGAGGUCAUCCACUUGCCUCCCGCUCCGGACAUGUUGCGAAUGGUCUUACAGAGAAGGUGGGAACUUGGGCGCUGGAGCUCGAGGGUGCGAGAAUGGAUGAGUAAAGGAGGAAGAAGGCAUGGGUGAAAACGGGCGAUCCUUAUCUCUUUACAAAGGCGGUAGAAACUGUGCACCUCCCCACUUGCCUGUCAAAAUCACUCAUUUUCCAAGUGCCACAAUUGAUGGCACGGUUGGGUUACCCAUACCCGUAUUGAUAAGAAUCCCAUGAUAAGGGGACACGAUCUCUGCUUCGACAAGAUGUGCCAAGGAAACCACCUCGCAAUAUGUGUGGUGGCUGGUUGUGAGAAAACGGUUCGAAUAAUGACCGGGUCGUGGUGUGAUGUCACGCUAUGUAAAGUUGUCAGCAGAUUAGAUUUGUGGAAUAUUGUUCUCUCUACGGUGGUAUGUGAAAUUUGUUUUAAAGAGCCGGACACGAUUUAAGUGUUUGAAAUUUGUUUUGGAGUAUUCGAAGAUGGAACCCGCCUUGCAAUGCUGUCGGGGAAAACUGAUCCACGAACACCUAUGGGGCCGGCGGACCGGGCCCCUUUCGGUUCGGCGGGGGGCGGAGGUCGCACGAAGAGCAGAUCGAGGCGAGGCACACGAGCAGUUUACCCAGCUUCGGAGCUCUCCGGAGAGAUAUCACUCCUACUACUGCUUGUCUGAUUGUAUUAUCUGGUGUUCUUGCUCUCGAGAGAGUGUGAUGUUUUCUGGGCUACGAAUGAAUCGAAGCAAACUGUCCGAACCUCCGAACCCCCUCUACGUUGCACAUGGGCCUCCUUUUAUACGCUAAAGGGGUCACCGACAGGUGGCAACGCAGAGGAGGGUAAAAACGUAAAAGGCGAGGUAGUUGAUACAGUUGCUUGUACAGUGCACCCUACCUAACCCUGACGGCAGGGGACAAGGGCAUUAAAUGCCCGUCUGAGUCGCCCGAACAGUGCAGAAAAGGACCAUUAGGGGCGCCACCGUUCGCCACGAUGGCGAUCUUGUCAGCUUGGCAUGCCACUGCGCACCGCUGGCUGCACAGCCUCCCGCCACGCGCGCCCGGGGAGGCCCCUAGAGCGACACGUUGGUGGAUGCGCUGGAGCGUGGGCGCAGAGUGGCCGCCUGCCGCGGCAAGCGCCUUGCCGCUGUUGUUAUCUCGCCGGGUCCAGAAGCUCGUCGCUCACCGGGCCUCGGGGUACCUUAUUUAGUCUUCCCGACAAGCUCCUCUUGCCGGGGCCUUGUUGCCUUGCCAGAGCGCGUGGCGCGUCGCGGCAAGUUCCUUGGAGCGCCUUGGUUGGCCUUCCCGGCAAGCUCCUCUUGCCGGGGUCUUGUCUCCUUAGCUUAAAUACUUUGUUCUUGGAUGGCUCCAAGGGAGCCUUGGGGGAUCUUGGGGUUCGCCCGGCAAGCCUUUGCCGCGGGGUGCUGCAACUGCCCGUGCACAAGUUCGGGGUACUAGGGUACCCCUAUUCUAGUACACCGACAGGAGCCCCCGGGCCUGGGCCAGACACGGUGCCGAGCGCUGUUGGGCCAGGCCCAAGAUAGGGCACGGGCAUAGGCGGGCGGGGCCACGCCAAAUCUUGCUCCGUAUCCACCACGCUCUCCCAUAACGGCACGCGUUGAAUGCGGCAUCGUGGGAGAGAUCGUGGGUGGUUGUUUAUUUGGAAGGCCGAAACGUCCGCCCCGUCCCUCUUUAUAAGCAGAGGAAACAGAGGCAGUUCGUUCCCCCUCGCUGGUUGCUACUACUCCUUCUUCACAAACUCCGCCACUCCCUCCUUCUUCUCGAAGCCGAGAGAGCAGCGCUUCGCCCCCCCCCCCCAUUGCCAUCAGCAUCACCACGCCGNNNNNNNNNNNNNNNNNNNNNNNNNNNNNNNNNNNNNNNNNNNNNNNNNNNNNNNNNNNNNNNNNNNNNNNNNNNNNNNNNNNNNNNNNNNNNNNNNNNNNNNNNNNNNNNNNNNNNNNNNNNNNNNNNNNNNNNNNNNNNNNNNNNNNNNNNNNNNNNNNNNNNNNNNNNNNNNNNNNNNNNNNNNNNNNNNNNNNNNNNNNNNNNNNNNNNNNNNNNNNNNNNNNNNNNACCACGCCGUCGACCUUCCCCACCACCUCCGCCAUGGCCCCGAAAGCCGACAAGGGAAAGGGUGUGAAGUCGGCCGAGGCGCAGCGGCUCGCGGUGCUGCGGAAGGAGCGGGCGAUCUUCACCCCCCAGCUCGGCGUGCAGGAGUUGAGGGAGUACUUCUACCUCUUUUGGGAGACGGAGACGCGUGCGCAUCCGCGCACGAGGGUACUCCCGGCCGCUGCCUCGGAGUUGGAUCCAAAUGGGUACCCGUUCUUCCCGCUAUUCUUCUAUUGCGGGCUCUGCCCGCCCUUCUCGGAGUUCUUCUGUGAUAUUAUGAACACAUAUGGCUUCCGCCUCCUUGACUUCACCCCCAAUGUUGUCCUGACCAUGGCAGUUUUCGCACACUUGUGCAAAAACUUUGUCGGAGUCCACCCUAGUGUUGCCCUUUUUCGCCACUUCUUCAUACCUCGGGUAGAGAGAGGAGAGCCGCUUGCCGGAGGGAUUGCCUGGGUCUCGAGAGUCGGCAAGAAAGAGGCGUACUUGGAGGGUGAGCUCCGCAGCAAGUGGGAGGAGUGGAGAGUGGAGUGGUGCUGGAUCGUUGAGGAGAAUCCGCAGCCCUUCACCGCCGUGCGCCAAACUCCAAUAGUGCGCGGCAAUGACUGGAGCAACGUGGCCCCGGAAGACGAGAGGCUGAAGAUCGCCAUCACUAGGAUUCUUCGCCUCAGGCUUGCCGAGCUCACCGUAGGUGCUGUCGGGGCAGAUUUCCUCCGCCGCCGCAUUGCCCCCCUGCAGGAGAGGGGGAGGCCCGCCUGGGAAUUCAAGAAUUCGGCGGACAUCAUGAGGCUGCGGCCGGGCCUCAACUACAACUUCACCGUCUUGGAGUUGGACGCAAUGCUCUUGGAAUUAUUCAAACGCGACCCCCAGCACCCAUUCACACUGCCGAGGGGCGUAGUUCCUUUGUGCAAUAACUCUUCACUUGACCGGAUCCGCGCCAUGAUGCCGUUGUGCGAUUCACACGGCAUCGUCCCAACUUGGCAAGAGCCUGCGGAUGACGUUGUGCGAGCGUUCUUCGACACCUUGGAGGAAGUGCCGGUCCGCGCUGACGAGCAGAAGAGCCUCACCCGUGACACCACUGACGAGGAGCUGCAGCUCAUCGCUACUAGGGCGGAAGAGGCUGCGGCCGCAGCUGCUGCGGGUGUGUUUGGGUUUACUAUGGAGGAGGCGGAGGCUGCAGAGGCGGCAAACCUUGCCGAACGCGUGGAGUUCAUGGGCGAGGAGGAGCCUGCCGGUUCCGAAGCCGAGCCGAGCGAGGCCGGCGAUGAGGAGGCUGAGCCUUCAGAGAACUUGCCGUAGGCGGAGCCCCCGGCCCCGCCAAGGAGGCGUCCUCACAGGGCCGGGGAUGCAGUGGGGCGGCAGCCGGCUCCACAGCCACCGAGCCGCGCGACGCGCUCUACCGCGGCAAGCAAUGUUGCCGCGGGAGCGCCUCACGCAACAGCCGCAACUGGAGCGGGAUCUUCCCGGGCCACCGCCACUGCCCCCGCCAAGCGGGCAAGGGAUCCUACUCCUCCACCUCGCCGCACCGGAGGAGGGCCGGACUUCGAUCUUUCCGCGCUCAGCUCCGACGAGGAGGAAGAAGAGUGAGUUUCUUUGGUGCUCUUAUAAUCCUUCAAUCUUGCUGUUUAUAUCUUGUAUCUGACUUGCUCCAAUCUGGACUCCUUUCUUUUCAGAACACUGGCCCAGAGAGCGGCGAAGAGGGCCAAGGCCGCGGUGAUCGUCAUCGAGGAUGACCCCAUCGUGUCAGCAGGAGGUGGGCCCGAGACCACCUUGACGGACCCGGCAACUACCCCUCAGAGCAGCCCCCAGCGCAGCCCCCAGCGUAAGUUCAUAGUUUAGCCUUCUGCUGCCGGGCGCGCUUGAGUGCUUUUUCCUUUGUUGAUAUCUUGCUUGUUGACUUGUGCAGGAGCAGAGCAGCCUCAUCAGGAGCGCCCGGAGGCCGGUCCCGAAGUGCCACCUGCUUCGACUGUGCCGCCAAGGGAGGAGUCCCCGGCAAGGGAGCGCUCUCCGACAAGGGGGGACUCUCCGGCAAGGGACAGCACUGCUGAUCCUGCGGCGACCGAGGCCGCAACUGAAGAUCUUGGCGCAGGUAAUCCACUUGCCCAGAAACUUUCCCUUGGGUUCUGCUUCUUCCGUUUUUCCUUUCUUGGAUUUUUGAUUGAUUUUCCUCCCUUCUUCGUUCUUCAGACCCAUCUACGGCUGAGCCAAUGGAGACAGAGGGCGCCGGCGAGGAAGGUGCCGGUGCUGAUGAGACCACCGGCGAAGAGGCCGCCGGGGCUGCUGCUGCUGAAGCCGGCGAGGGGUCGGGCUAUCGCACUGACGACCCUGAGGCCGCAGGAGCGCCAGGCGCUGCGCCGACCGCCGAACCCUCUGCCGCUUCCGCGGAGCCGGGCUCCGAGGAGCCCUAGCCCGGCGCCUACUUGAAGGCCGGUGACAAUAUCUUCAUCAAGCUACCCUGGGCGUCGAGCUCCAGGGCGCCGGUCGAGGGGGAGACUUUUGACAGGGAGGUGCUCGCCUCUCCUAGACUGUCAUUGGUUGACGCGCCCGGCAGCAGCAGCGGCGAGCCUGAGGAGGAGCAGCUGCUGCGGAAGCUGCUGUCACUCUACUGCACCCGGCAAGCCAAGCUGGCUUCCUGGGAAGCGCUUGUCGCGAAGGCGGGAGUUGACAUGGAAAAGCGCGCGAAGGAGCUUCGGGGCCAAAAUCAAGAAGCUCUCCGGUCCCUGGCGCAGGAGCGGGAGCGAGUCGACGAGGAGCGCACGGCCUUUCUUCUCGAGAGGGCCAAGGCUGAGGAGGAACAAAGACUGGCUGCCGAGAAGCAGUCCGCGCAGGAAGGUGAACUAGUGCAGCGGAAGGCCAACCUCGACAGCUACGAGGAAGAGCUCGCCGAGCGUGAGCGAGCACUUGGCAGGGCGCUCAAGGAGGCAAAGGACGCCGCGGCAACUGCAGAGGCCGCCAAGAAAGAGCUAGAGGAGAAGGUGGCGCAGCUGGAGGCCGAUAUUGGGAAGAGCGGCGAGGAGCUUGCCGCGCUCAAGCGUGAGCGUGAGAAGGAUGCUGCCGCCCACGGUGAGCUGCAAGGCCUUCUCGCUAAGAGGGGCAAGGAGCUCAGCGCCGCCAAGGAUUCCAAAGCAGACCUGGAGCUGAAACUGGCCAUGCUGACGCAGACGCUGGAGGCCGCCAAGGAGCGGGAGAAGACCUUGUCGGAGAAGGUCAAGGCUGACGCGGCACUGCUGGAGAGCAUUGCAGUUACCCAGAACUCGUUCAGAGACACAGUGGAGCACUGGACCGAGGGUCUGGUGAACACUGCCGCAGUCAUCAACCAGGAGCUGGCGCAACUGGGGUUGGAGGACUUUGGGUAUCCUUCCGACGAGAGUCUUCAACCCAGCGCCAAGCUCAGCCUGUUCUUCAAGGGCGUGGCAACGGCACUCCAGCGGCUCCGGGAGAGGAUCCCGAAACAGCUGGCCGACGAGUCGCGCAAAAUCUGCGCUGGGGUUCUCCAGAAGGUGCUGAUGAAGGUAGCCUUCCGCAAUCCAGGCCUCAGCUUCACCAACGUCCUCAGGUCCUUGCCGCCUGACGCCGAUCUGGAUGCACUCAAGGCCCUUGUCGGACCCAUUGUGGACAAGGUGAGCGAGAUCAAGAGAGUCGAGGGCGGACGCGUAGAUUAGGCCGCCCAUUCCUUCGUUUCCCUUGUCGCUGCUGAUCAUGUUAUGAAAACAGUCUGUUAGAGCUGCGACAAGUUAUCUUUGUAAUAUAAUUUUAUUUCUGUCUAUCAAUUGCUAUGUUAUUUCCUUUACUAGAUUCCUUCCUUUGUAUGUUAUUACCCUACGCUUCUAGGGAACUUGUCGGCGCAGGCGCCCGAGCCGCGAGCGUUGAGUGCGGAACUUCAGCAGCCUGCUGGCGGCGCUGCUUCCGACAAGAAACCUUGUCGCGACUAGAUGCAGCACGCUUAAGCUGUUGAGCGGACUCGAAACAGAGUAAGGGCGCAACUAGCCACGAGUUGGUUCCUCCGCGCACACGUUUUCCAUACAAAGCAGGGUCGUUCGAGGAAGAUAACUCAAAAAUUUUAAAAAGUGACUGCUCAAACUUUGGCAACUUAGCUUUUCUGUCAUUUGCUUCCCGGUAAGGCAAGUCUUUGCUUGAACGACACCUGGCCCAUAACACAAUCUUCUCCUUCCUCCCCCGGCAAACUUGUGUGCGAGAGAACCUUCUUUUCCUUUAAAAGAAAAAGAAAGAAGAGAAAAUAAUAAUAUGGAGCUCUUCGGCUCGUUACUGCUUACCGGAUGUAGGUGCUGCACAAAGUGUCAGAUAAUCACAUGCAAGAAAGGAACUAACGCAUGAAAUGGACAAGCUGUGCGGAGCACAUGGGGUUUUAUUAUGCAUGGGAUCUGCGCCCGGCUUUGUACAAAGGUUUACAUGCAACAGCGGCAAGACUUGUACAAAAGGUGGUUGCCGGAACGGGUUCCGGCAACCGCGCCUUAUGGGAAAAACUUACGAAGAUGUUCUAUGUUCCAGGAGUUGCUCACCGGAAUGCCAUCUUCGGUCUCAAGGCGGACAGCGCCAGGCCUUGUGACUCGUCUCACCCGAUAAGGGCCUUCCCACUUCGGCGUCAACUUGUUGGAAUUCUUGGCGGACUGAACGCGCCGAAGAACAAGGUCGCCUUCCUCGAAGCGUCUGGCUUUAACUUUGCGGCUAUGAUAGCGGUGCAAAGCUUGCUGGUAUCGAGCAGCUCGUACAGCAGCCUGAAGACGAUCUUCCUCAAGGAGCAGCGCGUCGUCUUGCCGCAGCUGUUCUUGCUCAAGCUCAUCAUAAGCGAGCACUCGAGGUGAUCCGUAUACGAGUUCCGUGGGGAGAACUGCCUCUGCUCCAUAGACUAGAGCGAAAGGUGUCUAGCCAGUGGCUCGAUUUGGCAUCGUUCUGAUCGACCAAAGAACCACCGGCAGCUCCUCGAUCCAGUUCCUUCCGCACCUGUGCAGCCUGUCGAAAGUUCUGGUCUUGAGCCCGCGCAGCACUUCAGCAUUUGCCCUCUCUACUUGACCGUUGCUUCUUGGAUGAGCAACAGAAGCGAAGCAGACCUUGGCGCCAAGGUCUUGGACGUACUGCAUGAAGGUGCGGCUCGUGAAUUGCGUGCCGUUGUCGGUGAUGAUCCUAUUAGGGACCCCGAAACGGCAAACAAUUGACCUGAAGAACUUGACUGCUGACUGUGAUGUCACCUUCCUCACUGGCUGCACUUCCGGCCACUUUGUGAACUUGUCGAUUGCGACAUACAAGUACUCAAAGCCCCCGACAGCUCGGGGGAAAGGGCCGAGGAUAUCGAGCCCCCAGACCGGAAAUGGCCAGGAUAAAGGGAUUGUCUGGAGAGCUUGAGCUGGCUGGUGUAUCUGUUUGGAGUGGAACUGGCACGCUUCACACUUGGUUACUUGUGCAGUUGCAUCCUGGAGGGCUGUCGGCCAAAAGAAACCUUGCCGGAAAGCUUUGCUGGCAAGUGCUCUUGCGCCAAUGUGGUGGCCACAUAUGCCUCCAUGUAUCUCUGCCAACAGCUUUUGUCCAUCUUCCCGGCGAAUACACUUCAAUUUCACGCCGUUGAGUCUUCUUCUGUACAGUAAGCUAUCGACAAACUGGUACAUACUUGACUGCCGGGCUACUCUUUCCGCUUCUUCUUGUUCUUCGGGAAGUUCUCCUGUCUGAAGGAAGUGGACAAUCUGCUGUGCCCAUGCUGGAGCUUGUGGCUCGACAACAAGGACUAAAGGCACAUCUGCUGCUGUGGGAACAUCCGCUUCCACGGCAAGGACUUGUGGUCCUGCCGAAGCUUGAUGUUUCCCGGCAAGCUUGCCAGAGCAAAACUUGUCGGGAGCGUCUGCUUCAAUGGAACAAACCAUAAGGCUUGCCGGAGCAGACUGCCCCUCAGCAUCCUUGGUGUUGAUCUUGGGGACUUUCUUGGCGGCGGCUUCGGGGAGCUCUGCUGGAAAGUAGUCGCUGGAAACCAACUUCCUCUUCUUGCUUUGUCCAGUUGAGGGUAUUACGGACGGUUGAGUCAACUUAAGCACAAAGAUCCCUGGUUCCACAGGUAACUUCAGUGCGACGCACUUUGACAGGCCAUCAGCAAUAUCAUUCUGAGCUCUUGGGAUAUGCUCCAUUUGUAGGCCGUCAAAGUGCUCUUCUAGCUUCCUCACUUCAUCAACAUACGCUUCCAUCAACGGACUCUGGUAGUUCUUGUUCACUUGUUGGACGACAAGCUGUGAGUCACCCCUGACAAUGAGUUUCUUGAUCCCAAGGUCUGCUGCGAUUCUGAGACCGGCAAGCAAUCCUUCAUACUCUGUAGUAUUGUUGGUUGCUUGCUCUUUGGGAAAGUGCAUCUGGACUACGUACUUGAGGUGCUCUCCGGUGGGUGCGACAAGCAGCACGCCUGCACCGGCGCCUUGCAGCGAGAAGGCACCAUCAAAGUACAUCAGCCACUCUUUGCUUGCCUCUUUGAUGGGGAUGCUCAUUUCUGGAAUUUCUUCAUCUGGGGUUGGCGUCCACUCUGCUAUGAACUCUGCCAAUGCUCUGCUUUGGAUAGUUGAGGUGCUCUCAAACUUGAGGCCAAAGCUUGACAAUUCCAGCGCCCACUCGACAAUCCUGCCCGUUGCUUCUGGAUUUUGCAGUAUCCUCUUCAGCGGAAAGCGAGUGACGACUGUGAUCUCAUGUGCUUGGAAGUAAUGGUACAGCUUUCUCGAGGCCAUGAGGAGGCCGAAAAGCAACUUCUGCAUACUAGAGUACCUUGAUCUAGCCCCCUGCAGAAGAGAACUGACAAAGUAAACUGGGCGCUGCACCAUUCUCCUUGGCAUCUUAUCAUGUUCCUGCGCAAACCCAUGUUUGUUGGGACCAGAGCUUGUCGACGAAGCCCCCUGCUUGUCGCUGGAUGGAUCUGCCGUGGUUGCUAGCUCAUCAUCCGCCUCCCUCUCCGCCACUAAAGCAGCACUAACCACUUGAUUGGUUGCCGCUAUAUACAGCAGCAACUUCUCUUGCGGCUUAGGUGCGACAAGCGUUGGAGUGGAGGACAGGUAUCUCUUCAAGUCCUGCAGCGCAGCCUCCGCUUCCGAAGUCCAUUUCAUUGGACCUGCCUUUUUCAAAAUUUUGAAAAAUGGCAGGGUGCGCUCAGCAGAUCUAGAGAUAAACCUGCUGAGAGCAGCCACGCAACCGGCAAGCCUUCGUACAUCCUUGACGCGCUUUGGUGCAUCGAUCUGCUCAAUGGCUUUGAUCUUGUCGGGAUUGGCUUUAAUUCCCCGCUGAGACACGAAGAACCCAAGAAGCUUGCCGGAAGGGACUCCAAACACGCACUUCUCGGGGUUAAGCUUGAGGUUGAUCUUGCACAGGUUUGCAAAUGUUUCGCCUAAAUCUUGAAUCAAGGGCGCUUUGUUCUUGCUCUUGACCACUAUGUCAUCCAUGUAAGCUUCCACAUUUCUGUGCAUUUGCGGCUCAAAAUCAUGGUGGACUACCCUUGCGAAUGUUGAACCAGCAUUCUUCAAACCGAAAGGCAUCCGUACGAAGUAGUACGUGCCACACGGGGUGAUAAAUGCGGUUUUCUCUUCAUCUUCUUCUGCCAUGAAGAUCUGAUGGUAUCCUGAGUAUGCAUCAAGAAAUGAAAGCAAAUCACAUCCGGCUGUGGAGUCAACAAUCUGGUCAAUACGCGGCAAGGGAAAUGGGUCUUUGGGACAAGCUUUAUUAACAUCAGUGAAGUCAAUACAAAGUCUCCAUUUCCCGUUAGCUUUGCGCACAACAACAGGAUUGGCCAACCACGUGGGAUGGAGUACUCCUCUGACAAGGCCUACUGCUUCCAGCUUCUUAAUUUCUUCUGCGAUGAAUUCUUGGCGCUCUACUGCCUGCUUCCUGACUCUCUGCUUGACGGGCCGCGCAUGAGGACAGACGGCAAGGUGGUGCUCAAUUACUUUCCUGGGAACACCGGGGAUAUCAGACGGUUGCCACGCAAACACGUCGAUAUUCGCCCGCAGGAAAGCAACGAGCGCGCUUUCCUAUUUGGGGUCAAGAGUGGCGCUGAUGGUGAAGGUACCACCAGCGCCAUCCUCCUUGGCGGACACCUUCUUGGUCUCAGGUGGAGCUGCCAUUGCCUUCUUUCGCUUGCCGGUGGAGCUCGAUGGUGCGUCCUCGACGGUAGCGCAGCACUCCGAAGAGGUGCGCUUGCCGGAGUGGGCAUCAGAGCUCUUGCCGGACUUGAUCUUCUUCUUCCCCCCGGGAGCUUCAGCGGCAAGUAUCUUGCAUUCUGCUGCGGCUGCUGCUUCCCGGUAGAUCUUGUCGGCACAGAUAAGAGCAUCCUUCUUGGCGCCAGGGACAGAGAUGACACUUAUUGGGCCUGGCAUUUUCAGUACGUUGUACGCAUAGUGAGAGGCUGCCAUGAACUUGGCGAGUGCCGGUCGGCCAAGGAUUCCAUUGUAAGGCAAUGGAAAGUCGGCAACAUCAAACGUGACCCUCUCGGUCCUGAAGUUCAGCUCGCUGCCAAAUGUUACCGGCAACGUGAUCUUUCCCUUUGGCUUGCUCCUUCCCGGGUUAAUUCCUUGAAAUGUGCCGGUCUCUUCGAGCUCGCUGUCAGGAAUCUGGAGUUUCUGGAGCACCGCGGAGGAGAUCAGGUUCAAGCCGGCCCCGCCGUCAACUAGCAUCUUAGUGACCUUGAGGUUGCGGAUUGUUGGUGAAACCAACAUCGGCAAGCACCCGACCGCAGUUAUGCAAUCCGGGUGGUCCUCAAUAUCAAAGAUGAUAGGCGUGCCGGACCAUUUCAGAGGCUUGCGUGACUCGACGGGUGGUUCUGCUGCAUUAACUUUCCGCACCCACUGCUUGAGCUGGCGGUGCGAGGCAUGCAGAGAAGCACCACCGUCAACGCACAGGACCUCUAUGGCUUUCUGGAACUCCUGCUCAUCAGUCUCCCCAUCAUCCAUAUCUUCAUCUUCGUUAUCAUCUUCAUCCUUGUCGCGGCCACGGGGAGGUCUGUCUCCUUGCCGCUGCUUGGCCUUGCCGCGGCGUCCUCCUCGGCCGGGACGUUUCUUGCCUGACCCACCAGCUCCUUCCUGGGCCUUCUCCUUGUCGCGCCGCUCAUAUUCAGCUUUCUGUUGCUCAACAAACUGUUCGACUUUCUUACAGUUCUGGAGAUCAUGGCCCUUGGUGCGGUGGAUCUUGCAAUAUUGCUUGUUGGGGCCGUCCUGCUUGCCGGCGACUGCUGCCUCCACGGCAACCUCCUUACCGGAGUCACCAGCUUUGGCUUCCUUGGCGCCGCCACCGUUGCCGGACUGCUCAACAACUAGCACUUCUUUGCCUUUCCUCCUUCUGUUGUUCCGCCGCCGGUUUUUCCUUGUCGGGGCAGCAUCUUCACUGUCAGAUCCCCCCGCUCCUAUAUUUUCUCCAGGGAGUCUCCUCCCUUCCUCAGCACGCGCACACUUGUCGGCCAGUGCAUAUAACUCACUGACGUCCCUGAUCUUGCACAUCGCCAUUUCCUCCCGCAUCAUGCGGUUCCGCACGUUCUGAUGGAACACGCUGAUCACCGCGGCAGGGUGGACGUCUGGGAUGUUGUGCUGCACACUACUGAAUCUCUGAAUGUACUUGCGCAGGGGCUCUCCUUCCUUCUGGGCGAGCAGAUGAAGAUCACUCUCCUGGCCAUGAGGCUUGUGUCCGCCGGUAAAGGCGCCGACAAACUGAUGGCACAGAUCAGCCCAAGAGGAUAUGGAGUUGUCCGGCAAGUGCAUGAGCCAGGAUCUGACGUUGGGCUUGAGCACCAGCGGGAAGUAGUUGGCAAGGAUCUUGUCAUAUCGUCCCCCGGCAGCUUGUACCGCAAUGGUGUAGAUGCUGAGGAACUCUGACGGAUGCGUCUUGCCGUCGUAUUUCUCCGGUACGUCUGGCUUGAAGUUCUUUGUACUGGGCCACUGGACUUGCCGCAGCUCACGAGUGAAUGCAGGACAACCUACCGCGUACGGCAGAUCGCCUGGUUCCCCUGGCGCGUGCAUGUCAACAGAGGGCCCAGCGCGCUUGUCGGAUUGACGUCGCGCUUCUCUUCGACGCUCGAUGCGGGUUCGAGCGUCUUCUUGUUGUCGAUCAUGAAGAACUUGGCGCUGAUCGCGACGAGCUCGUUGAUCCGACGAUGCAGUGGAGUCGCUGUCGAGGUGGAUCCAGCGAGUCGGCGAUCUUGGCCUUCGGGGCGAUGAUUGCAUGGUAGUUGCACCUCCGCCCGUUUCAUCGCCACCGGCUCACGUCCGGCAACCCUGCCGCGGCGGCGACGCGCUCGGCCGCCGUGGAGUGUCGCCGUUGGCGUAGCCGAUGAGACUCUGAAUGGUGGCCCUCCAUUCGUCGAUCUUGUCUGACGUUGGAGGGUAAUCUAGGAGAAGUUGAGCUCUCGCCAAAGCUUCUGCUGGAAUGGUGGGUAGCAGUGGCGGACGGUGCGAGGAGCGGGACGUGCUCGAACUUCUAACUAUGUUAGAAGGAGCAGUAUCCCGUCCAGGCGACCGUGCCCCGCUCGUGCCAGCACGCUGGCGUGCAUGCUGGUCUUGAGCACCCCGAGAUCCACCAGCUUGGUCUUGGGCUAUCAUGCGUAUGGCACUGCUAGUGCCAUGACGCUGUUGAUCUUGCGCCUCCUGAGAGUGCUGUGGAACAUGUACAGUCGCCGAGGUUUGUGCAGCCUUGUUCUUGGACCUGGCGGCAUCAUGAGCUUCCUCGUCGACGUCCUUUCUUCCGCCGGCAUCCAUCCCACCACUCGUUUGCUCCAACGGUGGCGGAAGUGACGUGGAUGGAGCGGCUGCCGCCGAAGUCUUCUUCUUUGGUGGCAUGUUGAUGAAGGGAAUAAAGAUCUAGCUCAUGUGAACGCCGGAUCUGGUUCACACAAUCUCAACACCCCCUACCUGGCGCGCCAAAGAUGUCGGGGAAAACUGAUCCACGAACACCAAUGGGGCCGGCAGACCGGACCCCUUUCGGUUCGGCGGGGGGCGGAGGUCGCACGAAGAGCAGAUCGAGGCGAGGCACACGAGCAGUUUACCCAGCUUCAGAGCUCUCCGGAGAGAUAACACUCCUACUGCUGCUUGUCUGAUUGUAUUAUCUGGUGUUCUUGCUCUCGAGAGAGUGUGAUGUUUUCUGGGCUACGAAUGAAUCGAAGCAAACUGUCUGAACCUCCGAACCCCCUCUACGUUGCACAUGGGCCUCCUUUUAUACGCUAAAGGGGUCACCGAUAGGUGGCAACGCAGAGGAGGGUAAAACGUAAAAGGCGAGGUAGUUGAUACAGUUGCUUGUACAGUGCACCCUACCUAACCCUGACGGCAGGGGACAAGGGCAUUAAAUGCCCGUCUGAGUCACCCGAACAGUGCAGAAAAGGACCGUUAGGGGCGCCACCGUUCGCCACGAUGGCGAUCUUGUCAGCUUCGCAUGCCACUGCGCACCGCUGGCUGCACAGCCUCCCGCCACGUGCGCCCGGAGAGGCCCCCAGAGCGAGACGUUGGUGGAUGCGCUGGAGCGUGGGCAGAGUGGCCGCCUGCCGCGGCAAGCGCCUUGCCACUGUUGUUAUCUCGCCGGGUCCAGAAGCUCGUCGCUCACCGGGCCUCGGGGUACCUUAUUUAGUCUUCCCGGCAAGCUCCUCUUGCCGGGGCCUUGUUGCCUUGCCAGAGCGCGUGGCGCGUCGCGGCAAGUUCCUUGGAGUGCCUUGGUUGGCCUUCCCGGCAAGCUCCUCUUGCCGGGGUCUUGUCUCCUUAGCUUAAAUACUUUGUUCUUGGAUGGCUCCAAGGGAACCUUGGGGGAUCUUGGCGUUCGCCCGGCAAGCCUUUGCCGCGGGGUGCUGCAACUGCCCGUGCACAAGUUCGGGGUACUAGGGUACCCCUAUUCUAGUACACCGACAAAUGCCGAAGACAAUCUGCGCACCGGACUCAUCAUCAUUGAAGCCUGGUUCAGGGGCUACUGAGAGAGUCCAUGAUUAGGGGGUAUCCGGACUGUCGGACUAUAUACUUUAGCCAGACUGUUGGACUAUGAAGGUACAAGAUUGAAGACUUCGUCCUGUGUCCGGAUGGGACUCUCCUUUGCGUGGAAGGCAAGCUUGGCGAUUCGUAUGUUAGAUCUCCUUCUCUGUAACCGGCUCUGUGUAACCCUAGCCCCCUCCGGUGUCUAUAUAAACCGGAGGAUUUAGUCCAUAGGAAAAGAAGAACAAUCAUAAUCAUAGGCUAGCUUCUAGGGUUUAGCCUCUACGAUCUCGUGGUAGAUCAACUCUUGUAAUACUCAUAUCAUCAAGAUCAAUCAAGCAGGAAGUAGGGUAUUACGUCCAUCGAGAGGGCCUAAACCUGGGUAAACAUCGUGUCCCCAGCCUCCUGUUACCAUUAGCCUUAGACGCACAGUUCGGGACCCCCUACCCAAGAUCCGCCGGUUUUGACACCGACACACAUACUCAACUAUCAUUUAGUCUUUCACAAUUGUGACACUCACGUAAUACUUAUGUUUAUGGAGUUUUAAUCGGACACGGAGAAAGAUAGGGGCUUAUGGUGUUGCCUCCCAACGUUUUACCCCAAGGGUAAUGUCAACAACAAUAGUUCAUGCUAACUUACAUCCAAUUGGAUAUAUAUAUAUAUAUAUAUCAAGAUCUUUCCAACACGAGGUGCUUGCCAAAGGAUAAAAUGUAAAAAGGAAAGGUGAAGAUCACCUUGACUCUUGCAUAAGACAUAAAUUAAAAGAUAGGCCCUUCGAAGAGGGAAGCAGAGGUUGUCAUGUGCUUUUAUGGUUGGAUGCACGGAAUUUUAAUGCAAAAGAACAUCACUUUAUAUUGCCACUUGUGAUAUGAACCUUUAUUAUGGAGUUCGUCGCUUUUAUUACUUCCAUAUCACAAGAUCAUAUAAAUCUUAUUUUCUCCACAUUAAUAAGUCAUACAUAUUUGGAGAGCAAUUUUUAUUGCAUGCAACAUGACAACUUAUUUGAAGGAUCUUACUCAAUCCAUAGGUAGAUAUGGUGGACUCUCAUGGCAAAACUGGUUUAAGGGUAUUUUGGAAGCACAAGUAUUUUUUACUUGGUGCAAGGGAUUUGGCUAGCAUGAGGGGGAAAGGCAAGCUCAACAUGUUGGACGAUCCAUGACAAUAUACUUUAACUAAGAUGUGAGAAAGCAUAACCCAUUACAUUGUCUUCCUUGUCCAACAUCAACUCUUUUAGCAUGUCAUAUUUUAAUGAGUGCUCACAAUCAUAAAAGAUGUCCAAGAUAGUAUAUUUGCAUGUGAGAGCUUCUCUUUCUUUAUUACUUCCUAUUAAUUGCAACGAUGACCAAAACUAUGUUUGCCAACUCUCAACAACUUUUAUGCCUCAUACUCUUUAUGUGUGAAGUCAUUACUAUCCAUAAGAUCAACAUGGUCUCUUUUGUUUCUUUUUAUUCUUUCUAUUCUCAAGAUCAUAGCAGGAUAGAAAAGCCCUUGACUCAACACUAAUCUUUAUUAUAUAUAGCUCACGGACUCGAUUACAUAAAGGGAUCACAAAGCAAAACUCAAAACUAAUUCAUACCAAAAAUUUAUUCUAUUAGAUCAAGAUAUUACCAAAAGGAUCGAACUAAGAAAACUGUAAAGAUAGGAGUGUGGUGGUGAUACAAUACCGGGGCACCUCCCCCAAGCUUGGCAGUUGCCAAGGGGAGUGCCCAUACCCAUGCAAUUAUGUCGCCUUUGCUGGUGAAGAAGGUAGUGUUGUUGAUGAUGUAGGCUUGUCCUCCAUCUUCCAAGGAAUAGGCUCCCCAUCAUAGAAAGAUGAUCGAGUCUCCGGGAUCCUCAAAUCUGCAGCCAAAGUCAUCAUCUUGAAUCUAUAUUCAUACUCACAGUUUUGGUUUUGCAGGUCAUAGAUCUGGGCUUGGAGGUGCUCGAUUUUCUCAUGAAGCUUGAUGAUGGUCUCCCCAAUGUCCUUGGCAUCCAGCUUGUGUUUGUUGGUGAACUCCGCGAUCAUCAUCUGGUUGGCGUUGAGUCCGUGUUCCACCAUUCCUUGGCACUUGAAAACUUGUUGUUCUGUUGCUUCAAGCCUUGUCUCCACGCUUCCGGUCCUCCUUGGUCCCUCAACAUCGCGGAUGUGCAGCACCCCCUCAUGCAUCUCAAUGGUUUGAGUGUGUUGCAGCACCUCUACGAGGUAGGGAUUGAUGACCUUCUCGAAAAACCUGUCCUUGGGGGCGCUUGAAGACGUUAUGGUGAUAUAGAUAUGUCAGAAAAACAGCUCGAAACAAAGACAGAGGAUAUUUGCGUGAUACAGUGGCCAAAACCUCUGGGAGAUUAUAUAAUGGAUUUUUACCGACCAAAAGAAGUAUCAUGCAAGAAAACGGGGUCCGGAGAGCACACGAGGUGCCCACGACGCAGGGGGUGCGCCCAGUAGGGUAGGGCGCGCCCUCCACCCUCGUGGAUGCCUCGUGUCCUUCCCGGACUACUUCUUAUUUUCCUAUUUUCUUAAAUAUUCCAAAACGGAGAAACAUUGCUGUUAGAAUUGAUUUGGAGUCGGUUUACUUACCGUACCACGUACCUAUUCCUUUUCAGAGUCUGGAACAUUCUGGAAAGUGUCCCUUAUGUAUUCCUCCGGGGUUACGGUUUCAAUAAAAUUAGUUUCAACAUUUAUUGGGUUACCUAAGAUAUAAUGUUUGAUUCUUUGACCGCUCACCACCUUCGGGUUUAUGCCCUCGAAGUUGUUGAUUUUUAUGGCACGGGAAUGAUAGACUUCCUCGAUAACGUAAGGGCCUUCCCAUUUAGAGAGAAGUUUUCCUGCAAAAAAUCUUAAACGAGAGUUGAAAAGCAACACAUGGUCACCCACAUUAAACUCACGCUUUUGUAUCCUUUUUUCAUGCCAUCUUUUAACUUUUUCCUUAAAAAGUUUGGCAUUUUCAUAAGCUUGGGUUCUCCAUUCAUCAAGUGAGCUAAUGUCAAGCAACCUCUUCUCAUCGGCAAGUUUCAAAUCAUAAUUGAGCUCUUUAAUAUCCCAAUAUGCCUUAUGUUCUAGUUCAAGAGGUAAAUGACAUGCUUUUCCGUAAACCAUUUUAUAUGGAGACAUACCCAUAGGAUUUUUAUAUGCAGUUCUAUAAGCCCAUAAUGCAUCAUCAAGUUUCUUGGACCAAUUCUUUCUAGAUAUAUUAACAGUCUUUUGUAAAAUUAAUUUAAGCUCUCUCUUACUCAGCUCUACUUGGCCAGUAAACUGUGGGUGAUAAGUAGAUGCAAUUCUAUGAUUAACAUCAUACUUAGCAAGCAUUUUACGAAAAGCACCAUGAAUAAAAUGAGAGCCAGCAUCAGUCAUUAAGUAUCUAGGGACUCCAAACCUCGGAAAAAUAAAUUCUUUAAGCAUCUUAAUAGAGGUGUUAUGAUCAACACUACUAGUUGGAAUAGCUUCUACCCACUUAGUAACGUAAUCAACAGCAACUAAAAUAUGUGUAUACCCAUUAGAGGCAGGAAAAUGUCCCAUAUAAUCAAAGCCCCAAACAUCAAAUGGCUCAAUAACAAGAGAAUAGUUCAUAGUCAUUUCUUUACUUCUACAAAUAUUACCAAUUCUUUGACAUUCAUCACAAGACAAGACAAACUUAUGGGCAUCUUUGAAGAGAGUAAGCCAAUAAAAACCAGAUUGCAAUACCUUAUGUGCAGUUCUAUCUCCAGCAUGGUGUCCUCCAUAUGCUUCGGAGUGACACUUGCAUAGCAUCUAUCCAUGUUCAUGCUCAGGUACACAACGUCUAAUAACACCAUCUACUCCUUCUUUAUAAAGGUGUGGGUCAUCCCAGAAGUAAUGUCUUAAAUCAUAGAAAAACUUUUUCUUUUGCUGGUAUGUAAAGCUAGGUGGUAUGAAUUUAGCAACAAUGUAAUUAGCAUAAUCAGCAUACCAUGGAGCAGUACGAGAAGCAUUUAUGACAGCUAAUUGUUCAUCAGGAAAGCUAUCAUUAAUAGGUAGUGGGUCAUCAAGAAUAUUCUCUAACCUAGAUAAGUUGUCUGCAACAGGGUUCUCAGCUCCCUUUCUAUCAAUAAUAUGUAAAUCAAAUUCUUGUGGCAAGAGAACCCACCUAAUAAGUCUAGGUUUAGCAUCUUUCUUUUCCAUAAGAUAUUUAAUAGCAGGGUGAUCAGUGUGAAUAGUUACUUUAGAAUCAACAAUAUAAGGUCUGAACUUAUCACAAGCAAAUACAACCGCUAAAAAUUCUUUUUCAGUAGUAGCAUAAUUUCUCUGGGCACUGUCUAGAGUUUUACUAGCAUAUUGAAUAACAUUUAGUUUCUUAUCAACUCUUUGUCCUAGAACAGCACCUACAGCAUAAUCACUAGCAUCACACAUAAUUUCAAAGGGUAAAUUCCAAUUAGGUGGCUGAAAAAUAGGUGCAGAACUCAGAGCUUUCUUAAGUAUUUCAAAUGCUUCUACACAAUCAUCAUCGAAGACAAAAGGAAUAUCUUUUUGUAAUAGAUUAUUCAGAGGCCUAGAGAUUUUGGAAAAGUCCUUAAUGAACCUCCUACAAAAACCGGCAUGACCAAGGAAACUUCUUAUACCUUUGAUGUCCUUGGGACAUGGCAUAUUUUCAAUGGCAUCAACUUUAGCUUUAUCAACUUCAAUACCUCUUUCAGAAAUUUUAUGCCCCAAGAUAAUGCCUUCAUUAACCAUAAAGUGGCACUUCUCCCAGUUCAAAAGAAGACUAAUCUUCGCAUCUCUGCAAAACUCGUUCAAGGUUGCUCAAGCAAUCAUCAAAAGAGGAUCCAUAAACAGAGAAAUCAUCCAUGAAUACCUCACAAAUCUUUUCACAAAAGUCAGAGAAUAUAGCCAUCAUGCACCUUUGAAAAGUAGCAGGUGCAUUACAUGAACUAAAAGGCAUACGUCUAUAAGCAAAAGUACCGAAAGGGCAAGUAAAAGUGGUCCUUUCUUGAUCAUCCGCUGACACAGGUAUUUGAGAGAAACCAGAGUAACCAUCUAGAAAGCAAAAAUGUGUAUGUUUGGAUAGUCUUUCUAGCAUUUGAUCAAUAAAAGGUAAAGGGUAAUGAUCCUUUUUAGUGGCUUUAUUUAAUUUGCAGAAAUCAAUUACCAUCCUAUAACCUAUAAUAAUCCUUUGCAGGAUCAAUUCAUCUUUAUCAUUAGGAACAACAGUAAUACCUCCCUUCUUAGGGACACAAUGGACACGACUUACCCACUGACUAUCAACAACGGGAUAAAUUAUACCUUCCUCAAGGAGUUUUAGUAUUUCCUUUCUUACCACUUCCUUCAUCUUAGGAUUUAACCAUCGUUGGUGAUCAAUAACUGGUUUGGCGUCUUUCUCCAAUUUUAUUUUGUGUUGACAUAGAGUGGGAGUACUUCGACAAGUUGUUUAAUGGGGAGAAUGAGAGUUCUACCAUUGAACUGGAUGACUCCUUUGAUGAGACCAGCAUGCGUUUUGUGCGGCGCAUCCAAGAGUCUGAGGUGAAGGAGGCUUUAAAAAGGAUGAAAGGAGGCAAGGAGAUGGGCCCUGAUUCUAUCCCCAUUGAGGUGUGGAAGGUCUCGGGGACAUAGCGAUAGUAUGGCUAACCAAGAUUUUCAACCUCAUUUUUCGGGCAAACAAGAUGCCAAAAGAAUGGAGACGGAGUAUAUUAGUACCAAUCUUCAAGAACAAGGGGGAUGUUCAGAGUUGUACUAAUUGCCGUGGAAUUAAGCUGAUGAGCCAUACAAUGAAGCUAUGGGAGAGAGUCAUUGAGCACCGCUUAAGAAGAAUGAUAAGCGUGACCAAAAAUCAGUUUGGUUUCAUGCCUGGGAGGUCGACCAUGGAAGCCAUUUUCUUGGUACGACAACUUAUGGAGAGAUAUAGGGAGCAAAAGAAGGACUUGCAUAUGGUGUUCAUUGACUUGGAGAAGGCCUAUGAUAAGAUACCGCGGAAUGUCAUGUGGUGGGCCUUGGAGAAACACAAAGUCCCAGCAAAGUACAUUACCCUCAUCAAGGACAUGUACAAUAAUGUUGUGACAAGUGUUCGAACAAGUGAUAUCGACACCGAUGACUUCCCGAUAAAGAUAGGACUACAUCAGGGGUCAGCUUUGAGCCCUUAUCUUUUUGCAUUGGUGAUGGAUGAGGUCACAAGGGGUAUACAAGGAGAUAUCCCAUGGUGUAUGCUCUUUGCGGAUGAUGUGGUGCUAGUUGAUGAUAGUCGGACGGGGGUAAAUAGGAAGUUAGAGUUAUGGAGACAAACCUUGGAAUCAAAAGGGUUUAGGCUUAGUAGAACUAAAACCGAGUACAUGAUGUGCGGUUUCAGUACUACUAGGUGUGAGGAGGAGGAUGUUAGCCUUGAUGGCCAGGUGGUACCUCGGAAGGACACCUUUCGGUAUUUGGGGUCAAUGUUGCAGGAGGAUGGGGGUAUUGAUGAAGAUGUGAACCAUCGAAUCAAAGCCGGAUGGAUGAAGUGGCGCCAAGCUUCUGGCAUUCUCUGUGACAAGAGAGUGCCACAAAAGCUAAAAGGCAAGUUCUACAAGACGGCGGUUCGACCCGCAAUGUUGUAUGGCGCGGAGUGUUGGCCGACUAAAAGGCGACAUGUUCAACAGUUAGGUGUGGCGGAGAUGCAUAUGUUGAGAUGGAUGUGUGGCCACACGAGGAAGGAUCGAGUCCGGAAUGAUGAUAUACGAGAUAGAGUUGGGGUAGCACCAAUUGAGGAGAAGCUUGUCCAACAUCGUUUGAGAUGGUUUGGGCAUAUUCAGCGCAGGCCUCCAGAAGCUCCAGUGCAUAGCGGACGGCUAAAGCAUGCGGAGAAUGUCAAGAGAGGGCGGCGUCGACCGAAUUUGACAUGGGAGGAGUCCGUUAAGAGAGACCUGAAGGAUUGGAGUAUCGACAAAGAGCUAGCUAUGGACAGGGGUGCGUGGAAGCUUGCUAUCCAUGUGCCAGAGCCAUGAGUUGGUUGCGAGAUCUUAUGGGUUUCACCUCUAGCGUACCCCAACUUGUUUGGGACUAAAGGCUUUGUUGUUGUUGUUGUUGUUGUUGUUGUUGUUGUUGUUGUUGUUGUUGUUGUUGUUGUUAUUGUUGUUGUUGUUGACAUAGAGUGGGACUAAUGCCCUUAAGAUCAUCAAGAGUAUAUCCAAUAGCAGCACGGUGCUUCUUCAGAGUUUUCAAUAAUCUUUCCUCUUCCUGUUCUGAAAGGUUAGCACUAAUAAUAACAGGAUAUAUCUUCUUUCAUCGAGAUAAGCAUAUUUAAGAGUAUCAGGUAAUGAUUUAAGCUCAAACACGAGAUCACCCUUAGGUGGUGGAAGAUCCCCUAGGAUUUCAACAGGUAAAUUGUGUUUCAAGAUAGGACCCUAUUUAAAGAAUACUUCAUCUAUUUCCCUUCUUUCAUUCAUGAACAUAUCAUUUUCAUGGUCUAGCAAAUAUUGUUCUAAGGAUCAAUAGGAGGCACAGAAAUAGAAGCAAGACCAAUAAUUUCAUCCUUACUAGACAGUUCUUUAUCAUGGGGUUGUCUAUGAAAUUUAGCAAAAUUAAACUCAUGAGUCAUAUCAUCCAAGCCAAUCGUGACAACAUGUUUUUUGCAAUCAAUUCUAGCAUUAACUGUAUUCAGGAAGGGUCUACCAAAUAUAAUGGGACAAAAGUCAUCUUGUGGGGAACCAAGAACAAGAAAAUCAACAUGAUAUUUAACUUUCCCACAUAAGACUUCAACAUCACUAACAAUUCCAAUUGGUGAAAUAGUAUCUCUAUUGGUAAUCUUAAUUGUAACGUCAAUAUCUUCUAUCUCAGCAGGUGCAAUGUCAUGCAUAAUUUCUUGAUAUAAGGAAAUAGCUAUUGCGCUAGCACUAGCACCCAUAUCACAUAAGCCAUGAUAACAAUGAUCUCCUAUUUUAACAGAAAUAACAGGCAUGCCUACUACAUGUCUAUGUUUCUUAGCAUCAGGUCUAGCAAUUCUAGCAGCUUCAUCACAGAAAUAAAUAACAUGCCCAUCAAUAUUAUCAGCCAAGAGAUCUUUAACCAUAGCAACAUUAGGUUCAACUUGAAUUUGCUCAGGUGGUGUAGGUGUUUUAGUAUUACUCUUACGAACCAUAGUUGAAAUUUUAGCAUGAUCCUUUAUCCUAACAGGGAAAGGAGGUUUCUCAAUAUAAGUAGUAGGGACAAUAGGAUCAUUAUAAGUGAUAGUAUUUUCUUCAACUUUAAUAGGUGCAACUACUUUUACUUCAGUGGGAGGAUUAUAUUUAAACCACUUCUCCUUAGGGAGAUCAACAUGAGUAGCAAAUGAUUCACAGAAAGAAACUACUAUCUCAGAGUCAAGUCCAUAUUUAGUGCUAAAUCCACGAAAAACAUCGGUAUCCAUAAAAGAUUUAACACAAUCAAACUUAGGUGUCAUACCUGACUCCUUACCAUCGUCGGAAUCCCAAUCUUCAGUGUUGCAUUUAAUUCUUUCCAAUAAAUCCCACUUGAAUGCAAUAGUCUUCAUCAUAAAAGACCCAGCACGAAAAGUAUCAAGCAUGAAGCGAUUCUUGAGAGAAAGCCGAGCAUAAAAAAUUUGAAUGAUCAUUUCUCUUGAGAUCUCAUGAUUGGGGCAUGAAUAUAACAUUGACUUAAGCCUCCCCCAAGCUUGAGCGAUGCUUUCCCCUUUGCGAGGCCAAAAAUUAUAUAUGUAAUUAUGAUCACGAUGAACAAGAUGCAUAGGAUAAAACUUCUGGUGAAAUUCCAAUUUCAAUCAUUUAUAGUUCCAGGAUCCUAUGUCAUCACAUAGCCUAUACCAUGUCAAUGCGUCUCCCUUCGAAGAUAAAGGGAAAACCUUCUUCUUGAUAACAUCCUCAGGCAUACCAGCAAGCUUAAAUAAUCCAGAAACUUCAUCUACAUAGAUUAGGUGCAAGUUGGGAUGUAAUGUUCCAUCUCCUGUAAAAGGAUUAGCUAGCGGUUUAUCUACCAUACCCGAAGGAAUUUCAAAGUAAACAUUUUCAGGUUGAGGAGAAACUCUUUACUCUACUAGUUGAGGAGAAACUCUUUACUCUACUGGUUGAGGUGAAGAUACCCUGAACAAGCCCCUCAAAGGAUUAGUUUCCAUAGUAACAAGUGACAGUAAAUUUCAGCACACUAUAUAAUUUUUUCCUUACCAAGUUCCACUUACCAAAGGCGCUUCACUCCCCGGUAACGGCGCCAGAAAAGAGUCUUGAUGACCCACAAGUGUAGGGUAUCUAUCGUAGUCCUUUCGGUAAGUAAGAGUGUCGAACCCAACGAGGAGCAGAAGGAAAUUACAAGCGGUUUUCAGUAAGGUAUUCUCUGCAAGCACUGAAAUUGUAGGUAACAGAUAGUUCUGUGAUAAGAUAAUUUGUAACGGGUAACAAGCAAUGAAAGUAAAUAAGGUGCAGCAAGGUGGCCCAAUCCUUUUUUUAGCAAAGGACAAGUCUGGACAAGUUCUUAUAUGAGAAAAGCGCUCCCGAGGACACAUGGGAAUUAUCGUCAAGCUAGUUUUCAUCACGCUCAUAUGAUUCGCGUUUGUUACUUUGAUAAUUUGAUAUGUGGGUGGACCGGUGCUUGGAUACUGCCCUUUCUUGGACAAGCAUCCCACUUAUGAUUAACCCCUAUUGUAAGCAUCCGCAACUACAAAAGAAGCAUUAAGGUAAACCUAACCAUAGCAUGAAACAUGUGGAUCCAAAUCAUCCUCUUACGAAGCAACGCAUAAACUAGGUUAAGCUUAUGUCACUCUAGCAACCCAUCAUCUACUUAUUACUUCCCAAUGACUUCCUCUAGGCCCAAACAAUGGUGAAGUGUCAUGUAGUCGAUGUUCACAUAAUACCACUAGAGGAUAGACAACAUACAUCUUAUCAAAAUAUCGAACGAAUACCAAAUUCACAUGACUACUUAUAGCAAGACUUCUCCCAUGUCCUUAGGAACAAACGUACUACUCAUAAAUCAUAUUCAUGUUCAUAAUCAGAGGGGUAUUGAUAUGCAUUAAGGAUCUGAACAUAUGAUCUUCCACCAAAUAAACCAACUAGCAUCAACUACAAGGAGUAAUCAACACUACUAGCAACCCACAGGUACCAAUCUGAGGUUUUGGUACAAAGAUUGGAUACAAGAGACGAACUAGGGUUUGAGAGGAGAUGGUGCUGGUGUGUCACAUCCCUAGCUGCUGGUAGUGCUCUAGGCUAGCUUCAUGUGUGCAUCAUGUCUAUAUUUUCGAAACUUGAACUGAGGAAUUUUGGAAGCCUCAAAAACUUAAAUAAAAGAGGGGCAAAAACCCUAGAAAUCUCAUUCAUUGCUCCAAAAUGCUCUUCUUAAAUGUUUGAUAAUUUUUGGUAAGGGUUCUGGUCCCAACCAAAAUAUUGAACAUUUUUAAGGAUUUAUUUUUGGGACUUUGAAUUUAAUUCAUUAGCUAUUUGAAUUUGAAUUAUAUUCAUAUAAUUAGAAUAUAAUUUCAAAUAUCCCUGAAUUAUUUUAUGAGCUCUUGGAAAAGUCCAUCUAGCAAAAUAAAAAUAUUCAGAGGAGCUUUGGCAUUGUUUGAAUUAUUAUUUUUAAUUCAAAACAGUGGCAAAAGAAUUAAAUAAAAGAAAAACCGAACAGAAAUAAAAGACAGAGAGAGAGAAGGAAGUUACCUGUCAGCCCACCCGGCCCAAACCUACCUGGCGGCCUAGCUGGCAGGCCCAGCCCACCACUUCCCNNNNNNNNNNNNNNNNNNNNNNNNNNNNNNNNNNNNNNNNNNNNNNNNNNNNNNNNNNNNNNNNNNNNNNNNNNNNNNNNNNNNNNNNNNNNNNNNNCUCUCCCUCUCACUCCCCUGCUCUUUUUCCCCUCAUGGCCGAAGCCGCCAUGGCCACUCCGCUGAGAAACACCGCGGCCAGCCACUCCCUCGCUCCCUCUCCGUGUUCCCGAGAUCCGUAUCGCCUCCAGCGUCAUCCUCGCCAAACCAAGCAUCACCGGAAGCCCUGCAAUGCCGGCGCCAUCAUCUUCUUCUUCCUCGGGCACCGAAGGCCGUCAUCGUCGAUUCGUCGCCGUCGUUGCUUCCCCGAGCUCGUUGACCAUCUCGACGUGACCACUGUGAGCUCAUGAUCCGUUUCCCCCUAUUACCGCACUCGAUAGCGCUCUAUAGUCGCGUAUGUCGCCGAGCCCGAAAGCUCACCGCCGCCGGCCAUGUCGCCGUCGUGGCUACAGACGCCGUAGCUCGUGCCUGGGUGCGUCAUAGCACUCGGUUUGCUCCCAGGAGAUGACCCCGACCACCAGCUGGACCUGCCAUGCACCAGAACUCCGAACCCGCGCUCGCCCGAACUCCGGUCGCCGCCGCGGGCCCCGUUCCGGUGAGCUCGGGCCACCUCAGCCCCUGCCGUUUGCACAGAUGGAUGCGGGCGACUCCCAGCUCCACGUAGACGCCCUCAUCCGCCCCUUUGGUCGCCGGAGAUGCAAACCCGAGCGUCUCCGCCGCUCUGCUUGGUCGUCGGCGGCUAGCCGCCGGUGUGUCCGACGUGGCCGCGUGAUUAGUGUUAAUUACGGCCAGCUAACCCCCCCCCCCAGAGCCACUGACAGCCGGGCCCCACGGCCUAACCAACCGGCUAACUAAAAUAGAUUAGGGUUAAUCUAAUUGCAGUGGCCCCACGCGUCAGUUUUGACCGCGCUGACGUGGCCGUUGACUGGGCCCACAUGUCAGCGACACAAACCAGUCUGAGACACUGACGUGUGGACCCCACUGGCCAGGUUUGACCUGGACCAGCCACGUUGACCUGCUGACGUCACUAAUACGUCAUGCUGACGCAGUAUUUAUUUCUGGAAUUAAAAUAAAUCAAAAAUGAUUUAUAAAUUUCAGAUAAUAACCAAAACUUCUAAAAUUCAUAGAAAAUUAACCGUAACUCCAAAUUAAAUAAUUUAUAUAUGAAAAAUUAUCAGAAAAAAUCAAGGAAUCCAUCUGUACCAUUUUCAUGCAUGUUUGAACAAUAGUUGUCCUCUGUUUUGGACAAAACCAAUAAAGGGCAUUUAAAUAAUCACAUAUGGAGUUUGAAUUUGAAUCUUGUAUUCAAACCAACCCCAUUUAACUUGUUGCUAGAUGCAUUAGCCCAAAACACAUUCAUUUUGCCAUGUCAUGAUCAUGCAUCAUAUUGUGCAUUGCAUUGAUUGUGUUCCCUUCUGUGUUGUCGGUAUUUGUCCCCUCUCGAUAGACGUGAUACCGAUGAUGUGAUCGUUGACACUGAUGAAGACUCAAUGUUAUCUUCAGAAGUGCCAGGCAAGCAAAAACCCCUUGUUCAUUCCGAUACAAUCCUACUCUCUCGCUCCUGCUCUCUUUUACUGCAUUAGGACAACAACGACAUAUUUGUUACUUGCUGCGGUAGCUGAACCCCUUUAUCCUUUGCAUGACCUGUCAUUGCCACAGUAAAUAGAUGAAACCCACUAGCAUGAGUAGGAGUUGUUUGAGCCCUAUUGUGCCUACUCAUUCUUGCUUGUUUGUCAUGCCUGCUACUGCUUAGAGUUGUGUCAGGUCUGAUUCAUCGGGAAUGAAUCAGAGGUGUGUAAACAUGUCCUACUGUGUGUGAGCUCAGUGUGUGAACACGAUUUGGUAAAGGUAGCGGUGAGAGGCCAUGUAGGAGUACAUGGUGGGUUGUCUCAUUGCAGCCGUCCUCAGGAACUGAGUUCUGUGUUUGUGAUCCAUGAUUCAGCUACUACCACGCAUUGGGCCCGAAACCAAUGGACCCUCUCGGCUUCUUGAUCACCCUUGUCCUCUGUCCAGGAGUUGCAAGUAGUUUCUGGUGUUUGUAGUAUGCUGGAGGCCAUGCGCAGCGCUGACCGUAGGGGUGGGCUAUGAUGCGGUAGGCACGUGGCACGGUGUACCAGGCGCCCGUUUGGUGUCUCGGGAACCCUAUUCACAUCGUUUGGGGCUGUGAGCGAAACUCCGGCCGGAUCUCCUCAUGGAUGGAACCCGAAUAGGCGAUAAACCUGGACUAGAGACUUAGGUGUUUAGGUAGGCCGUGGCCGACACCCACGUUGGGCUUCCGCUUGAAGGUUGCCGAGUACAUGUCGUGUAAACGGCGGUAAGUGGUGAGAGCGUGUGUGAAGAAGUACACCCCUGCAGGGUUAAUAUGAUCUAUUCGAAUAGCCGUGUCCGCGGAAAAGGACUUCUGGGUUGCUUAUAUCAGUUCAUAGACAAGUGAAAGUGGAUACUCUAAAAUAUGCAAGAUAAGCGUGAGUGCUAUGGAUGGCGUUCUCGUAGGGAGACGGGAGCGGAUCCAUAGUGGUGUAUUGAUAUGGUGAAUAUGUGGACUCGUGUGCGCCACCUCAAAAGAGUUACUUGCAGUCGUAGUUCAGGAUAGCCACCGAGUCAAAGCUGGCUUGCUGCAGUUAAACCCCACCAUCCCCUUUGUUGAUAAUGAUGCAUAUGUAGAUAGUUCUGAUGUAAGUCUUGUUGGGUACAUUUGUACUCACGUUUGCCUAUUUAUGUUUUUGCAGAGAGACUUCGGUCUCGCUAGUAGUUCCGCGUGGACUUCGACGUUUAGCUUGAUACCUCAGCUACGAUCUUGUGCCCUCGGCAGGAUCUGAUAGAUAGUCAGGCUUCUCAGCCUUUUUCAUUUAUAGAUGUCUGUACUCAGACAUGAUAGCUUCCGCUUGUGCUUUGACUUGUAUGCUCUGAUUGUUGGGUCAUGAGACCCAUGUUUGUAAUGUCUCGCUCCUCGGAGCCUAUUGAAUAAACUACUUGAGUCGUAGAGUCAUGUUGUGAUGCCAUGUUGUAUUGCACAUAUCGAGCAUAUUGUGUGUAUGUUAUUGAAAUGCUUGGUAUGUGUGGGAUCUGACUAUCUAGUUGUUUAUCUUUAGUAGCCUCUCUUACCGGGAAAUGUCUCCUAGUGUUACCGCUGAGCCAUGGUAGCCUGCUACUGCUCUGGAACACUUAGGCUGGCCGGCAUGUGUCCUUCUUCGUUCCUGUGUCUGUCCCUUCGGGGAAAUGUCACGCUUUGAGUACCGGAGUCCUGUUAGCCCGCUACAGCCCGGUUUACCGGAGUCCUGCUAGCCCAGUGCUACAGCCCGGACCCACUUGCUGAUGACCGACACGUUCGAAGCUGGGUCAUGGAUGCCUGUCCCUGUAAGUCUGUGCCACUUUGGGUUUACAACUAGUCAUGUCAGCCUGGGCUCUUUAUCAUAUGGAUGCUAGCGACACUAUCAUAUACGUGAGCCAAAAGGCGCAAACGGUCCCGGGCAAAGGUAAGGCGACACCCGUGGGAAUACCGUGCGUGAGGCCGCAAAGUGAUAUGAAGUGUUACCGGCUAGAUCGAUGUGACAUCGAGUCGGGGUCCUGACAGCGUUGAAUUAAAUCAGGAAAUUCCAGAAUAUUAAUUAAACUUCAAAAAUUCAUAACUUUUAUUCUGUAACUCCAAAUUGGACAAAUUAUAUAUGAAAAAUGAUCAGAAAAAUCCAAUCUAUCCAUCUGUACCAUUUCCAUGCAUGAUCAAACAAGUUAAGUUGAUGUUUUAAUCAGAACAAGAAAAGGCACUUUAAAAGGCCAUAUUUGAAUUUGAAAUUUGAAUCCUUGAUUCAAAUUUGUUCAAACCCUUCUGGUUUUAGUUGCAUUAGCCCAACACACUCAUAUUGCCAUGUUUCAUGCAUGCAUCAUAUUGUUGCAUAUUGUUUGGUGAUGUUUGUGUAUCGAUGUCCUUUGCGACAGGAUCUGUCCCCGAGGAGUACCGUGAUUACCCUAACGAAGAACCGUAUCCGUGCAACGAACCAUCAGGCAAGCAACCAACCAUCUGAUCAUAUCGAUACAAUCCCAUGUUCUCGCUCCUGCUCUCUUUUACUGCAUUAAGACAACGCGAUUCAAACUGCUGUGUGUUACGGUAGUUGAACCCAUUUCCUCUGCAUGACCUGUCAUUGCCACAGUAACUAGAUGAAACCCACUAGCAUGUGUAGGAGUUGAUUGAGCCAUAUGUAUGUGUUGUUCCUACCUUCCUAAGCCUGCUAUGCUUAGAGUCGUGUCAGGUCUGGUUCAUCUGGGUGAUGGGCUAGAGUGAAAUGAUUAUGUCGGUAAUGAGAGUGGUGUGGUGAACACGAUUUGGUAAAGGUAUCGAUGAGAGGCCAUGUAGGAGUACAUGGUGGGUUGUUUCAUUGAAGCCGACCUUAAGCACUGAGAUCUGUAUGUGUGAUUUAAGAAUCAGCUACUACCAUGCAUUGGGCCCGAAACCAAUGGACCCUCUCGACUUCUUAUUCACCCUAGUUCUCCGUCCAGGAGUUGCAAGUAGUUUCUGGUGUUUGUAGCCUACUGGAGGCCGUGGACAGCGCUGACCGUAGGGGUGGGCUGUGAUGCAGUAGGUACGUGGCACGGUGUACCGAAUACCCGUUAGGUAUCUCGGGAACCCUGUUCACAUCGUUCGGGGCCGUAUGGGAAACCUCGGCCGGACUCCCUGCGGAUGGAACCUGAAUAGGCGAUAAACCUGGACUGGAGGCUUAGGUGAUUAGGUAGGUCGUGGCCGACACCCACGUUGGGCUUCCGCUUGAAGGUUGCCGAGUACAUGUCGUGUAAACGGCGGUAAGUGGUGAGAGCGUGUGUGAAGAAGUACACCCCUGCAGGGUUAAUAUGAUCUAUUCGAAUAGCCGUGUCCGCGGAAAAGGACUUCUGGGUUGCUUAUAUCAGUUCAUAGACAAGUGAAAGUGGAUACUCUAAAAUAUGCAAGAUAAGCGUGAGUGCUAUGGAUGGCGUUCUCGUAGGGAGACGGGAGCGGAUCCAUAGUGGUGUAUUGAUAUGGUGAAUAUGUGGACUCGUGUGCGCCACCUCAAAAGAGUUACUUGCAGUCGUAGUUCAGGAUAGCCACCGAGUCAAAGCUGGCUUGCUGCAGUUAAACCCCACCAUCCCCUUUGUUGAUAAUGAUGCAUAUGUAGAUAGUUCUGAUGUAAGUCUUGUUGGGUACAUUUGUACUCACGUUUGCCUAUUUAUGUUUUUGCAGAGAGACUUCGGUCUCGCUAGUAGUUCCGCGUGGACUUCGACGUUUAGCUUGAUACCUCAGCUACGAUCUUGUGCCCUCGGCAGGAUCUGAUAGAUAGUCAGGCUUCUCAGCCUUUUUCAUUUAUAGAUGUCUGUACUCAGACAUGAUAGCUUCCGCUUGUGCUUUGACUUGUAUGCUCUGAUUGUUGGGUCAUGAGACCCAUGUUUGUAAUGUCUCGCUCCUCGGAGCCUAAUGAAUAAAUUACUUGAGUCGUAGAGUCAUGUUGGGAUGCCAUGUUGUAUUUGCACAUAUCGAGCAUAUUGUGUGUAUGUUAUUGAAAUGCUUGGUAUGUGUGGGAUCUGACCAUCUAGUUGUUUAUCUUUAGUAGCCUCUCUUACCGGGAAAUGUCUCCUAGUGUUUCCACCGAGCCAUGGUAGCUUGCUACUGCUCCGGAACACUUAGGCUGGCCGGCAUGUGUCCUUCUUCGUUCCUGUGUCUGUCCCUUCGGGGAAAUGUCACGCGAUGAAUACCGGAGUCCUGUUAGCCUGCUACAGCCCGGUUCACCGGAGUCCUGCUAGCCCAGUGCUACAGCCUGGAUUCACUCGCUGAUGACCGACACGUUCGAUGCUGGGUCAUGGAUGCCUGUCCCUGUAGGUCUGUGCCACUUUGGGUUUACGACUAGCCAUGUCAGCCCGGGCUCCUUAUCAUAUGGAUGCUAGCGACACUAUCAUAUACGUGUGCCAAAAGGCGCAAACGGUCCCGGGCUAAGGUAAGGCGACACCCGUGGGAAUACCGUGCGUGAGGCCGCAAAGUGAUAUGAGGUGUUACAUGCUAGAUCGAUGUGGCAUUGAGUCGGGGUCCUGACAUGGUGAAGAUGUUGAUGGAGAUUGACCCCCUCCCGAAGAGAGGAUCGUUGUUGAUGAUGAUGGUGAUGAUUUCCCCCUCCCGAAGGGAAGUUUCCCCGGCAGAACAGCUCUGCCGGAGCCCUAGAUUGAUUCCGCCAAGGUUCCGCCUCGUGGUGGUGGAGUUUCGUCCCAUAAGCUUGCUUAUGAUUUUUUCCAUGGUAAAAGACUUCAUAUAGCAGAAGAUGGGCACCGGAGGCCUGUCAGGGGGCCCACGAGGUAGGGGGCAUGCCCUAGGGGGGUGGGCGCGUCCCCCACCCUCGUGAACAGGGUGUGGGCCCCCUGACGCUGAUUCCUUCACCAAUAUUUUUUAUUAAUUCCAAAAAUGACUUUCGUGGAGUUUCAGGACUUCUGGAGCUGCGCAGAAUAUGUCUCUAAUAUUUGCUCCUUUUCCAGCCCAGAAUCCCAGCUAUCGGCAUUCUCCCUCUUCAUGUAAACCUUGUAAAAUAAGAGAGAAUAGCCAUAAGUAUUGUGACAUAACGUGUAAUAACAGUCCAUAAUGCAAUAAGUAUCGGUAUAAAAGCAUGAUGCAAAAUGGACGUAUCAGAUGGCAAAGUGAACAAAGGUAUAUUGGAUAUACAGAUUAUUGAUGUGUACUUUACUAGUGUUCAUAGCAACCCCUGGGUAUUUGAUACCGGUUCAGUUGCUAAAAAUUAGUAACUCGAAACGGGAGUUGCAGAAUGAACAGAGACUAGUUAAGGGUGAAGUGACGAUGUGUGUUGGAAGUGGUUCCAAGAUUGAUAUGAUCAUCAUUGCACACUCCCUAUACUUUCGGGAUUAGUGUUGAACCUAAAUAAAUGUUAUUUGGCGUUUGCGUUGAGCAUGAAUAUGAUUUGAUCAUGUUUAUUGCAAUACGGUUAUUCAUUUAAAAUUAGAGAAUAAUUGUUGUUCUGUUUAUAUGAAUAAAACCUUUGAUGGUCAUACACCCAAUAAAAAUAGUUUGUUGGAUCUCGAUCGUGGUAAUACACAUAUUCAUAAUACUGAUGCCAAAAGAUGCAAAGUUGAUAAUGAUAGUGCAACUUAUUUGUGGCACAACCAUUUGGGUCAUAUCGGUGUAAAGCACAUGGAGAAACUCCAUAAAGAUGGACCUUUGGAAUCACUUGAUUAUGAAUCAUUUGAUACUUGCCAAUCGUGCCUUAUGGGCAAGAUGACUAAAACUCCGUUCUCCGGAAUAAUGGAACAAGCUAGUGACUUAUUGGAAAUAAUACAUACAGAUGUAUGCGGUCCAAUGAGUGUUGAUGCUCGUGGCGGGUAUCAUUAUUUUCUGACCUUCACAGAUGAUUUGAGUAGAUAUGGGUAUAUAUUCUUAAUGAAACACAAAUCUGAAACAUUUGAAAAGUUCAAAGAAUUUUAGAGUGAAGUGGAGAAUCAUCAUAACAAGAAAAUAAAGUUUCUACGAUCUGAUCGUAGAGGAGAAUAUUUGAGUUACGAGUUUGGCCUUCAUUUAAAACAAUGUGGAAUAGUUUCACAGCUCACACCACCGGGAACACCAUAGUGUAAUGGUGUGUCCGAACAUCGUAACCGCACUUUAUUGGAUAUGGUGCGCUCUAUGAUGUCUCUUACCGAUUUACCAAUGUCGUUUUGGGGCUAUGCAUUAGAGACAGUUGCAUUCACUUUAAAUAGGGCACCAUCAAAAUCCAUUGAGAUGACGCCUUAUGAAUUGUGGUUUGGCAAGAAACCAAAGUUGUUGUUUCUUAAAGUUUGGAGCUGCGAUGCUUAUCUGGAAAAGUUUUUCAACCUGAUAAGCUCAAAACCAAAUCGGAGAAGUGCGUCUUCAUAGGAUACCCAAAGGAAAUUGUUGGGUACAACUUCUAUCACAAGAUCCGAAGGCAAGAUAUUCGUUGCUAAAAAUGGAUCCUUUCUAGAGAAGGAGUUUCUCUCGAAAGAAGUGAGUGGGAGGAAAGUAGAAUUUGAUGAGGUAAUUGUACCUUCUCCCAAAUUGGAAAGUAGUUCAUCAUAGAAAUCAGUUCCAGUGAUUCCUACACCAAUUAGUGAGGAAGCUAAUGAUGAUGAUCAUGAAACUUCAGACCAAGUUACUACAAAACCUCGUAGGUCUUCGAGAGUACGGUCCGCACUAGAGUGGUACGGUAACCCUAUUCUGGAUGUCAUGUUACUAGACCAUGAUGACCCUACAAACUAUGAGGAAGUGAUGAUGAGUCCAGAUUCCACAAAAUGGCUUCAGGCCAUGAAAUCUGAGAUGGGAUCCAUGUAUGAUAACAAAGUGUGGACUUUGGUGGACUUGCCCAAUGAUCGGCAAGCCAUAUUAAAUAAAUGGAUCUCCCAAAGGAAGAAUGGCACCGAUAGUAGUGUUACUAUCUACAAAACUUGACUUGUCGCAAAAAGUUUUUGACAAGUUCAAGGUGUUGGCUACAAUGAGAUUUUCUCAAUUGCAGCGAUGCUUAAAUCUGUCUGAAUCAUGUUAACAGUUGCCAUAUUUUAUGAAAUCUGGCAAAUGGAUGUCAAAACUGAAUUCCUUAAAUGGAUAUUUCUUAAAUAAGUGUUGUAUAUGAUACAACAAGAAGGUUUUGUCAGUCCUAAAGGUGCUAACAAAAUGUGCAAGCUCCAGCAAUCCAUCAAUGGACUGGUGCAAGCAUCUCGGAGUUGGAAUAUACGCUUUGAUGAGUUGAUCAAAGCACAUAGUUUUAUACAGACUUGCGGUGAAGCCUGUAUUUACAAGAAAGUGAGUGGGAGCGCUACAUCUUUUCUGAUAAGUAUAUAUGUAUGACAUAUUGUUGAUCGGAAAUGAUAUAGAAUUUUCUGAAAAGCAUAAAGGAGUGUUUGAAAGGAGUUUUUCAAAGAAAGACCUCGGUGAAGAUGCUUACAUAUUGAGCAUCAAGAUGUAUAGAGAUAGAUCAAGACGCUUGAUAAGUUUUUUCAAUGAGUACAUACCUUGACAAGUUUUUGAAGUAGUUCAAAAUGGAACAGUAAAAGAAGGAGUUCUUGCCUGUGUUGCAAGGUGUGAAGUUGAGUAAGACUCAAAGCCCGACCACGGCAGAAGAUAGAGAGAGAAUGAAAGUCAUUCCCUAUGCCUCAGUCAAAGGUUCUAUAAAGUAUGUUGUGCUAUGUACCAGACCUAUUGUGUACCCUGCCCUGAUUUUGGCAAGGGAGUACACUUUUGAUCUAGGAGUAGAUCACUGGACGGCAGUCAAGAUUAUCCUUAGUCGGGACUAAGGAAAUAUUUCUCGAUUAUGGAGGUGAUAAAAGAGCUCGUCGUAAAGAGUUACAUCGAUGCAAGCUUUUACACAAAUCUAGAUGACUCUAAGUCUCAAUCUGGAUACAUAUUGAAAGUGGGAGCAAUUAGCUAGAGUAGCUCCAUGCAGAGCAUUGUAGACACAGAAUAUUUGCAAAAUACAUACGGCUCUGAAUGUGACAGGCCCGUUGACUAAACUUCUCUCACGAGCAAAACACGAUCACGCCUUAGUACUCUUUGGGUGUUAAUCACAUAGCGAUGUGAACUAGAUUAUUGACUCUAGUAAACCCUUUGGGUGUUGGUCACAUGACGAUGUGAACUAUGGGUGUAAAUCACAUACAAAUGUGAAUAUUGGUGUUAAAUCACAUGGUGAUGUGAACUAGAUUAUUGACUCUAGUGCAAGUGGGAGACUGAAGGAAAUAUGCCCUAGAGGUAAUAAUAAAUUUAUUAGUCAUUUCCUUAAUUCAUGAUAAAUGUUUAUUAUUCAUGCUAGAAUUGUAUUAACCGGAAACUUAGUACAUGUGUGAAUACAUAGACAAAACUUAUAGUCCCUAGUAUGCCUCUACUUGACUAGCUCAUUAAUCAAAGAUGGUUAUGUUUCCUAACCAUAGACAUGUGUUGUCAUUUGAUGAACGGGAUCACAUCAUUAGGAGAAUGAUGUGAUGGACAUGACCCAUCGUUAGCUUAGCAAUAUGAUCGUGUCAGUUUCAUUGCUACUACUUUCUUCAUGACUUAUACAAGUUCCUCAUACUUUUAAUUAUGCAACUCCCGAAUACCAGAGGAACACUUUGUGUGCUACCAAACGUCACAACAUAAAAGGGUGAUUAUAAAGGUGCUCUACAGGUGUCUCCGAAGGUAUUUGUUGGGUUGGCAUAUAUCGAGAUUAGGAUUUGUCACUCUAUGUUUCGGAGAGGUAUCUCUGGGCCCUCUCGGUAAUACUCAUCACUAUAAACCUUGCAAGCAUUGUAACUAAUGAUUUAGUUGCGGGAUGAAGUAUUACGGAACGAGUAAAGAGACUUGCCGGUAACGAUAUUGAACUAGGUAUAAUGAUACCAACGAUUGAAUCUCGGGCAAGUAACAAAUACCAAUGACAAAGGGAACAACGUAUGUUGUUAUGCGGUUUGACCGAUAAAGAUCUUUGUAGAAUAUGUAGGAACCAAUAUGAGCAUCCAGGUUCCGCUAUUGGUUAUUGAUUGGAGACGUGUCUCGGUCAUGUCUACAUAGUUCUCGAACCCGUAGGGUCCGCACGCUUAACGUUCGAUGACGAUUAGUAUUAUGAGUUUAUGUGGUAUGUUGUACCGAAGAUUUUUCGGAGUCCCGGAUGUGAUCACGGACAUGACGAGGAGUCUUGAAAUAGUCGAGACAUAAAGAUUGAUAUAUUGGAAGCCUAUGUUUGGACAUCAGAAUGGUUCCGGGUGAGUUCGGGCAUAUACCGGAGUACCGAGAGGUUACAGGAACCCCCCGGGAAGUAUAUGGGCCUUAUUGGGCCAUAGUGGGAGAGAGGAGAAGGGAGCCUAGGAGGAUGGGCACCCCCCCCCCAAUCCCAAUCCGAAUUGGGUGGGCCCCCCCUUCCCUUCCUCCUUCCUCCCCCUUCCUUCCUCUCCUAGUCGAACUAGGGAAGGGGGGAAUCCUACUCCUGGUGAGAGUAGGACUCCUCCAGGGCGCGCCAUAGAGGGCCAGCCCUCCCCCCUCCUCCACUCCUUUAUAUACGGGGGAGUGGGGCACACUAUAGACACACAAGUUGACAUUUUUUAGCCGUGUGCGAUGCCCUCCUCCAUAGUUACACAUCUCGGUCAUAUCGUCGUAGUGCUUAGGCAAAUCCCUACGCUGGUAACUUCAUCAUCACCGUCACCACGCCGUCGUGCUGAUGAAACUCUCCCUCGGCCUCAACUGGAUCAAGAGUACGAGGAACGUCUCCUAGCUGAACGUGUGCUGAACGUGGAGGCCCCGUACGUUCGGUUCUUGGAUCGGUUGGAUCGCGAAGACGUUCGACUACAUCAACCGCGUUAACUAAACAUGUCAGUGUUCGGUCUACGAGGGUACGUGGACACACUCUUCCCUCUCUCUGCUAUGCAUCACAUAGAUAGAUCUUGCAUGAUCGUAGGAUUUUUUUUGAAAUUACCGCGUUCCUCAACACUUCUUCAUUCUUUGAGUAUAUCAAUAUAUCAUCAAUGAACACCACGACAAACUUGUCCAAAAACUCCAUAAACGCUUUGUUCAUCAUACUCAUGAAAUGGGCAGAUGCAUUAGUCAAACCAAAUGACAUAACGGUAUACUCAUAUAGCCCAUACCUUGUGGUAAAAGUUGUCUUAUGUAUAUCUUGCUCUCGGAUCUUCAACUGGUGAUAACCUGAUCGAAGAUCGAUCUUGGAGAAAACUUUAGCUUCUUGCAACUAGUCAAACAAAUCAUUGAUCAUCAAUAGAGGGUAUUUAUUCUUGAUCUUCACCUCAUUCAGCGCAUGAUAAUCAACAACCAUCCUCAAAGAUCCAUCCUUCUUCUCCACUAGAAGCACUAGGGAUCCCCAAGUUGAUGAACUUGGUCAAAUGUAACCUUUCUCCAGUAACUCCUCAAUCUGCUUCUUAAUUUCCUCCAGAUCUUUUGCGGGCAUCCAACGCGGUCUCUUUGGUAUUGGUUCGGUGCUUGGAAAUAACUCAAUCAAAAACUCAAUGUCAUGAUUUGGUGGCAUGUAUGGUAACUCUUCCGUAAAUACGUCGGGGUAAUCCUUCACCACUGGUACCUCCUCCUGAACAACUCCUGAUAAGGAAUUCACCUGAGUUCUCCUCGGCGCAUGCCGGGAUACAUACUUGAUCCUUUUUCCUUCUGGGGUGGUGAGAAGAAUUGAUUUACUGGCGCAAUCGAUGUUUCCUUCAAACUUGGAUAGCCAGUCCAUGCCUAGUAUCACAUCCAAUCCUUGUGACUCCAAAACAAUCAGGUCGGUGGGGAAAACAUGUCUCCUAUGGUUACUGGCAACUGAUAGCAUCCCCUACUAGCCAUAUACUCUGCUCCUGGGGAACUUACUAACAUAGGUGACUUAAGGGCUAUGGUUGGCAUUUAUACUUAUCCACGAAUCCCCUUGAUAUGUAUGAAUGUGAUGCACCAGUAUCAAAAAGAACAAGUGCGGUAAAUGCAUUAAUCAAAAACUUACCAACAAUUGCGUUGGGUUGAACCUCAAUCUCCUCCACACUGACGUGGUUCACCUAACCUUUGGUGAAGGGGUUGGGCUUCUUUGCAGAACCUCUAUUGCCAUUUCAAUUCUUUGCUUCAGGACAUUCAGUGGCAUAAUGUCCGGUCUUUUGGCACUUGAAACAAGUAAUGUGGCUCAGAUCCCUCUUUGCUGGCGUUGCGGGGUUGGAAUGGUUCUGGAUGCUGCUUCCUCCAUUCCCAUUGCCAUUCUUGGGGCCACUGUGGUUGUGCGAACUUGCUCCAUUGUGUGUAUGUCCUCCAUGGUUAUGGCCUCCAUGGUUGUGGGUAUGUCCUCCCAAGUACGGGUAAUAGCGGGGCUUCUGCUGAGCUCCAGAAGUGUACCUCCCCUGUCCAUACUUCCUCUUGCGAUUGUCAAUCUGCUGUUGCUUGCCUUCUAUCAUGAGGGCCCUGUCUACCAACUCCUGGUAGUUGUUGAAAGUUGCCACCAUCAACUGCAUGCUGAGCUCAUCGUUAAGUCCCUCAAGAAACUUCUCCUGCUUAGCGGCAUCUGUGGCUACAUCAUCUGGGGCAUAGCGUGCUAACUUGCUAAACUCAUCCACAUACCGGCCCACUGUACGCCCUCCUUGGCGCAAGUUGUGAAACUCGCGCUUCUUCAUGCUCAUAGCUCCUGCUGAAACAUGGCCAGUGUGGAAAGCCUGCUGAAACUGAUCCCAUGUAAUUAUAUCUAUGGGGUAAGUAACGGUGAAAUUCUGAGUUAUUUACCCAAAACCACCACAUUUUGGGCUAGGGUAACAACUUGGUACCACAUUUGAGUCAGAGCACAAAAAACCACCAACUUGGCGCCUAACCUAUAACGCCGAGCACUGAUAGUCGAAUUUACUCACGAAAACAGCGAAAUCAACAGGUAGGACCCACAUGUCAGGAUGAUGUGGCAUGCCUAUCUGGACAAUUUGCUGAGGUGGACGUAGGUCCCAUCUGUCAUCCUCAUGCACCUCCUCCUUCCUCCUCUCUGUCUUUUUCUCUCUUCAACCAGCGAACGCAGAGGACCUCGCCAGUGGCCAUGCUCAGGCUGGACCCAUGCCUCCGGCGCCAUGGUCGGCCGCCACGGUCGUCCCCGCCAGCAGCCCAACGCCUGACGAGAUGCCGCGUCCCCCGCCAUCAACCUCCUCCUCUCGUCCAGGCCGCUCCGGCGAUGCACGCCUCGCCCCGAGCAGCACCACUCGGCCCGCUUGCCUUGUCGGCCGCCGCUCGCUCCGGAUGUGGACGCCCGCAACCCUGCUGUCCUAGAUCUGGUGCCCAGGACCCGUACGGCGUCCGCAUCGGCCGCCGGCGUCCACACCCCCACGAAGCCCACAACAGCCCCUCCCCGAUCCGCGGUCGCCACCGGCCACCAUUCUCAUGGCCAGAGACCACUCCAAGCCCCACCACCUUGUCUGGGAGCACUGGAAUGCCUCCCUGAGCACCCCUACUGGAGUUAUUGGACCCGGACAUCCAAAACUGGCCACGCCGCGGUCGUCUUCUUCACGUCCGACCACCAAUGUGCCUCGAUCUCCUGCUCCGGUGAAUCCCUGCGCCUCGCAUCUAGUCUUCGACACGUCCUCUUGAUGCCUUCGCCGCCAACACCGGCAAGUUGCGAGUCCCCAAGCCAUCUUCCACGCCUCACCAUGCUUCGUCGGCCGCUGCCGCACACGAGGACGUUGCUCCAGUGCUACCUCGCCGCGUCCGAGCACGCAUAUGUGCUGAAGGUGAGCCCCGCGCCCCUUCCCCGCGCCAUGGCGUGCUGUGCCUUCUUCAGUGACCAGAGGAUGAACGCACGGAAGGUGCUCGAUGGAAUGCCUGAUAGAAAGAAUGUUGUGAAGAAGAUGACCCUCUAGUCAUUGACAGGUGGGGCCCAGUCUCAUUUGCCACAUCAUUCGGUCAAAGUUUUUGGUCUUCGCCAUGUCAGCCCAACAAGUGGGGCCAACCUGUUAGUUUCACUAUUUUCGUGAGCUUAUCAGAGAAUUAGUGCUCGGAGUUAUGGGUUAGGCGCAAAGUUGGUGGUUUUUUGUGCCCUGACUCAAAUGUGGUACCAAGUUGUUACCCUAGCCCAAAAUGUGGUGGUUUUGGGUAAAUAACUCUGAAAUUCUCCCACCAAGAUGUUGCGGGUCCAUCAAGCUGAUGUGCGGCAAAGCGCACUCUCUCCGCAUCUGUGCAUCCUGUAGUGGUCAGCUCUCUUCCAAUCUUGCGGAGCCAAUCAUCUGCAACUAUCGGCUCGGUGCUACUAGAGAACACCAGCGGAUUCAACCUUAGAAAACGGGCUAGGUGGACAACAGGGGGUGGUGGUGGUGGGUUGUUGUCGUUGUUGUUGCCUUGGUUCUGGUUCUGAACUAGUAUCUGCAUCAAGGCAUUCUGCUGCUGGAUCAAGUGAGUGAGCUCCGGCGGGGAUGCAAAUCCAUUGUCGCGUCUCGGAGGCAUCUGAUGGGUCAGAAGGGGUGAGGAAACAGAAUAGAAUUGAGGUCUAAGAGAGAUUCACUACCCAUAUGCUCAUGAGACAAACACAAUCAAUUUCACUUCAUUCAAUAGCACACCAGAUUCACACAAAUGAUCUAACAUAUGAUUCGAUCGUUGCUAACUACUUGGAGGAAUACUACUAGUUACAUGGUGGUCAUCUAGAAAUUUUAAUCAGAGGAAGACUCCAUAAUAUCUGCUCUAGCUUCGUCAAUGUAGUCGUCUUCACUGUCAUCACUUGCAUCACUAUCUGUGUCGGUGUCGCCCAUGAUGAUGUAGUCCUCCGAACGGAUCUCCUUUGCUGGUUCUCGCUUGUGAUUCUCCACUGGUAGUCCUAGCUUCCUCUUCAGGUCUUCAUGCUUCUCUAGUAGUACGGCAAUCUCUCCCUCAUAUCCAUCGCGUGUAGACUUAAGUUCCUCUUCUAGCUCGAUGUUUCUCUUCAUCAGCUUCUUGAUAUUCUUCAUGUGGAUAAUUUGUUGAUUCCCAAUAUGAUCUCCCAUCUCUUGAAUGUAGGCUGUAAUUGAUCCAUCCCUCCUGGUACGAAUCAUCUCCCAUUCUUCAUCUCGGCGGCCACAUAUUUGAUAAAUGGUGUUCUUCAGCUCCUUGUGAUACACCUCAAAUAUACGUCCAAAGGUGACAUGGGUUGCCAUGCUCUUUCCUAAACUCCAGCUUGGUGCAUCCAGGUAGAAAUCAAUAGGCCCCGUUGUUGGCGCAAAUGUCCUCCCAGGUACCCAAACUUUGAUCUUCCAGCGUUCCUCUUCCGGUAUAGUUGUAGAGAAAGUCCCCGUGAAUCUUGGUAGUCCGAUGUUCAGGUACUUAGUGACUUCCUUCAAGUGUCGUCCUAAAGGGGUGUCGACAUCUGGCUGAGUGAACUUGUUCCUAGGAUCCGCCAUCUAUAGAGUAGAAAUAGAGGAGAGUUCAAAAUGAGCAGAGAAGAGAAAUCGUGUGGCUUAUUCUAGUGGUCACAUCCUACAGUCAAUGUGUGCUCUGAUACCAUCUUGUAGCGACCACGACCCGAAUGGACCGAAGUCUCUGUGCAUCAGUGUCAUUCCUAGAUCGGUAAUGCUGACACGCACAAUACUUGAGGAAUUAUAACAGAGUUCAAUCACACACUUAUUACAUCGAGUCCUCAUAAAGAGUAUGAUUACACAAAAAUAUGGUUGAAGGCCAUCUAAACUAAAUAACUUUGGAAGCUUCGAAUGUAAAUGAGUCAAUCAACUCCAACGGCAUAGCUGAGUGCAAGACAACCAACCUAUCACACCUUAUUCGUCGUCUGAAUAGUCUGCAACAUCAGACGUUGCAGCCGUGUAGAUCAGCACAUUGAAUAUGCUGGCAGAGUUACACUGUAAAGCAAUGAAAUGCAAGAACUAUAUCUACAUGUAGUAUUUGGCUGGUGGAGGCUCUAAGUUUAUAAUUUUUGCAUAAAGCUAGUUUUUCCCUACAACAAAGGAAUAAAUUUAUUUAACUACUCCCAAGUUGUCCAAUAUUUGAGAAGGUAACCCCAACUCAAAUCCCAAUUAAAAGUAUCAUCAUUAACCCAUCAAUUUCAUUAAGUAAAGUGAUGACAUCAAAUCAAUAAUUCAACUACCAGAUACUCAAGAUGUCCAUAACCGGGGACACGCCUAACCAUGAUUAGUUUAUAUACUGUGCAGAGGUUUGCGCACUUUUCCCCACAAGACUCGACCGCAUCCAUGAUCGGAUGAUCGAGACAUAGUCUUUCUAAAGCACUUACUCUCUACUCCGGGAGGACCGGUACACCUACUUUCCCCUACAUCUGCUAGUCCACCUCUUCAAGAGCUCAUGCAACUUACUCUACUACUUCCUUCUCUCUCCCCCUCCCCAAGGCCACUCUCUUGAUUUGAACCUCAACGUGACACGAGGAACUCUUCCUUCCUUGUAUAUGAAAUGAAUCCCGUGCGGUAGAUUGAGUGAGUGGGUGGGGUUCAAAAAGGAUGCGCUCCGAUGCUGCCCGGCGUGUCCACCAACAUUUGAGGACCCAUCUUUAUGCAUUGUAGUUGGAUACUGUAGCACCAUGGUAGAGGAGACGGUUCCGCUCUUAAGGGCCCGUUCGGAGUGCAGGGUUGGUAAACAAUGGAAUGGGAAACUUUCUAGGAAUAUAAUUUACUUGACUGGUGGAAUCUUUGGAAUGGAAAAUAAAGGAAUGUAUACUUUUCCUGCAUUCGGCGCCAAGUUCUAGAAGCAAAGGAACGAGGAUAAAAGCUAGUGCAUGUAGCCUUCCUCCAAUGAGAUGAAAAUAUUUUUUUAUUCAGCCAGACAUGCGACCUACACUGCGGGCCAGCCUUUUUGGGAAAUUCUCUCAGAAUUGACCCCCUCCCAGCUUCUUCCAGAAUUGUCACUUCAUUUUUUUUAUAAUUCCUAGCUAGUUAAGGUGUAAAGCCCCAUUCGAUUUGGAGGAUUUUCAUAGGAAAAACAUAGGAACAAGGAUUCCAGAGGAAAAUUUUCUAUAGAUGCAUUCGGUUUGUAGGAAAGGCGUACAGAAAUAUCAUAGGAAUACUACUCAUUUCCUGUGUUUUUGGAGGAAACUAGACAUUCACUCAAAGCUCAUUUUACGCGUAGGAACGAGGCAAAUCAAUUCCUAAGGAUGGCAAGUGUCAUCCUAUCAAAUUCCUAUAUUAAUCCUAAUUCCUAUGUUUUAGUUUCCUCCGAACCGAAUGAGCCCUAAUUAGUUAGGAAUUGUAAAAAAAAUAAUAGAGUGGCCAUUCUGGGAGAAGCUGGGGAGGGGGUCAAAACUGGCAUGCGUCUCUUUUGAUUCCGAUGCAUGUAAGAAAUUCUUUAUUCGACUGGCUGAUGCCCCGCAUCGGGCUUCCGCCCAAACAUUGGGUCCCAGUGGAUUUUCUAUUUCUAGUAAAAAGUACAAAGCAGGUACUCUUUUCUAUGGAAUGAGAGACGAGUAAUCCUUUGAACCGAACGCACCACAAUUUAUUUUUCCAGAGGAAAGCAAGGCAAUGUUUCCUGCAUAAUUCCUGCAGAUCGAACGAAACCUAGGGUGUAUUUGGUUGCAGUUUGCAACAGUAGUUGCAUUGCAUGUCCAUCUCCAGCCAGCCUGAUUGCUGAAAUACAGCCUCAUAUGCAGCAGAUGCAACCUGUUUGGUUGCCUGCAUCGCAUCGAGAGGCACUUACCCCUCUGCUGUUUGGUUGCCCGCAUUUGUACUUAGGGUGUGAGCAGAUGCAAACUUCAGCUGUUUGGUUGCAAACAGCGUUUGUGUUCUGCUCACCCCAUUCAAAUGUGGUGGCCUUACCACCACACAUGAUCAGCACAACAGCAACAGCACAACAGCAAGAUCAAACAAAGCAAGCAAUGUAAUGACAGCAAACUACUUAACUAGAUAGCAUAAGUCUAGAUUAAGAGCAGGGGCAUCCUCCUUCCCUGCUCCAUGCCAGGGUGCUGCUCCUGGCUAAAAUAUGAACAAGUUCCCAGCACAAGUCUCGCCACACACCAUAAAAGUUCUCCACUAACACCUUACUUAACUUAACUACAUAGCCUGCUCGAUGCCACCAAGGCAAUUGUGCCUGCUGCAACGAUAUCUGCACAUCACCGACGAGUCGUGGUUAUAGAUCUGAACCUUCAGUCCGAGUCCUGAGAUGCGCACAACGACGAGGUCGCCGGGGACGAUGCGGUGGCGGCGGCAAAAGUAGUUCCACCCCCGGCCAAGCACCAUGUGGCCCUCGAAGUUCUGGACCUACACCCAGAACAUGCACCGCUUGUUGGCCGAGAGCCUGACCAUGUGCGGGAGUCGCUUGAUGACCAGCCAGGUGUUCAUCACCUCCACGAACUUGGGAGGGACGACGAGCAUGGUGAGGUCCUCGUUGUCCUUGAUCUGCUUGUAGAAUCUCACCGGCUCCCUGGCUCCCUCCUCGUGGCCCUGCCUUCGAGAUCGUCCCCUUGAACGAGGCACACUCAUGAAGGCGAUCCUGCUAGGCAGGUCCACCGUCCUGAGCCACCUGUUCGUGGGGACGAAAUCCUCGAUGCGCUCAGCUCCGACCACUACCUGAGCUCCUCCACCCGCCACAUCCCAGUGAGUCUUCAGUAUCUUGUCAGGCAACAUGGCAAGUAUUAGUACCAAACAAAGCAAACAAAGCAAGCAAGCAAAUGCCACUAAUCAGUGGACUUGCCCAACAGCAAGUGCCACUGAUCAGUGACAUGUGCUCAUGACCAAAUGGCAAUGAUCUGUGGCACUUAGUGUUGGGCAAGAGCACUAAUCUACUUGCUGUAGUGCAAAUGGCACUAAUGACACUGAUCAGUGACUUGCCCAAUAGCAAGUGCCAUUGAUAAGUGGCAUUUUGCCCAACAACAAGUGUCAUUGAUAAGUGGCAUUUGCCCCUAGGCAAAUGCCACUUAUCAAUGACACUUGUUGUUGGGCAAGUCACUGAUUAGUGGCAUCUUCUUUGCUGCAACUGGCACUGAUCACUGCACUAUCCUAAACAAGGAAACAUCUAAAAAUAGCAACAGCAAUUGCCAAUAGCACCCAUGUGCAGCCAUGCAGAUUUGGGACCAUCCUAAAAUGGUCCUACUACAUGCACGUAUAACAUCCACUGAUGGCACAAACCCUAGCUUCAACAUGCAACAUGAAACAAUAACAUGAUUCUAACAUAAACAUGCCAUCAGUCAACAUGAUUCUAGCAUUCAUCACUCAACAUGAAUAUGUCAUCAGUAUAACAUUCAUCACUCAGCAUGAACAUGAUUCUAGCAUGAACACACCUACUAGCAUGUAGCAUAAAUCUUAGGACACACAAGCAGUAGCACAAGAAAAUUAUCCUAGCACACACACUGUACAAAACAAGAACAGAUUAGUCUGAUUGGAUUCGAUUGGGAUCGCAUCCAAUCGGAUCUGCUAGAAUCCUAUCAAUCCUAGCACAUGCAUAAGAAAUUAACCGCUAAUCUACAUCUAGGAGCAAGCUUUGAGGGGAUUUGACUCACCAGAGCACGCGCAGCCGCGGCGAACCGAAGCCAGGGUGAGAACCCCAGCGGGAAGGAUAGAGGUGGCGGAGUAGAGGAUGAGCCGGCCCCGGCGACGGCCUGCGGCAUCGGCCCCGUGCUGAACGCCAUGCCGAAGGUUGAGAAGGACGGCCCGCCGACCGGAGAAAACCCUUGGACGGGGGUCAAGAAAACCCCCGAGCCCAAUGGUGUCCCAAGAAGGGCGGCUCCGUCGACGGCGCCGGCGCCGGGCCCAAGACCACGACGUCCGGAAUCGGCGGCGGAGUAGGAGCGGCCGAUACCGCAUUGGCCGACGGGCGUGGAGGCUGGCGGCAGAUGGGGGACGGCGCCCAUAGUGCCGACGCCAGGUCGCGGCCCGAGUUCUGGAGCCCGGCCAGCCAGCCCUCCGGGAUGCUGGCGAUGUGCUGGUCGACCGGGGUCAGAGGGCGGCGCGGCGGUGGGCGUAGCGGAGCCAUCGAAGAAGAGGAGAGAAGAGGAAGGACGGUGAGAGAGAGGGAGCGGUGGAAACAGUGGGGGUAGGCGGUGACAGGAGAGUGUGGGGCGAGUAAUAAAACGUCGCCUUCGUCUUCCGCGCUUCUCAAAACGUGCAACUGCCCCGCACGCCCGGCCGCGCCCGGCUAGGCUCGCAAGAAACUGCCGAUUCGGCAGUUUUCGUCGGGCCAGGCUGCGGGCUGCUUUGAGAUCCGUGCGGGCCUCAAACCGCAUGCAGCCCAGCCAAACAAACAGGCCGCGCAUAUUCUGCGUGGGCCUGGUUGGGCUGCACGCGGGCAACCAACACGCCCCUAGUCUCACCCGUGUCUCAGGGUUCAUGUACCGAGAUGACACUAGACGCAGUUUGCAGAUCCUAGAAACCAUCUGCAACUGCAAACUCACAUUCUUCCAAAGCUUUCCACUCAACGGCUGGCGCGUCUCCACGCGUCUCCCAAUCCAGCCAUCAGUCCGAACCCAGGUGCACCACACCUCCCACUCCUUUCCUCGGGCCCCCUUCGAGCUUCCCAGCCGCGAGCUCCCUCCGACCGAGCUCGCCCAAACGAAUGGCAGCCACAUCCGUCGCCUCCGCCCCGCGCCCGCUCCGCGCGACGCCGCGCCGGCAUCCUUGCACGCCCUGCCGCCGCCACCACGCCGCGCCGCCCCACGCCCUCCGCAGGCCGCGCCUCUCCGUCUCGGCCUCCGCCGCCGACGAAGCCAGCAGCGCCUCGUCGCCGUCGUCUUCGCGGUUCUACUUCAACUUCACCGGCUUCCCCUUCCCGCUCGGCCCCUUCCUCAACCGCCGCACCACCCGCACCGAGGUGAUUGCUAGCAGCUGCACCUCAGCCUGCUGCUCCCCGAGCUCAUGGCCUCACUGCGUUCCCUCUCCGAAGUCUGAAAACUCCUCUCCGAAUGCAGGCCGUGAAGGGCAGCGUAUGGCUGUUCGAGCAGGAGCAGGCGCUGGGCUUCAGCAGCGUCUCCACCAACACCCGCAUGACCGUCGUCAGGCUCCGCUCCGGCGGGCUCUGGGUGCACGCCCCCAUCGCCCCCACCAAGGAAUGCAUCCAGGUACGCUUCAGUUUCAGCAAAGAAAGCAACCGUUCGCGCGGCUCCUGUUCGACAUUAAUCCGAUGCCAUGCCAUGUGCAGCUGAUCAAGGAGCUGGGCGCGCCGGUGGAGCACAUCGUGCUGCCGACCUUCGCGUACGAGCACAAGAUCUUCCUCGGGCCCUUCUCCAGGAAGUUCCCCAGGGCGCAGGUGUGGGUGGCGCCGCGCCAGUGGAGCUGGCCCGUCAACCUGCCGCUCGAGUUCUUCGGGGUCUUCCGGUCCAAGCCCCUCGAGGACGAGGACGACGCCACGCCCUGGGCCGCCGAGAUCGAGCAGAAGGUGCUCAGCUCGCCGGAAGUUGGUAUUCCCAGUUCCUCACUGCGCAUUCUCAUCUCUGAACACCAUUGUGGGUGCAUUGAUGCACACAUGAUAAUUCCCGUGUAAAUUGGGUGCGUUCAGGGAUUGGGCCGUAUGUGGAGGUGGCGUUCUACCAUAAGCCUUCCAGGACAUUGCUGGUGACGGAUGCUGUGAUUUUUGUUCCUCGGCAGCCACCCGAUUGCAUCAGCAAAGAGUCCUUGUUGGCAGCUGCCAAGAAUGGCUUGGCAGUGAAGAUAUUGAGCAAAGGGAGAGAGGUUCCUGAUGAUCCCGUUGAGGACAACAAGCUGACCCGGCAGACAGGUACAUACAAUCUGAUGCCAUUUCUGAACUAAUUGACAUAAAGUGAAACAAGAAUUAGCUGGAAACAGUGAGAUCUUGAGUUCAUGUUAGAAUUGAGGUAGUGCAGUAGCACACUAGCUGCAUUGUUUUCCACUAGAUUCAGAGAAGUGUCUUCAGAAAAUUGUCUAUAUUCACGUAUUUCAGUUAGUUUUUCCACAUUUUGAGAAGGAGCAACAUUCAGUAGUCUAGCGUUUUAACUGGACUAUAGUUGUGGAAGUACCUCUAUUCAGAAUCAUACAUUAAGUAUCUGGAAUUUGUAAAAUGCAGAGUUCAUGUUUUAAAUAAGGUACUGUAGUAGAACACGGGAUUGAUUUCCAUCUAGGGCUUUCUUGUUGUACUGUAGUAGAACACUAGAUUGAUUUCCAUCUAGGGCUCAGAAAAAUGUUAGUGCAGAAACUUGUCCAUGUUCACUUAUUAACUUCGGUUAGCCUCUUCGAAUUUAAAAGGUAGCAAUAUUAAGUAGGAAGGUCCUUUUGCCAGUAUCUCUGUGGUGUUCUAUUGCUUAGGGCUUUCUGUAUCUGAAUGCUGUUAGAUGACAUUCUGUCAAUCUCUGUCUUCAGCGAUUCCUGUUGCUUAGGGCUUUCUGUAUCUGAAUGCUGUUAGAUGACAAUCUUUUGUGUUCAGCGAUUCCUUUGGCAGUACGAAGGCUCUAACAUCGUAGCAUCAUCACACAGCAUGUAAACAACCAAAUACAGUCACAAAAGCAUCAUAAUCAGUUUUUUUAGAAAAAGCAGAGUUCACUUGUGGGAUUUUAUCCAUCGGCAUGUCAUCAUAGAAAGAUGUAUUUCUAGUUCUCCAGAUUGUCCAGCAAAUAGCUACACCGCCAGGAAGGAUGAGCUUUUGUUGGUUUUUAGGAAAAGAAUUUAACGAGCCCCAAACCUGGUCUAUGUUCGAAUCGCAUUGCAUAUUCGAAUCGACAAUAUCGAUAUUGUUACAGUAACCUGGUCUAUGUUCCAACAGGAUGGGAGAGGAUGGUACUUCAAAUACUGUUUCUCGGCCCCUCAAAUCUUCUCGAGCCAAAUGCGAGUUUCGCUCAAAUGUCACAGAAACUGAUCGUUUCACCAAUUGUCAAGACACUCGUCUUCAGCAAAGUUCCGGAGAAGGUAUGCAUGUGGAUGCACUCCUUUUUACACUGGACUUUCCUGCUAAAUAGCAUCACCUGCUUCUUGUGCAGGUGAGGGACUGGGUGGACAGGAUCGCGGCGGACUGGCCGUUCCGACGGAUCAUCCCGGCGCACUUCGCCGCCCCAAUCAACGCGAGCCGGUCCGACUUCCUGGCCGCCUUCGCCUUCCUCGACGAGUUCCUCCCGGACCGCCCCGCCGCGUCGCUCGGCCUGCCCCUCAUCUUCGCCUCGCUCAUGGGCAAGGCGGCCAGCUACUUCCCGCCGGACGACAUGAAGACCCUCUCGUCGCUCGACGACUUCCUGGUCUCCGUCGGCGCAGUCAAGAAGACCGUCUCCGGAAGGAAGCGAUGAUACGUACCGCAGAAACCGCUGCGCUGUGCAUAGUUUUGUCAAGAAAUGAAAUGUCACUGGCUGCUGCUGUAAUAGAUGAUUUAUCCACAUUGUUGCAGAAUGCGUGUAUAGAGUUAGUUACUACCUAGAUUAUAUAGUAGUACGACGAAAUGGUUACAGUUUUCAAUAGAAAAUUGUGAUCCGAAAGCUAGGAUCGGCCAGGAUACAGUGAAACAUUUGCCAUUGUGUGCAUCUUGUUGCAGUUGACAGUACACAUUUUCGUUGGCCGGCCCCCGGGCGGAGGGCACGGACGAGUGAACUGCUGCGACGGCACAAGAUUGGGAUGAUAUGCACGGUCGGUUGGGAGUUACUCCGCGGCCCGACCGAUCCAGUUUCCGCUGAGUAAAUGCACGGGGGCUGCCUCCAUGAGCCGGCACACGCGGAGUGAAGUGAAGUACACGGGAGCUGCAAUGCACCACGUUCACGCGGCAGACAGUUACCUCAUUAACCAGCACGUACGUACGUACGUACAUCGCUUGUUUUUUCUAACACAGACGCAAGCGCUCGUACAUACGUGCAUACACUCACCUCUAUGAACGCGCGCGCACACACACCCUAUCAUUAUGAGCACCUUCGUGAGACUGAGCCGGCAUAUCAUCUCGAAAUUUACGAAGUCACCGUAGGCGCCUCACCGUCGAUGGAAACGUCUCCUUCCACUGAAAGCGCAUCGCCGGAAAUCCUGAAAGGACUUGAACCCUGGUGGGCUCGGGAUACCACUGUCCCUCCAUCCAACCACAGGUUGGUUUGCCGCUUGUUGGGUACCCUAUCAUGUGUACCGCAGUCAGCCUUGUUGUACCACGUAGCAGUACAUCAGUUUUUUUCCCUGAGGGGAAUUUUUUUUUUACACAAUCCUGAGGGGAAGUACAUCAGUUGUUGUAAGACGUACGUGUACAUCAUUUUCGGUUCAUGGCUAGAAAGUGGGCUGGUACUACUCCGGUUUUCACUUUUGUUGAUGGGCUCAACCUCAACGUUUAGCUUUCGAGUUUUUAAUAAACAUGAAUUAUUUGGCUAUCUCGCCAAUCUACAUGCAUCAUCUGUUUUUUUUAAGCAGAUCUAUAUGCAUCAUCUGUUUUUUUUAGAGAGAAUAUGCAUCAUCUGUUGACGCAGGAGGUCGCCGGUAAUAAAUGUCCCAUUUAAGGAAAGAUGGAGCCUUGGCAGUUGGCACCGAAGACAGCACGUACGGGUAAAUGCAAUGGCAAUGUAACUUCAAAAAAAAAAUGCAAUGGCAAUGCGACGGAGAAAUGUUGGUCUCUCUCUAAUGCACGUAUGUGUAACGUUUUCACAUCUGAAAACGGUAGCGGUGUAGCACCACUACACGUGGGCACAGUAGUUAGUAGUUACAGUAGUACUCGUGACUUGUCCUACUCACAAAGUCAGAGGCCUCACUGCGUGUCCGUAUCCCUGUCAGACCCAGGCCAGGUAGUUAAGUUAGUUACCACGGCCACAAGGCAGAAUGAAGUCAUCAUCACAAGUCAAAAUUACUCCACUGUAACUUCGCAAUGCAGAUCGAAAUUAACCACGAGCGAGCGAAAUUAAUGCCACGCAACGCAAGGCCGAGACGGAGGCAGACAGACGGUGGUGCGCCAUUAAACCUCCUCCAACCUUGCCUCGCCGUCACAGGGAGGGGCAGCGCACAUUAAACCCCAGCGGCGCGGCCCGGCCGCCGACCGCCGUCCGCCGACGCCGUCCGCGGCCGUGGCAAUGAGAGCGCACAGUGCAAAACGCUGCCACGGAUGACCUCGUCUUCUGGUGGUCAGAUACAGGGCACGCCAAGCCUGACCUCAUUUUCUUUCUGUUUAAGAACGGAACGGAACGGAUACGUGUGAAAGAGAAGAAAAAUAAUGGCAUGGCGUCGCGCCGGUGUCCACGCCGUCAGCCACAGUGAGAAAUUGACAAUCGAGCGGACGUCACGUCGGCGGCGGCGCAAAAACUUGCGGUUUUUUCUUCCUUUGCAUUGAUUGAUGGCGCGAGCCGGGUAACGGCGAAAUUAUGCUACAAGACUAGAGCAAAAAUGACACGAAAGAACCAAGAAUUCCGAGGAGGAAGAAGAAGAAGAAGAACUGGCCUAUACAUAUGCUAUAUCUAUGUUACUGGCACGCAGAGAUGUAUGAGCAAGCAGGCAGGCGUCGAUCGAUCGAUCCUCCAUUGUAAGUCCUUUCCGGCCGGGCAGUCGAGCGGGUGCGCCGCCGCGGAAAGCAGGAACAAGAGAGGACGAUCGAUCCUUUCCUCGCUGAAGAACCCAGUCGGCCGCCUGCCGGUGAUCCGUCCAAGAAACCAAGAACUGACCCCGCCGUCGUCGCCGGCCCGCCUCAGUUGUGCAGCGGGUUGGGGCCCGUGGGGACGCGCCGCUUGGAGACUCCGUAGCGCAUGUCGACCUCGUCGCGGCCCGGCGGGGGCAGCGGCACCGCGGGCGCGCCCUGCUGCUGGUGGUGGCGGUGGUGGCCGCCGUGGCGGUGCCGCGCGCCUCCCCUCAGGGCGCGCCGCCUGAUCAGGUGCAGCUCCUCGCACCACGCCGGGCGCGGGCCAGCGCGCGGGUUGCACAUCCUGGCGAGGACCGCCUCGUCGGCGGCCGUCAGCUCCGCGGGGCUCGCGCUCCCGCGUCCUGGCGGUGGCGGUGGCGGCGGCGGGGCGGAGCAGAGGAGGAGCAGGGACGCCAAGAAGAGGAGGCGGAGGGCGCAGGAGCAAGAACGCGCCAUGGCUGCGCCGGCGCACGCGGGCGCGACUGGCCCGCCUGUCUUGCGUCGCUCCGGCGGUUCUUGGAGGGCGGAAUGGUGGCUCGGGGAGCGCGCGCGCGGCGAGGGGCGGCCGGGCGGGCGAGAGGUGGAAGGGGCCUAGCUGUGGCGAGCGGGGGGCUUGAGCCGAGAGGGACGCGGUGGAAAUUGGUCUGGGAGGGUGCGGUUGGCUUUAAAGGCAGCGGCGUGAGGUGCAUGAGGAGCUGGAAAACAGAGACGGCGAAAGGAGAAGUCAAGCCAAGCUAUUGCACGUAUCUGGGGAUCCCGACCCCCCAACUGAUUUAGGGGCAGGCAAAGAGCAAGUUAUGCAAAAGGGGCGAACUUUUUUUUCUAGUAAUACAUGUCUCGUUAAUAAAAUAAAAAUUCGCUUACAAGCCACGUAAACAUCGACAUUACAGGACUGGAAAGAUAGGAUAAUCCUAUGAAAAACCCAGCGCAUAUCCCUCUCCACUAAAAAAAGGCAGAUCACCUCUUCACCCCAGCUCGAGGCGGCUCCAUACUGAUCAGCAGCUUUACGGACCUUCAAAGUAGUUUGCCUGAAACAAAACCAUUGCCCUUGAAAGAAUCAGACUGGAGGAACGUGUCCCCGGACACGCCAUCAAACUUCAGAACUGACACCCCCGCACGACUACGGCGUCGGAGGAGGAAACUAGAACUACCAGCCUCCAAUCAUAGACCCAGCACAAGAUGCACCAUCUUUCAGCUGUCACUUGCAUACACAAGCGUCUGCGCGUACUCUUGGAUGACAAAACCUCCCUGCUCCACUAUGACGUCGAAGACAACGCCGCAACAAUGGGGACGGAGCAGUAGGAGAGACACACCUGAUGGAGUCGCCACCGCCGCCGCCUCGCCGACACCAUCCAUGAACCUUAACGCCGCCGAUCUGAAAGAUCGACAAACACAAGAUGCCAUCAACUCCGAGACGCCGCCAUGAAGGGCACCGCCGGUGUGGGAGGGAAGUUGAGGCGGAUUUAUUCGUCCGGGCGCCGCUCCCAUCACCCCAACGGCGCACCACGACCUACAAAUCCAAACCAUAACUACAAAGCGGAGGAACAGGUCCCCCCUUCCUCCUGCCGCCGGAGCAGCAGCCGGAGGAGAGGGGGCCAUCGCCCUCGCAGUGGAGAUCGGUGGAAAAAGAGAUCGCCUCCCUAGUCGCCUCCUGGUGGCGGCUAGGGUAGGAAAACGUUUUGUUUCGGUUCAGAAAAGGGCGACCCUCUGGACUCGAAAAAGCUACUUCCUCCAUGCAAUAAUGUAAGACGUUUUUUUAUGAUAGUGUCAAAAAACAUCGUAUAUUAUGGGACGGAGUAGUAGAUAACUAACUGUUCGUGUAUUGUAAUUAUGUGAUUACGGGUCAAAAAUGGAUGUAUGUGCUUGUUGAAUCUUUUUAUAUUGUUACGUAUCAAAAAUAGUUGGCAAUUUAAUUUGCUUGCUGACUUAUCAAAUAAAACUCAAACCGAUAAGACGUGGGGCAAUUGAGACAACUUUCAUGCAAAAACCUGUAGGAGAAAAGCGGAAGGAGGACAUGAAAUGCGGAGGGAGAGGGAGAGGGCGGAAUAGGGAGAGGGGGGAACAAGGCAGGUUAGAAAGCUUAUAAAUUAUUUAACUGCUUGUGUAUUGUAAUGAUGUGAUUACGAAUCAAACAUGGGCGUGUGUAUUGUAUAUUGUUAUAGCAUUUUUCUUUGGAAUCCUCUUGAUUCGUGAUAUAGGUUGUUGAUAUCGCCUUCGUUUUCUCCGGAAGUCGUGACAUAUUCACCGAUGAUAGCUGGGGUUUAAGGUUAGUGUUCUUCGGGGUGUAAGGUCCAUACGCCACCUGGACUUAUAAUAACGGUUAGUGGUUUUUCACUGCUGGUGGUGGUUCAAGUAGGAUGCGAUGGAGUGGGGCUGGGAUGAGCUGGCGCGUUGAUCAAUGCUAAGACUAUGAAAAUGACAACGAGAGGUUGUGGCAAAGAGGUGGUGCUGAUUCAGCAACCACAACCGACAAUAGAAUGGGAGAAGGUAAGGGCGUCGGACUAUGAGAAAGAAGACAUUAUAUCAUAACGGAGGAAAAUGGAUAAGGAGAGGCCCGUCUAGGUCUCUACGCCAAUGACACGUGGGGUUUCAGUGCUAGAGAUGGUUCGAGAAGAAGGAAAGAAGUGUGUUAGGGCGAUAGAGCAACCAAGUUUUUUGGAUUGAAGGAGGCAGUGGAGAAAAGUCGUGUAUCUUGAUUUGACGAGCUAAUCAAAUCACACUUGACUCACAGGUGGGAACUCAAUUUUGUCUUGCUGCAAUAGAUUUCGGGUUAUAUCAAAGGGUGCCAUUCAUCACACGUACUAUUCAAAUGUUGCUAUAAGUAUCACCAACUAUUUACUACGACACUGACAACAUAACAAUCUCGCCCAAAAAUGGUUCACAUUGACUUAGACAAUUAAGCAGCUAGCGUAAGCCCUAAGAUAUAUGGGUCCAUCCACAUUAAGUUGAUUGGGAUUGGUUUUUUCUUAUAUCCAAGUCUGAUUCUAAAAGAUGGAACGUCAAUUUAGUGAAACACACAACCUCAAGUUCUUUUUUGUUUUACUAAGAUACACUUUUUCUGGAAAAUAAGUUGCUAUAUCCAGUAUCCUAAACUAUGCUAAAGCCACCCUUUUCUGAAAUGUGGCGAGAAUCAAAGACUUGUGUCUUAAUUUGGAAACCUAAUCAAGUCAUAAAAGACUCACAGAUGGGCACUCAAUUUUUUCCCUUGCUGUAGCAAAUAUUGGAUUAUAUCAUCAAGGGUGUCAUUCAUGACACACACAUACACAAUCGUUGCAAUAAAUAUCACCAACUAUUUAGUACAACGCCGGCAACAUAACAAUCUCAUCAAAAACAUGGUUUACAUUGACUUGGACAAUUAAACAACUAGCAUAGUAAGAUAUAUAACGGCCCAUCUACAUUUAACUCGGCCGAGGUUGAUUUUCUUAUACCAUCCGAGUCGGUUCCAAAAAUUGCAGCGCUAGUUUCAAGUGUUUCUUUUACUAUAAGUACACUUUUCUGGAAAAAAAGUUGCAGUUUUGAGCAACGCUGUUUCCUGAAAUGCAUUUACAUGUAACAAAAUUCUCAAGCGAACCAACGGAAGAUAUAGAUAUUACCUCUUCUCUUUUGGGGGGAAUAUGCUAGUUAUGGCAAAGGCAAUAAUAAAUCGCAUGUAUUUUUGGAGAGUUCCGUGAGACCCAUGCCACCAAGAAGCCCUGAGAUCCGCCUACUUCCCGGCUCGUCCAAAAACUGCCCGGGCAGCCGUUUCACCUCACCUCUGUCGGCAAGCCUUCCUUGCGCUGCCGUGUGGGAAGAAGAAGACGCAAAACCGUAUGUAGGGUCCAAGCUCCCAAGUUUUGCCAUCCCCAGCUGGUCAUCGUGAAGGUGCGGGGAGAAACGGCCGUGAAACCCUCGUCUCGGCCGGGCCGUGCGUGGCCGCGGAGCCCGCCGCACCGGCCGGUGAGCGCGGCGGCGACGGGCGCGCAGACGCGAUCCCGGCGGAAUGCUGUCGCUCUGGAUGUAACGUGUGACCUGCGUGCCGUGUUGACGCACGCCAGGGCCAUGUACCGCUCACUCUCCAACGAAGUGGAUGCGAUCGCUGUGCGGGUCGGGGCACGCGGUGAGAUUGAUGUCGACUCCCCGUUUGUGAUGGCAGACAUGAUCUGAGACCUGAGUGUAGAGCAACUUCUGUUGCCCGCGCAGUGUGAAUGAAGGAUGCACUAAAAUCGUGGUACACAAACGUCAACGGGCACAAGACAAGCAAGAUUUCUCUGAUGCUGCUACCAGCCGUGUCAAUCACUACGAUGGCGUGGGCGAGUGAAAGGGAAGUCGCAAACUGUACACGCGAUCAAAUGGCAGCUUCAUUUAUACAAACAGAGAUUGUUGAUUACAUACAAUGGUCCUGAUUAUCUCAGAAACUUCGUUAAACUAGCCAGCAUGACCCAGGAUCAUUUUCCGAUGAUUUUGCCAGAACAUGAGCUGCCAUAUUACAUGACCGAUUACCAUGAGUACAGAAAGAAGAUACAAACUUUAGAGCAUCUCCAACAGCCGCUAUAAGGAGUUGGGCGCGCGGUCGGAUUCGCUAUCUCGCGCGGUGUAUUUGGGGCGCCCGCUUCCGCGCGCGGCGCACACUCGAGCGCUCGCGCCGCACUCUCUCCUCUCUGCCUCCUACGCCCCGCGCGCGCCGUCACCCCGCUCACCCCAUUGUACAGCCGCGACCCCUCCCCCAUCGCCGCCGCCGCCGCCGGAAACCCUAGCGUGGGGAGCGUUGGCGUCGCCACCGCCGGAGCUCCGCCGAGCAUCGGCCUCGCGCGCAGCCUCUUCUUGCCGCCGCGGAUGACCACGGCGACGGGUGGCAUCGUGCCGGCGCCGGCCCGUGCCGCCGCCGCCCCCUCGAAGCUCCCCAAUGCGGCGCGGCCGAAGAAGGGCAAGACAUCCGCGAAGAAGAACAAGGCGGCGGACGGCUCCGGUAACUCGAAGGCGAGAGGAAAGAAGCUUGCAGGGCGUUUGAUGGGCGCGGCGGCUACCGAAGCACCGGCGAGCUCACUCGUUGAGCCGGCCGCCGACGCGCACCACGUGUUUGACGAAAUGCCCCCAAGGUAAAAAAAUCUAACUUUUAUUUUCUUGUUAUUUUUUCAAUGCAUCAUAUAGAUAGCUUAUUUGCAUUGUUCAAAAAACUUUGUAGUCUCAACGAUGAUGCAUACAUAUCAAUUAUGGGUGUUGGCUCCAACAAUAUGCAUUGGUCUCAAACCAAUGACAUCCAUUUCGAAGACCAUGAGUUUGAGGUGGACGAGGAGGGUGAGGGCAUUGUCAACGCGCCGAAAGGAAGAGCGGGCAAUUACACCAACAAAGAUGACAUCUUUCUAUGCAAUACUUGGUUGCAAGUGUCGAGGGAUCCAUCCAUUGGAGGUGAUCAAAGUAGAGAUGCUUAUUGGGGGCGGAUGAAAGAACACUUUGAUGCUCACAACGUGAGUGGAAUUGACCGCUUCGAGAGAUCACUUCGGUCCCGAUGGUCGACAAUCAACUCGGAUUGUCAAAAGUGGGCGGCCGCACAAAAGGCGGUUGACAAGUUGAAUCAAAGUGGCACAAAUGAGGACGAUAGAGUAAGUGGCAUUUCAUACAUGUUCAUCAUACUUGUUUUUGGUGUCCGAAGUGCUAACUUGUUUUGUUUUUCUUGUAGUACAACAUUGCACAAAACUUGUUCAAAGAAGAGGAGAGGAAAACCAAGAAGGGGAAGAUCAAGAAAGGAAGGGUCUUUACCUUGCCUCAUUGCUACAAGUUGUUGAAGGAUGAUGAGAAAUGGAAGAAGCGUGAAGAUUUGGAUGAUUUGUAUUUGAGCAACAAACGCAAGCGAACAAUUGAGUUGAAUGAUGAUGAUGAUGAUGAGGAGGAGGAGGAUGAUGCAUCAAGUGAUGACGGCAAGAGAAGCCCCACACCCAACUCGGUUUCAUACUCGAAGCCAAAACGACCGGCAAGAAAGACAAAACCGAAAAGAAGAAGAGGAAAGGAGAUGAUGAGCUCAAAAAUGCUAUGGAAGCUAUUGUGAAGGCAAGAAAAGAAGCCAACGAGGUGAGGAAAAUGGUAAGGAACCAAGAUGCCGCGGCCGAGGAGAGGAGGGUGGCGGCCAAGGAGAGGAAGGUGGCUUUGGAGGAGAGGAAGGUGAGCAAUGAGGAGCGAACUAGAUUGUUGGAAUGGGAGAAGCACUUGUUCUUUUUGAACACAUCUAACCUCAAUGAGACGCAAAAGGAGUGUGUCAAUCUUGCCCGUGAAGAAGUGUUGAUCCAAAAAAGAGCCAUGAUUCGCGCAAUGGGUGGCAGUGGCCUUGGCGGCAUGGGUGGCGGUGGCCUCGGCGCCAUGGGUGGCGGCGGCCUUGACGGUGGCCUUGGCGGCAUGGGUGGCGGUGGCCUUGGCGCCAUGGGUGGCGUGGGUGGCUUCAGAGGUACCAUGAGCGGCUUAGGUGCCAUGGAAGGCAUGGGUGCACCUCCGGCCGCCAUGGGAGGCAUGAGUGGCUUUGGAGCACCCCCUGACGCUAUGGCCGCCAUGGGAGGCAUGAGUUUUGCUUCUCUCAUGGAAGGCAUGAGUUUUGCUUCUCUCAUGGGAGGCAUGGGUGCACCUCCGGCCGCCAUGGAUGGAAUGUCUUUCGAUGUGCCUCCUCACACACAUUCCCAUGAAGAUGUCGUUGAAGAUCUUGUCAACACCGUCGGAGCUUCACGUGAUGCGGUGCGUGAUGAGGAGAGGGAGGAAGAUUCAUCUUCGAAGGCGGAAGAAUCGUCUUCGAAAGAUGAGGACGAAGACGAGGAAGAGGAUUGAUGUGUCUUUCAUUUGUGUCUUGAACUUGAUUUGCAUUUUGAACUUGGUUGGAUGAACUUGUGGAUAUGAUUUUGAACUUGUGGGCAUGAACUUUUAUUCAUCAACUUGUUUGUGUGAAAUUUUAUAUGUCAUGUUCAUUGCAUUUUGAAUGUUUCAAACUUAUUUUGUGUCCAAAAUGCCAUAUAUGCAAUGCCCGGCGAGUCACGCGCGCUGCAUUUUUUGCACGCUGCUGGAGCGGCGCGCGCACUGCAUUUUAGCGCGGCUGCUGGAGCAGGCGCUGGCGGCCGCGCUAAACCAGCCGAAGCGCGCGCGGUAAACUAGUUUUUUGCGCGCGGCGCGAAGCACGACUGUUGGAGAUGCUCUUAGAGCCCUACUCUUCUUAAUAUAAAAAACUAUGGCACCUGUUUGAGAUCUGUCAAUCACAGCAGUUGUAUUUUCUUUUUUUGAAACAAAGACAACAAAUUUGCCUCGCCGAUUAAUUAAGCGGAGAAGAAUUGCCUAAUUAAUUAAUGGAAAACCAGGCAAAAACCAAUCACAGCACUUCACUUUGGUGACCAAAGUGGCAGAGUCAGAUGCCACGACAAUUCUUUGGAAGCCUGCUUCUGCAGCAAAUUCUAGUGCACAACGCAUAGCAAUGGCCUCCGCCAGUUCAGGGUUAACCACUUGGGCCGCAUACCUCCUUUUGGCUGCAAUUAUCCUUUCAUUUGUAUGUAUACAUCAAAUAGUUAAGGGUUGCAGAUUCACUCUCCAUCAGCUGCACAGGCAAAAAUGACACGUUCUCUUUCAUCGAAGUCUAUAAGGCCUUUACAAUGAGAGGUGCUUAGGGCAGGUGCUUAGAGAAAUAAACCAGGCUUUUCUUAAGCACCGGUGCUUAUUUGUACAGGAUAGACGCUUAAUUAAGCGUCUCUCCUGUAGAAAUAGGCACCGGUGCUUCAGAAAAACUCGGUUUAUUUUUUUAAGCACCCCUCUAAGCACCUCCCAUUGUACAAGGCCUAAUGGUGCUUCACUAGCUUGGCCUUCCAGCACUACCAUUUCCAGAAGCAAAACAGAACUUCUCCCAAAACCAAGUCUGAAACCGGCACGAAAAAGGGCGAGGCACCCCUUUACUAAUAAUUCAGCACUCCAGGCUAACAAAGGCUAGCUAGCACCAUUAGAGAGUCUACCCUCGGUUUUUUCCAGCCACAAACUUCCAUCUAUUAGUUCAGCUAUCUGAAGACUUGUGCAGCAUCCAGGAGCAACAUCUAAUCUCAAAAAGGUACUACUAAAGAAAACAUGCAUUUAUGAAAAACAACGCAGGUCCUCAAUUGAAGCGCUAAAACAACACGAGUCUUCUCGGCAUACAAAAAACUACAUUAAGAUAGCAUCACCUCAGCCUUGCAAGUCGCUUGUUCUAGCAACAGAGGCCAGUAACGGAUCUGAUUCAUUUCUAAUUUAAAGAACCCUAUCCCUGUGCAGUCAUGCUAGAAAUGCCUACCUGACAGUGUAUACUGAGCACCGAAGAGACUCGAGCCCUGCUGCGGUUCACAUGUUCUUCUCAUCAUGGUCCUGCUAAAAUGAUCAGCCCUGUACUGUAUAACGAACCAUGCCCAGCGAUCAAAGAUAGAAGGAAAAAAAGUGUAAGCAAGUCCCGAACGAAAAUUUAUUUCCGGAUCCAAGAUGGGCAGGAUGAUUCCAAUCAACAGAGCAGACAAUACCAACUUAACGAUGAAACACCCAGAGACACUUGUUACUGAGUUAUGGCUGAAAACAUCAUCACAUGGAUGCCCCAGCUAAUGGAGAAAACGCAACCAAACUGACCCCAUGCGAUAAUUAACAAGCGGGCCAAAGGAUAAAGCUACAACUUCAAUCUGUCAAGGUCAAGAAGCGACCUAGAACUAUUAAUGACAACAUUAAAACUCAGUGUAGUUGUGUAGACGCGUUCUGAUUCAUUGAUAAGGUGACGAGCAUGGUGUGGUACAGUUCACCUAAACGCAUGUUGUUUGCCCAAGAUUCCACAAGAACCAUGACAUAAUUAGUGGAACAAAAUGAUCCAAGCCAGAGUCUCAAAUGUUUAAAACUAUCAGUAGUAUAAUGCAGUAACAAAUGUAACAGAGGCAAUACAACAGUCAAAACAUGAUCCAAGCUGCGGUUCACAUGUCCUUUUUUCAUAGUCCUGCUAAAAUGAUCAACCCACAUAUAACGAACCAGGCCCAGCAAAGAAAUGUUAGCAAGCCCCAAACAAGAUUUUAUUUCCGGAUCCAAAAUGGUCAAGCUGAUUUCAUUCAACAGAUUCAGACAAUACCGACUUAACGAUGAAACACCCAGAGACACUCGUCACGAGUUAUGGGCUUAUGUCUCAAAACAUCAUCACAUGGAUGGCCCAACUCCUGGAGAAAAACUUGCAUUAUGCGACACAUGUAAGCAGCAUACGUAGACACAAUCAAACUGACCCCAUACGAUAAUCAACAAGUGGGCCAAAGAAUAAAGCUACAACUUCAAUCAAUCAAGGUCGAGAAGCGAUCUUGAACUAUUAAUGACAACAUCAGAACUCAGUGCAGUUGUGUAGACACGCUCUGAUUCGUUUACAAAAAUAACCAUGACAAACAACACACAUGCUGUUUGCCCAAGAUCCCAGAAGAACAAUGACAAAAUUAGUGCAACAAAAUGAUCCAAGCUAUAUUCUCAAUGUUCAAAACUACCAGUAGUACAAUGCAGUAACAAAUGUAACAGAGAGGCAAUACAGCAGUCUAAACAUAGUAGUUGCAGCACAAACUCUACCAACUAAAAGGUUUCAAUCUUUUCUCAUGAAACAUCAGUUCAGAAGAAAUGCCUUGGUAAUGUAAGAGCAAGACAAACCACAUGAUUCUAAACAUGAGGUAGCAUUACAAGAUGCCAGCCUGAGCUAUCACAAAUCACAAAAACUAAAGAAAAUACACAUCUACAAAAAACAAUGCAGAUCCUCUAUUGAAGCGUUAAAACAACAUGAAUCUUUCACCAUACAAAAACUAGCAUCACCACAGCCUUAGUAAGUCGCACGUUCUAGCAACAGGCCAGUAGCGGCUCUUAUUCAUUUAUAAUUUCAAGAACCCUGUACAGUCAUGUUAUAAAUGCCUACCUGACGGUGUAUAUUGAGCACCGAAGAGACAUAAGCCCUGCUGUGAUUCACAUGUUCUUUUUCAUGGUCCUGCUAAAAUUAUCAGCCCUGUAUAAGAAACCAGGCCCAAAAAUCAGACGAAGCAAGAAACAUUGGCAAGCCCCAAACAAAAUGUUAUUUUCUAGAUCCAAAAUAGGAAAAGUUGAUUUCAUUCAACAGAUUCAGACAACGCCGACUUAAUGAUGAAACACCCAGAGAAAACUUGUUACAAGUUAUGGCUGAAAACAUCAUCACAUGGAUGGCCCAGCUAAUGGAGAAACACUUAUGCAGCACAUGUAAGCAGCAUAUGUAGGCACAACCAAAUUGACCCCAUGCGAUAAUUAACAAGCGGGCCAAAGGAUAAAGCUACAACUUCAAUCUGUCAAGGUAAAGAAGCGCUCUAGAACUAUUAAUGACAACACCAGAACAAGGUGCAGUUGUGUAGACGCGUUCCGAUUCAUCGAUAAGGAGAUGAGCAUGACGUACAGCUCACCUAAACACAUGCUGUUUGACCAAGAUCCCACAAGAACCAUGACAUAAUUAGUGCAACAAAAUGAUCCACGCGUGCGACAAAAUGAUCCAAGCUAGAUUCUCAAUGCUCAAAACUACCAGUAGUACAAUGCAGUAACAAAUGUAACAGAGAGGCAAUACAACAGUCUAAACAUCGUAGUUGCAGCACAAACUCUACCAACUAGCAGGGUCCAAUCUAAUUUCAAGAAACAUCGGUUCAGAAGAACGUUGGUAAUGUAAGAGCAAGACAAUCCCCAUGAUUCUAAACAUGAGGUAACAUUACAAGAUGCAAGACCGAGCUAUCACAUUUCCCCUCCAGUUCUCCUUGACUCCAUGUGUACAGGCACUGGGGCUGCAAGCCCAGGCUUGCCAUUGGUACUCUUCUUGCUGUUUGCGGCCUUCGUCUCAUCAGCAUCGGCAGAACUCGAGCUCUCAGAGCUCUCAUCAGCCUCGUUAGUGGCCUCAUUACCGCGAAAACUUACCUUCCUGUUCACAGUUGGGCGAUUCAUCCCAUGACAACCUUCAGGAUAAUCAUCGAAUGCGCCAUCCACGCCCAUCUCCUCCUGCUCUUUGAGGAGCACCUUGUCAACGAACUCCAGAAUCCGGCCGAGCUCCCGGCUCACGGCGUGCUUCCCCUCCCGGAUCAUCGGGUCCCCUCCCUGAUCCGAAAUCCACCAUCAAAACCAGACACACCAAUGGCAUAACCGAUGGGACCGAACAGAGGUCGUUGCAUCACCUGGAUCCCGUCGAGGCGGUAGAGCAUGCCCAGGGCGGCCUCGGAGACGGCCAUCGGGUCCUUGCACCGGCGGCGGCCGGAGCCGGAGAGGGACGCCCGGAGGGACGCGGCCUUGGAGCGGAGCAUCGCGAGCUCCUUGAGCUGGCGCAGCGUGCGGGAGCGCCGCGCCAGGAAGCGGCGGAAGUGCUCCUGGAUGGUGCGCGCCGCGAGCUCCCUCUCGGUCGGCGGCUGCGGCCCCCGGCGCGCGCGACGCGGCGGGGGCGGGGGCGAGGGCGAGCGCGGGUCCUCCUGGUGCGCGUGCGCGCGGUGGUGCCGGCGAGGGUUAGGCUGAUGGGGAUGCGGAGCCGGGGCGGAGGGGAGGACAUGCGGCAGGGUUGUCUCGAGCGCGGUCACGCGGCGGAGGAGCGAGUGGAGCAGCAGCUGGCCGUGGUCGGGCGGGUUCGGCUGCUGGUGGUGAUGCUGCUGCGGCGGCGGCGCAGGGGCGGCCGCGGGCGACUGGGGAUAGGCGUGAGGUGCGGAUCCCUGCUGGUGGUGCUGCUGGUAAGCGUAGGAGGCGUAGAGAUUCGCGUGGUGCGCGGCGGGAUUCGGCGGUGGCUGCGGGUGGGGCUGUGGCUGGUGCUGGUGCUNNNNNNNNNNNNNNNNNNNNNNNNNNNNNNNNNNNNNNNNNNNNNNNNNNNNNNNNNNNNNNNNNNNNNNNNNNNNNNNNNNNNNNNNNNNNNNNNNNNNNNNNNNNNNNNNNNNNNNNNNNNNNNNNNNNNNNNNNNNNNNNNNNNNNNNNNNNNNNNNNNNNNNNNNNNNNNNNNNNNNNNNNNNNNNNNNNNNNNNNNNNNNNNNNNNNNNNNNNNNNNNNNNNNNNNNNNNNNNNNNNNNNNNNNNNNNNNNNNNNNNNNNNNNNNNNNNNNNNNNNNNNNNNNNNNNNNNNNNNNNNNNNNNNNNNNNNNNNNNNNNNNNNNNNNNNNNNNNNNNNNNNNNNNNNNNNNNNNNNNNNNNNNNNNNNNNNNNNNNNNNGGGGGCGGCGGGGGCGCGGAGCUGAGCAGGAGAUGCGCGGCGAUGGCGUGGAGGAGCUGGUCCGACCCGGGCGCCGGCUGGGGAGGCGGCGCGGGGUAGUAAUAGCCGCCGCCGCACGGCGCCGGGGCGGGGGGCGGCGGGGAGCAGCCGCAGGCGCAGCAGGAGCAGCAGGCCGGCGGGGCCGGGUCGUGGUGGUGGUGGCGAGACAUUCCCGGGGGCCGCGGCGCGGGAGGGGCGAUGGGAUCGGCGCGGGGUGGGAGGGCGGAGGCGGCGGGGGAUCACAUCGGCAAGGGAAAGGGAGCGGAGGAAGUGUGCGCGAGUGGGAGUGGGAGUGGUGCCCCCGUUCCCAUGUGCGCGCCCGCAGGGUGUGCCGGCCGUGGCGCCGCGGCGUGGGUCACCGACUGGUGGGGCGCGCUCUGGCGUCGCCAGGGUUUAUCCAUAGAUCUGCUCACAAGACACGAAAUCAAGCCGCCCGUGGGUCGCACGAAGUGUGUUUGGUGAGGUUUUGCGAACUGGACUCUUGUGCUCGACGCGAUCUAGCAGCUCGUCCAUUCACUCGUUCUUUGUCGCCUCCACAAAAGCCUCGGGGCCUUUUCAUCCAUUAGAUUGUAAUAAAUCAACAAUACUUAACUUUUUCUUUUUGAACAGGGCAUAACCCCUUUCCAUUACUAUUCAAAACGGAAAUACAAUGCUUCGGGCAUAAGGAAGCUAGAAAAGGGAGAAGCGAGCUCAAGGCACCCCUAGGAAACCCACUGUGAGCACUCGUCAUCGAGCAGCUCACCAUGAGGCGAAAAUCCAGUGACACCUAUAACCAACUAGACUAACCAGCACGACCAGGGUACCAACAAGCAAUCCCGAGAGGAACAAGACUCAGGAUGGGCAUAAAGCAAAAGCCCUCGUAGGGGCAAUGGUCAAAGUCUAACACAUAGUUAGGCACUUCCGAUGGAAGGCGGGACAUCAAACAUCUCAUCAAUUCGUCGCUGGUUCAAUUGGGGCCGCGCAGAACCUCAUCAUAGUCGCCGCGUUAGUCUUGAGCAUCUUGGCGCCACGUUCCAUUGCAUCGCGAUCAACUCCAGCCAUCAGACCUGCCCAGUAGUUCAAGAAACCACACACAGAGAUAACUACAUCAAAAGGAGUCCUCAACUGUUUACGUUCAAAUGUGGCAUGGUUGCGACAGUUCCACAUAGCCCAGCAUAUCGCAGCAAGGCCAAAGGUGUAGAACUUAGAUCCAUCCGGCAAGAAGAUAUAACAGUAGGAGAAGUAUUGCCACGGAUUGUUCGGGCAUAAUUCCAUGCCCAGGACACACCCAACGGUUCCAAACUACCUUGGCAACAUGGUAAGUGAAGAAAAGGUGUUGCGAGGUUUCUCUAUCCAUACAGAAGGAACACUUCUAAUUUCCAACCCAGUUUCGUCUGUUCAUGACAUCUCGUGUCAACACGACAUCCUAGAAUAAUUGUCAUAAAAAGAUUUGAAUCUUAAGACGGAAUUUAGCUUUCCAAAUCCAUCUAUAGUCACAGCCGGCUAAAAUGCCUUUCCAAACAUGCGUAUACACAUUUAGUUGAGAAGCGUUUAUUCUUCCCAAGAUUCCAUACCACUUGGUCCGGCUCAUUGGAGGGCAACCAGGAGUCAACAACGCGCCUGACUUCCCCCCACUGAUCCAGCAGUAGAGGGUGCAAGUCCCUCCUGAAGAAAUCGGCGCUAACAUUUUUUUAAAAUCAACAACUGUAACCUCCUAGUCAUUGCAUAUACUAUAUAGUUCAGGUAAUCUAUCCCGCAAGGGGGGAUCGUUGGCAAUGGAGUCAAACCACAUUGUAGCAAUGUGCCAGAUUUCAGGUUCACCCCUCUUCCAGCCAGAUAACAAUCUUUGACCUUAAUAAUGGCUUUCCAAAUCGGUGAAUCUCUUAAUCUACUUCUCAUUGAUGUUACCGUAUCUUUUUUCAAGUACUUAGCUCGAAUCACAUCCUGCCACGACCCUUGUUGUGUCUCGAGUUUCCAACACCAUUUCAUGAGUAAGCUAAUAUUUUGCUUACGGAGAUCUUUCACCCCAACCCCCUCUUUUUUUCUUAGAUCUAUAGAUCCUGGUCCAUUUCAGAAGAUGAUAUCCCACUAGUUUCUUUCCAUAAGAACUUUUUACGAUGUUUGUCUAGUUUGUAGAUCACCAUUUUGGGAAGUAAGAACAUAGCCAUGUAGUAAUAAACAAUGCUACUAAGGGAGGAAAUUAGGAGUAUAAGUCUUCCUCCCAAGGAUGCGACAUUACCAAUCCACGAUUCACCACAUCUAAGGAAUUUGUCAUCAACAAAACUCAAAUCCAUGCUACGCAAGGUGGAGUAGCUUACCAGCACUCCCAAGUAUUUCAUCAGGAAAUGCCUAAUCUGACAUUUGAACGGUUCAACAUAGGAAGCCAGUAUAUUAUCAUCUCCCCUAAUACAUAAGAUUUCGCUUUUGAGGAAGUUUAUUUUGAGCCCUGACAUAAGCUCAAAGAUAUACAAAAGGAGUUUCAAGUUAACAACAGCCUCCUCAUCAUGUUCAAAGCAAAUGACCGUAUCGUCAGCAUAUUGGAGGAUGGCCACGCCUCCCUUUAUGAGGUCCAGAGCGAGCCCAAUCAUCAUUUUUUUUGAGCAUUUCCAAUCAUCUUAGAAAGGGCUUCUACAACAAGGUUAAACAGAAAAAAGGGGAGGCUGGUUUGGGUUUUGUAUAGCUUCCUUUUUCCUUUUGGGCCCGUUUGGGACCUCAUUCUUUGUACCAUUUAUUUGAAAAUCAACAAAAAUACGCAACAAAGUCAUGUUGUUUCCUAAAUAAAAAAGGGAUCGCCCUGGCGAACACCUUUGUAGCUUUGGAAAUAAGGCCCCAUUUCAUUAUUGAGUUUUAUGCUUACCGUACCAUACUACCAUUAUUCAUGAUCUUUUUCACCUAGCCACACCAAGUUGUACCAAACCCUCGGUUACUAUGGCAUUCAAGGAGGAAAUCCCAGUUUAUUUUGUCGUAGGCUUUUUCAAAGUCUAGCUUAAGUAUCACGCCCACUCUUUUCUUUUCAUGUGUAUGGUGUAACACCUCAUGGAUAGUGAGGAUUCCAUCCAUAAUAUUCAUGUGCUUAAUAAAAUCAUUUUAGAGUUUGUCAGCAAAAAUAGCUACUCUGUUGUCCAUCACCUUAGUGAUCAACUUAUAAGGACACUCAAGGAGACAAAAAUGGGGCGAUGUUGUUGAAUUUUAUUAGCACCAUUCAUUUUAGGUAUCAAGGUGAUCACCCCAUAGUUUAGACGAGCCACGUCUAGGGUGUUAUUAUGAAAAGCAUGGAACAAAUGCAUGAUGCUAGAUUUAACAAAAUCCCAACAAUGCUUAUAGAACUCAGCCGGGAUAUUGUCUGGGUCAGGUGCCCUAUUACUAUCCAUGUUGAACAACGCUUUUUUCACCUCUUCCUCCGUGAACUCACUAGUUAGGAGUAUAUUAUCCUCUGCAGUGAGUUUCUCUUCUUCCGACCAGGUAUCUGCGGAUAGGUGAAAUAAAUUCCCCCUGGCCGGACCGAAAAGAUUUUUUUUAGUAGGCGGUAGCAUGGGCCAAAAGAUUAGUCGUGCCCUCAAUCACCGUCUCCCCAUCGGUGAAAGAGUGGAUGGUGUUCUUACGCUUUUUACCAUUGGCUACACGAUGGAAGAAGGUUGUAUUUUGGUCCCCUUUCAACAACCACCACUCAUUCGAGUGUUGUAGAUAAAACAGUUCCUCGUUAGCAAGUAUAUCAUUAAGUACCAUACACAAGGAUGUUUCUUCUCUCAUAGACCUCAGGGUCGAGAGGCCCCUCUUCUUCUAGUGUUUCAAUAUCUUCUAGCUCCAUUCGAAUAUCUUUUUUUCUUUUCCUAGCAUGGCCAAAUGAAUGGAACACCCACUCUUUGAAGUAUUUUUUGAGUCUUUUGAGCUUAAUAUUAAGAAUGUCAAUGGGAUCAUCCGAGGAAACUGGUUAUCCCCAUAUCUUUUUGCAGUGGAGAAGAAUUUCUCAUCUUUGAGCCAGCUAAGCUCAAAUCUGAAUUCGCGUUGGUGGAAGGUUUUCGCUAUCAUCGAGCCUGAUGAUAAUAGCAGGGGGUUCCGAAACAUCGAGCCUGAUAAUUAACAUGGAUCGAAGGGAGUAGAAUUUGCUUGAAAAACAUAGGAAUAGUCGUUUGAAUGGAACAUAGAAAAACACAUGAAAGUUGUCUAGAUCCUACAUGAAUGGGUUGCAGGGGAUGUUCAAAUUUCUACGGAAUACAUGCAAAGGAAUUUGAGUGCCAACACUCGUUUGAUCCAAAGGCAAUCCACUAAUACUUAGGGAAGAAUCCUAUAGAAUUCUCUCACCCAAACCUAGCAUUUAGGAAUAGUACACGAAGUUGAUAGGAUGUCGUUUGUCAUCCUAAGGAACUGUCGUGCCUCCUUCACACACACAAAAUGUACUUUGAGUGGAUAUGUAGAUUCCUCCAAAAAUGAAUAGUAUUCCUACAAAAUUCCCGUGCGCAUUUUCUGCAAACCGAAUGCAUCUAUAGGAAAAUUUCCCCUGGAAUCUUUGUUCCUAUGCUUCUCCUGUAAAAGUCCUUCAAACCGAAUGAGGCCAGAGGAGGGCCUGAGCCAUUCGUCCGGACCACCCUUGCUGAACAACGAGAGAGCAGGCGACUGAUUUCUGCCAACGGUGGUAGCGUGGCGAUUGCAGUAAGAUGCACCAGCCACACACACGAUCAUCCCCAGCCGCCAGGCACACCACGGGUGCACAGAUAGGCAGGCUGCUUUCAGUUUCAACUAACAACGGGCUGACAACACAGAGGGAACAAUCGAAGCGAAACACGUGAUUCUGAACCUAAAUGAGCGGACUUAUAACAGUUCAUCGGGUAUCCGAGCACAACAGAAGCUGUACAACAGCACAGGUCAAGUCAGUGAACACCAGCCAGCAACCAACACAGCUCUUCAGCAUAUAUAUGUGUUCUGUUCCAGGCUUCUAGGGCAAAGACUACAGGGGGAAAAGAACACAAAGAAACAGCUAACUUGCACGUCAUUCUUCCUUCUUGAAAAAAUUGUCUGGCAAGGC